RNAcentral lists this long non-coding RNA (120062 nucleotides) under Malus domestica (apple). RNAcentral describes it as "long non-coding RNA (MDOM_LNC005363)". The record is from RNAcentral. Lineage: Eukaryota; Viridiplantae; Streptophyta; Magnoliopsida; Rosales; Rosaceae.
AAGAGCGUAAGCCUCGUAAGGAAGGUAGCUGCAAAGGACACUUCAAGUAACUCAAAGAUAAGCACUCAAGCUUCUCCAAUCGUACGAUGGAAGGUGGUACUUUUUUUAUGGCCGUCCCAUCAACAAAAAGAGUGACCAAUGAUGCCAUUUUUCCCAAGUGCUUAGACAAGCUUCGGAAUCUUGAACAACCAUCGAGAACAAGAGUUUUGACAGAUUUCGACUUGUAGAAACUCCUUGGGAGAGCCUUAAGCGUUUUACAGUCUUUCAAAUUCACCAACACAAGACUCUUGAGAUCUCCGAUGGACUUGUGAACUUCAGCCAACCUCUUACAGUCUUUGAGUAUCAAUUUCUCAAGAUUUGGGAGUUUCGAAAAGUCUGGAGAUUGUGUUAGAUCGUGGGAGUGGCUGAGAUUCAGAAUCUUCAACUUAUUAAGCAACUGUUAGGCAAAACCAUAUUCAAAUACAAAUUUAAAAUCCAAAAAGAAGAUAAAAAUAAUUCCUAAUUUGGUUCAGGUUACGCAUUGUACUUACCCCAGAAUACUCACAAAGAACUUGUUUGAGGCUGCUGUACCGCAUGUCGAUAGCGACUAUGUUUGGUUGACACAGUUCUAUUGGUAUGAACUCCAAUGGGAAUCCAUGCCAGCAAAGCCAUCUUAAUUUUUUGGAAAGACAUUGGUAUCCCCCAGCGAGCCGAACGUAGUUUAGUUGGAGCAAUCUCAGUCUCUUCAUAUUUCUAAACGCCCCAGUACUGAAACUAGUCUCUUCAAGACUUGGCAAAUUCAAAGCCAAACCGUCAAUUUUUUCAGUUCCCUGCUAUCAGAAAAAAUAGACUCCAAAUAAGAAAAGGCUUUGCAUGAAAAAAAUUUAGAUUACUUACAUAUGCUUACACGUUUAACAUAAAGUUUGAUUGGGAAGGUACUUACAGAUUUGUCUAUCAAUACAUCAUUUACAUCUUCAGGAAGCCACAAUCUACUCCGUUCUCCAGGGAAAUCGGGAUUUUCUGCAUGCACGAUAUCUCUGCCCAUAUCCCGAAGCAAAUCAUGCAUCAUAAUCUUGUUUUCUCUAUUAAUAGUUACAAGGCACCGGUCAAGGAGGACCUCGAUUCCUGUUGUUGCAUAAAAGCCACAACCAUCCAAGAUUUGCAUGACAUCGUUCUUGUCCAUUCCAAUAAAAAAACAAGCUAUAUCGAGGAAUAUCCGCCUCUUGUAAUUAUCAUUUAGCCCGUCGUAACUUAUUUUCAGUUGUGCCUGAAUUUCUCCACGAGGAAUCAUUUUCAAUUCAUCCAAUAUACUUCUCCAUUCAUCUACACUUCGUUUGAAAAGAGUAGAUCCUAAAACUUCAAGAGCCAGCGGCAAUCCUCCACAGUAAUUGACAACUUCUCUUGCGAGCACAAGAUAUUGACUAGGACAACAACUACUUCUGAACGCAUGCCAACUUAGGAGCUCAAGAGCUUCUUCCCAGUCCAUUCCUUUCGCCCGAUAUAUCUCAUCAACUGCAAAUUCUUUUAGCACACGUUCGUUUCUAGUUGUGAUGAUGAUUCUGCUCCCCGGGCCAAAGGAGUGGCAAUUUCCAGCUAAUUCACGUAGCUGCUUCACAUCGUCUACAUCAUCAAUUAUGACAAGUACCUUUAAGUGUUGAAAUCUUUCCCCUACCAAGGCGGUCCCUGCAGCAACACUGCUUACCUUUGUCUUGGUUUGCAAGAUAUCAGAAAGAAGUUGUUUUUGCAAUUUUUCUAGUUUCUUUUCCCGCACUUUUUCAAGGAAACAUUUACCUUCAAACCUUUCACAAAAUUCGUUAUAAAUGGCUUUAGCAAUCGUUGUUUUACCUAUUCCACCCAUGCCCAAAAUUCCAAUCAUGCGAACAUCUUCCGAAUCUUCGAUGUGUAAAUAAUUACUGAUAUCUUGCACUCGAGAAUCUAGUCCGACUUGGUAGGGCGCUACGUCUAAGUAUGUGUUGUUUAGCUUCCUAGUGACUUCCUCAGUAAUCAUCCUGAUAAACUUUGCUUCAUGCCUGGCAUUAGUCAAGUUGAGAAGCAAAACGAAGAUUGUUAUACAACCACAAGACGAAAUUGAACUAAUACACAAAAUUACUUAUCAUGACUACAGAUUUUAGUUAAGACAAUUUUCUUUGAGAUGUUGUGUUUAAACUUAGCAAACAUCAAUUAAAUUUAAAUUUAAAAAAGAAACACAAACAAACAAAAACAGCCUCCCUUCCCUACGCAGCCAUUCGCCGGCGGCUUCCCUGCAGUGAUUAGUGUAGCCUCAACAGUUUAAGCUUUAUUGUAUGAUUUUAUUAAUAGAGGACUAAGGAAAAUAAUACAUGAUAUUGACAAGCAAAAGUACGUUAAGGCCUUAAUUCAUAAAAGAAGGAACUAGUAAGUACCCGUCCAAAGUGUUUCUGAGAUCCCAGCCAGACAAAUUCGAAGCUUCAGUAAGAGCAGUUCUCCACCUCUCUUCCUUCCACCUCUCUACCUUAUUUUCAUCUAUAAGUUCCAGAAACAAUUUUCCAAAACUGUCAGUCUGUUUCCUGACAUGCGAAGGAUCAACGUCAUAGAAUAUCGGCAAAACCAAUUGCCCCAGCGUUUUUCUACACUCCAUGAUCUUAACCAGCUCCUCGAGGCACCAGCCGGAGUUCGCAUACUGUCUAGAGAAGACGAUGAUAGAGAUCUUAGAACCUUGGAUUGCUCGUACAAAUUUGGUUUUUAAAUCUUCUCCCUUUUUUAGUUCUUCGUCGUCAAUAAAAGCGUUGAUUCCGGCCCUUGUCGAUGCUUCAUAAAGGUGGCCCGUGAAGUUUUUACGUGUGUCUUCGCCUCUGAAGCUUAUGAACACAUCGUAAAGCCAACCUUUUGAGGAAGGGGACGAGGACAUUUGCUCGAAAGACAAGGCCGAGGGAGCAAAAGAGGAAGAUGAGGACAUCAAAGACGACCGGAAUUGCGAUGGGCGAAGUGGUAGGAUACGAACACCAGUACCAUGAUUAACAGCUCUUCUUAUAAUUAAUAAACCCCGCCACAAAUAUAAGCGGUGCAGUUGACUGAAGAGGGCUGAUUCGGUAUGGGAUCCCAAAUUCCAAACGGAAAAAUUUCGGGACGAGAUUCUGAAACCCACCGAACCGAAAUUUCGGGAUUUCCGAAAAAUUUUCGGGAUUUCGGUACAGUUUGGUAUUUCCCAAAUCUCCUACGCGGAUUGUCGAUUUGAAACCUCUGAUUGUUGUAUCGGCUCUCCGUGGUUGGCUGCAAGUCCCGAUUUCACAGGGAGACUUCGAGGCGGAGGCGAAGGAGCUAGGGUCUGCUAGCUUCGAGGAGGAAAAAAACGAGUUAGAGAAGAACCAUAUGAUUAAAAACUCCAAAUUUCAAACUAAAUGUAACACGAAAUUGAAAACCCCCAGAUCCAAAACCCCAUAAUUCAAAUGCCCAAAUUAAAAACGAAUUGAAGCCAGACUUUACCACAUCAAGAUUACCUGAUGAAGACAAGAAGGUUACCUUAAUGAAGAGAGAAGUGGAAGGAAGCAGAGGUGGCUGUAUUGAUCAUCGAAUGCAGAGGAAGUUGUCAAAUGCAAAAAGAAAAAUGGAGGACUGGAUGUAGUGUGAAGGUAAGGGGGAGAGAGCGAAAGAGUGGAGGUCGAGAGAGAGAGAGAGUUAAGGAGUGAAGGUUGGGUUUGGGCGGAGUAAAGAACGCAUCAAUCAUCGAUAUCUGUAAGCAAUGACACAUGCCUUGUCACAAAAAAUUAAUUAAAAAACACAACCAAAAUAUCUGGAACAUGAAAGACAAAAAGAAUAGAAAAGAAAAGGCAGAGAAACAAAUGCUGAGAUUGCACGAAAGAGAGAGGGCGCCUAUCCAUCACAAAAAAAUAAUUAAAAAAUACUCAUCACACACAACAAUGCAAACCUUUAGCAUAUUAUUAUAUUUCGUAGUCUGUCGUUUUGAAUGGAUAAUGGCAAAUUGCAAUGAUUCAUAGUUGAUACUUACCCUUUCUCUCUAACCAAUUCUUCAUCAUUUUUUGUCCUUUUGUUUGUCCAACAACCCAUUACUUUAUUCCUUUCACCGUACAAAGCAGACAAUACGAACCGAAUCCGAACCUGAUGACAAACGCGAAGCCCGGAAGGACAAAACAUACUUUUUACUGUAGCUACUGUCCGUCCAAACCGAGUUAGGAUUCUCUUCUUUCCUUUUUUCAUCCUCUUCCCUUACAUUCUUUAUUUUUUUUUUUUUUUUGUAAAAAAUUAAUAUAAGAGAUUAACGUGUUGUUAGGGAAAGGAAAAAAAGAUGGAAGAGAGUCUUAGGUGCAGUUUGAGAUUGAAGUGAUUAAAAAAAAAAGUUGGGAUGAAAAAAGGUUGAUAGGGGUUUUGAAUUUUGGUAAACAUUUCAAAACAGUUUUAUUUUAAAGAUUCACAUGAAAAAAAAGUUAAAAAGUGGAAGCUGCAUUUUGCAGCUUAAAGAAGCCUCUUAUUAUACAGUACCAAGUUAAUGAAUUUUUUCAAUUUGCCAAUACUGCCCCCUCCUUUCUCCUUUCUCCUUCUCCUGAUUCCUACACUCUGCACUCUCUCUCUUUCUCUCUCGCAAAACACUCCGCACGCCCCUCUUCCCACCUCUUCCUCCUCCUCCUCCUCCUUUCUCUCCGUCGGUCUCAGCGCCACACCGCCGUCGCCUUCCAGGUACCAGGUACUCGAUUUGCUUUCAAUUUUUGUUGUAAUUAAUUAAUUUAAUUUUUAGGUUGGGGUUUGGCUGCUCUCUGAUGAUGAACCCAUUUUUUGGGGUUUUCUGAAACAAGGUUUUGUGUGGCAACCAACGAACGAGCUCGAUCUCAUUGAUUAGGUAAACAUAACUGUCAAGCUACUGCCAUUUUCACCGAUGCUCAUAUCGAGCAGAAGAAAGUGUCCAAUGCCAUUUGGCUUUUGAUCUCUCUGCUCAGUACGACGCCAUUCCCACUCCAGUCAAGUUGAUUCGCUGAAAUGUCUCAGGUAUGAUUUUUCACCCAGGCCUUGAAAAGUUUCUUUUCAAUUCUUCCAAACUUUGAAUAUUUUUUUUCCUGCGUUGUAUGGUUCGAAAAUGAACUUGUGUGGUUGUUGAUUGAAAUGGGAAUCACAAUUUAUCUUUGUUUUGGGACUCUCUGCAUUUCCAGUUCCGCUUUCCGCAUUUGUGGGUACUAUGCAUAGUUGGCCUCCGAGUUGUUUGAUUAAAUGCCUCAAAGAAGUAUAUGGGAAAUUGGGAAUCAUAUUGGACUACUGCAACCUGCAAAGGUUCUAAUAAAAGGACCUUCAAGUUAGGUCAGGUGACGCACUCAACUGCUUCAGUGAUUGGUAAUACUUUCUUCUUGUGUGUGCUGCCCAUGUUAUUCAUUUUGGUUUGUAUAUUGCAUUAUGUUGAAUAAAUAAGCAAUACAUAAGCAACUGGUUGUACUUAAGGACAAGAAAAGCAUUUAUCAGUUGAGAAGAUGAUGAUGAAUUGCUGGACAACAAUUCAAUUGAUGUUAAUUUAUGAUUUCCUUGUAGCUUUUAUUUAGCAUGAGUUUGACUAUGACUGCAAACUAUAUUUAUAAUUGAAUGGCCUUUGCCUGAAACAGUUAGCAGACUCACUGAUGAAGUGAAGACUUGGAAACUGAGACGCAUAGAAUAAGUGAGACAAAUUCAGGAACUCCUCAUCCAGCUGAAUAUGUCAGUGCAAGGAGUCCAGCUGUUUCUGGUAGUAGGAGCUGAAAAGGUUCAUAAUGCAGUAGGAAGUCUGGAAGUGUUCCGUUGAUAUGCAGUGUUUUAAAUAUAGUUAUGCCAGAACGGAUUGCGCCUUAUAUGCAAUGAAAUGUGUUCUGAAAAUUGUUGGUGGUGUUGGUGUAAACCAUUUUUAUUUAUUUUUAAACAGAUGUUGCACUUUUGAGUAAAUAGGGGACAGUCAUCGAGCAAAUUCCACUUGUAUUCUGUAUAUGCAGAUGUAAUGAAAAUUUUUGUGAAAAUCAGUUAUCGUUGUAAAGAUUUUGUGUUUCGGAUUUUGAAUAAUCUAGUAUUGUAAUGAAGUAGUUUAUCAUACUAAUUAAUAUUUAAGAUAAAGUUUAUAAAUAUUUUACUUUUACAAAUAAAGUAUUGUUGUAAACAUUCCUAGUUUAAGUAUGAUUGUGUAAAUCCUAGAUAAGAUUUGAUUCUAGUUAUCCUUUCCUAUUACAACUUGUAUUACUUAGAGAAGAAGGAAUAUCUUCUCUCCCUUUACUACUAUAAAUAAAGGCACAAUGUAGGAGGGAUAACAACACACACAUUCCCCUACAAUUCUACAAACACACAUCUCUCUCCUCUCUCUCUCUGCCGCCGGCCCUAGUCCCUCUGUCAGAUAAAAUAGACCACAACACGUUAUCAGCACGCUCUUCACGCUGUGCUUAGAAGAAUUUAAAGAGAAUUUAUUCGUCUACAAUCAGGGGAGUAUUACGUUUCAAUUAUUUUUAAUUGAUUAAAUCUUGAUUUUAUUGAAUUCAUAUAUUGUUAUUGAUUCAAUUUAUUUUUCUUCUUAUGUUGAACGUGAUACAAGCUUGAAGAUGAAAGCCGAAAUUGAAGAAAUAAUUUUUUCUGCAUCAAACCAAUUCAUCCAUAUCAUCACGCAAUCAGGUUCUUUCCAAACAACGGCUUUUAACUCGAUAUUUUGCAAGCCCUGAUAGCAUGAACAUUCACCAUGAUGCAUGACCCAACUUUACGUUUAACGUAUUUUAGAUUCUACAUAAAUUGUGUAUGCUUCAUCAUCAAAAUUGCUACAAUUAUGUGAAUUUGAUAUUUGUCAUGAAUUGAAUCCUACAUAUGUACAUGCAUUGAAACUAUUAUUUGCAUAUGCAUCAACGUAAAUAUGUGAUUCAUUAAAAUUAUACAUGCAUAUAAUAUAAUUGAAUACAAAAAAAAAAAAAAAAAAAAAACGAAAAUUUUUUUUUUUAGGGCUGCACACAGCAGCCCAUUCCCCUCUUCUCACCCCGUGGGCCUGUAAUCCCACCCGAGGGUUCUUGGCCUAUAUUUUUAGGCCCCGAGAUUUUAUUAUUUAAUUUUUUUUUUAAAUAAUAUGGGUUUUUAUAUUUUCACCCACAUUUUAAUUUGGUCCCGAAGACCAAAAAUAAAUUAAUUCACUUAUCAUUAUACAAUAUUUCUGCAUAUAUUCUUUGCAUAUUUGUUUGCAUAUAUAUAUUUGUGUUUGCCUGCAGGAAUAUAUGAACCUGAAGUUCAUAAUUACUUUGAAACCCGAAGUUUCUUAUACACAUGCCUUGUUUGAAAACCCGAAGUUUUCACUUAAAUAUAUCACCCAUGAAAACCCGAAGUUUUUCAUGCAAAAUUAAACCAAUACAUGUCUAUUAGAACCUGUAUGUUCUACUCCUAUGUGAAUGGAUUGAUUUUUCUCCAUUACACUAACCACAUCUUGUCCAUCUAUUUUGUGAUAGGAACAUGUCGAACUUGAACAAACUCGACUUCACCGCUUUGGAGGUUUCUGGAAGGAACUACCUCAAGUGGGUUCAAGAUGUGAAGCUCCACCUCACUGCAAAGAACUUACGUCCUGCUAUUGAAGAAGCAACAGAUAAACCUGUUGGCGAGGCUGAAAAAGCCACUGCUAUGAUCUUCAUCCGAAGACAUAUCCAUGACGCUCUACAAACUGAGUACCUUGCUGAGGAGGAUCCACGUGCAUUAUGGGUCGCUUUGGCUGAUCGUUUCGAUCACCAAAAGGACAUAUUCUUGCCUGAAGCAAGACACGACUGGCAACACUUGCGCUUCCAAGACUUUAAGUCUGUGAAUGAAUAUAAUUCUGAAGUUUGUCGAAUCCGAUCACUUCUCAAGUUUUGCAAUGAAACUUUGACUGAAGAGGAUCUCCUGGAGAAGACCUACUCGACCUUCUCUGCUUCUAAUAUUGUCCUGCAGCAACAAUAUAGAGCUCAGAAGUUCACUAAGUUCUCGGAUUUGAUCUCUGUUUUACUUCUUGCUGAAAAGCAGAACCAGCUGUUGAUGAAGAAUCAUCAAGCUCGACCUACUGGGGCUACUGCUGUGCCUGAAGCACAUUAUAGCACUAAUCAGCACCCAAAACGCCAAAAGAGACGUGGUAAGGGCGGCCAGAAGCCAUCCCACCAAGGUCAACAGAGCCAAGGCCCAUCCAAGGGAGGAAACAAAGCCCAGAAGCGCCCAAACCUCGCUCCCAAGGCCCCGAACUUCAAGAAUAAGGGCAAAGCACCUGCCACAAUGAAUGACGAUAUGUGCUAUCUGAAGGAAUUAUUUUGUAAAACAUGUUCAUUUGAGCAACAUCAUAUAGCAUGCAAUUAACAAUUAAAGGCGGAAUCAUGCUUACAUGCACUCAAAACAAAAACAUUUUACCCAUGAAAUUCAAAGCCUAGUAGAUUGGUGAACCAAUAAUCAACUCAAAAAUAAGUGAGUUGAAAUUAAUACCUUUGUAGAUUCCUCUUUGCAUAAGCAAAGGCUAAUCACCCAAAGAGAUAGGGGCCUUCAUUCCUUGCUUCUUAGAUCCAUGGAUUUGUAUGGAAGAAUAGGUUCUCCAAGUUCCCAAAAUUGAGAACCUCUAAGUCUCUACACCAAGGAGAGAUUGGAUGAUGAAAUGAGUUGACCUUGGAGUAGUAGGAUUGCUAGAUGUACCCUCCAAGGUGUUGGCCUCUUUUAGAGAGAAAUGGAGAGACAAUUCUCACCCAUUUUUCCCUAAAAUAAACCCAUUUUCACUUAAUGAAUAUUUAGUUAUAAAGUCAUUUAUAUAGUCACUUCUUUAAGUGACCUAAAUAACCAAACAACCCUAAUUCAUCACACUAUGGCCGGCCAUUUAGGGGAUUUUGGGCUUUUGGGCUUUAAUGAAUCUUCAUUCAUUAAAUUGUCAUACAACUUAAGUUAAUGGGCUUGACGUUCGAAGCCCAUUGGGCCUUAAGGUCCAAAACUAUCCCGAAGUCUUUAACGAACUUAUUCGUUUGAUUAAUUAACAUAUUAAUUAAUCCUUGCCAUAAAUAAAUGAUUAAACCAUUUAAUCAUUCUUACUCAUUUCCGUUUUAAUCUCCAAUCUCCACCUUUCACGGUGUGCGAUCCAUUAGGUUCCUUUUAGCGAGGUAGUGGGCGAUUAAAAACCAUUUUACAUCGAUUGUGAAUUGAAACUAUUUUCAAUUCUCCUUUAGUGAUUACACACGUUUAGGGCUUCCACAAACCAUGAGUGACACCUAGCCGUAUGUCAUGGUUACCCAAGCUAAUCAGAAGAGGUGGAGAACCUAUUCAGUCUGGGAUUACAAAUGCAAUACGGUCCUUCUCUAAUCUAAUACUCUUGACCACAUUGUUUGGUUUGAUAGUUUAUUUUCUCAUGUCUACUAUCCAAUGUGUGUCUUGUGCUUAUAUGAUUACCUUGAAUGUGAUUAGGAACGCAUUCCCAAAUCUCAUUCAUACUCUGGCCAGAGAUUCAAAUCAUAUCAGAGAGUAUUCUCCUUCAAACGGUUUGAAGGUUAGAGAUCCCUUGUUGCGCAUUCACUUGUCUCCAUAGCUAAGCGGCUUGACCCCAACGAUGCCGUGGACACCCUCCUGGUGGGAUGACUUUGACAUAAUCAAAGAUCAAGGUCUUAACCACAAGACAACUAUGAUGAUGCCUCAGGUCAAAGGACUACUUUGCAUUAUCCCAACCAUGAGUUCUCAUGUGACAUGGAAUAUGAAGAACUCUUCGUUGAUCGCGUUCAGUGAACUCAUUCUCUAUUGAGCACCUACCGUACUUGUCUUGAUGUCACACACACCAAUGACUAGAGACUAAUCACUCUCCCUGAGAGAAGACAUAGUACGUACCGAUCUUGACGGACUGUCAAUGCCCAAUUGGCAAUCCUAUGAUCAGGAACGUUUAGGAUGUGUCUACGAAAGAAUGGUCUCAAGAAUCUAACUUCAUUAGAUUACAUUCUCCCAAUCACAUAUUCCUUGGACUUUAUUGUUUAAGCAUAUAACAUUUAUAUGAGACGGCUCAAACAAUAAUGUAUGCCCUUUAUAUGUUAAACUGGAUUAGUUUAACAUGUGAAAUGUCCGUAAAGUAUCAUCACAUGAUUGGCUUUAGGGCACAUUUCCAACAAUCUCCCACUUGCACUAGAGCCAAUCAGCUUGAUCAUCAAUGAUGAUAUCUCUUCUGUAGUCAUUUCAUAAAUGGCUGAAUAGUAGGCCUAGACAGUGGAUAUCUAUAUGUGUUAUCCAUAGAAGCAACCUUGAGAAUACCGACGUCACCAUUAUACAUGAUUCUCAAUCAUGUGGUUCAGUCUCUCAUUUGUGUUCGGAUCUUGAUGAGACCUUGAUUCCCAGGCUUGAGCUAUCGCCCCAUUAGUGUCAUACACUUUCUGGUUGGAACCGAAUAGAGAGUUCAUAAAUGAACUUUCCCAUCCAAACAACAUUGUUGUAAACUUCUAUAUGGCAAUAUAUCUUGCAUUCAUAAUGGAACACACUAAAGUCAUUACUUUAAUGUUUCCAUCCAAAUAUCUCUUUAGUCAUAAUAAAGAGAUAUUCGUUUAUCUCUUCAUUCAUAAUGAAGAAACAUCCAAUGAUGGAUUAGAUUCAUAAUCUAAUACAUUUACGCUUCCAUUACGUUACUUUGAUUCUUCCUCGAUCUUUGAGGAAUUUAUCCUUUAGUAUUUCUUAAAUACUUAAGGACUCACUUGACAGUUGCCAUGGUUCUGAUCCUGGGCUUGCACUGAUAUCAUCUUAUACCGUUCUAGGUACAACUCAUAUCAAUGUUUUUCAUACAAUAUGAAAUACAUAAAUCACCUUUGUGCAUAUGCAUAAAGGAUUUUAUUUACGCAUUAUUUCUUUGGGAGUCAAAGGGGUACAUUCCCUUUGAGAAGGGCAACUUGCUAGUCUCACUAGAAUCGUCCUUUCUUAUUGAAGUUUAUCAUCAUAUGAGAAACUUCCUAGCAUCCAUUGUCUAUUAUUAGGCAUUGAUAUAAUCCAAUUAUAUCAUGAAAUAUAUCAUUAUAGAUUUCCAUCCCAUGUAUAUAGACUAUAUCUCCCAUAUACAUUCUAUCGUUUAUAGAAUGCUUAAAGUCAUAACUUUAACGAAGAAGUAUUCUUUUCAUUUCCAAAAUUAAUAUAUCAUAUAUAUUUAAAUUUUAGGAACAUGAUUAACUCCCACUAAUCUUUUGUAAAACUAGUAAACAAAAGAUUCAUUUAUAUCUUUAUGAGAAAUCAAACGAUUUGAACCUUUUCUCAUAAAAUGCAAAUAGCUCCCACUAACUUGCUAAGAUCCAUGAUGGAUGGAUCUCUACAACUUACAUGUCUUGUGAUUUAUAGUUUUAGACAUAUAUUAUCAAGACUAUCUUAAUAAUGGUUUCGGAAACCCAUAUUAUGUCCAAACAUUGAAUCACCAUUUAGUUGUAGUUAGCAAUCUUCGAAUUAAUUGAAACCAAGACUAUCUCAAAGAUGGUUUCUUCAAAGUCAACCAUUCUCUUUGAUUGUAGUCACCUUAAGCUACCAAUUAGCUAUGAAGGUUUCAUUAUUUCGAGUCAAAUGGUACUUUACCAUUUCCUUGAGUAUAUAUCGUAUAUGCACUCAAUGUAGUUAUAAGGAUUUUCAUUCUUAUUUCUUUCGAAUUAAGAGGGUGCAACUCUAUGACAUAGUCAUAAAGUUCAAAACCAUUCAACUGAGACGGUUUAUAAAUCCUUAUCGACUACCUUGGAGCUUGUGGUAUAGGAACUAGGUUGUUAUAUUUGUUGAUUACUUUCUUGUCUCUCAAAGAACCCAUUCUUUGAGUUCUAUCUCUCGUUCAUUUGCUUUUAGGCAAAUCACAUUGUAGAAUUACAAUGAACUACCCAACAAAAACAACAUUUGUUAGUUGGUUUAUAGAAGCGAUAUCCAAAAGUUAUUUUAAGGAUAUCCUACAAGAUUAUUAUCAAACAAAUAUUGCUUGUUAGCACACAAUCCCAAAUCUUUAACAUGCUUAAGAUUUGUCUUUCUUUCCAACUACAUCUUAUGGAGUCAUGAAAAUAUUGGAAGAUCUUCUCAUUGACAAUCAUAUUGUUUUAGAAGUAUAUAUCCUAUAUAUGGGUAAUAGAUAACAUCUAACGAACUAAAUCUUAUUCAAGUUCGUUCUUCUCCUAAUGGAGAAAUACAUUAUCUUAUGAUGCUAUUUCCUUGAUAUCUUUCAAGGAAACUUAUCUAAAGUGUUACCUUUCCUUGGAUCAAAUCUAAGGAGGUAAAUACUUUAGAUGUCUUACUCAUCAACUUACAUUUCUUGAAUUCUUUGAAACAUUUUUCAAAGUAUUCGGACUUGUGUUUAUUCAAAAUAAACUAUAGUCCAACCGAGAGUGAUCUUCGGUGAAUGUUAUCCAACAUGAGUAGUAUUAUGUUUGUGGACAAGUGCCACUAACAUUUAAGUGAAUUAACCUCAACAACUUUGUGAUUCUUUCUUCUUUCCAAAAGAAUAAAGAUUCGAACAUUUCGCCUCUAUACAAUUUUAACAAGAAGGUAUUGGAUCCGGAUCUAACGAUCCAAAGCGUCCAUUUAUGACCAACUCGUAAUUUAUGUUUUAGAGGUAUCACAACUUUAGUUGGGAUUAGUCACUACCCUGCAACCUUUUGGGUUUUAAGCAUCAUUAUUUUCUAAACAGUUAACACCACCAUAUUAUCUCUACUAUAAAGAUAAUUAAUUAGAUUACCAUAAUCUAAUCAUUGAUUAAUAAAGAACAUUGUUUUGUCAAACAAAACAUUUAUCCAUUUCACAUAGUGACGGAAUUUAGUUCCUUAAAAUUGGAAUAUAAAGACAAUCUAUGUUUUUCCAAUUUCUUUGGUGGUUCAUAUGAGGAAGUAAGUACCAUCUGCUUUCGCAGAGAUCUACAUUUGAUUCACGCUUCGAAUGUGAAGUACUUUCUCUUCUCUCAUUAAUCUUCUACUUCUUAUUAGCCACACUUUUACAACGAUUGUAAAACAUAGUCACUAAUACGGAAUCAAGCAUUCAAGUAGAAGAACCAACUGUUUUGAACUUUUCAAGAACAAUUUACAACACCUUCGAAAAGUGUGUUCUUGACACUUGCAAGACAUUUCUUGCAAAUACCCCUUCCAAUGUCCAUCCUUUCAUAAAGAAAGUUUGUUCCCUUGGAGUUAUUUAUCUUCUUUAUUUGACUUUCACCUUUGACUACAUUAGUCAUGGUCCCUAAACUCUCACUAUCUCUCUUGAAACCUUUUUCAAUUGUGUUAUACACAUCAAACAAUUUUGGAGAGCAUGUGGUUUAUUGUUCACUAUAUAGUUUACAAUAAACUUAGUGAACGAUUAGGAUAGGGAAACAAAGGUGAAGUCCUUGCCUAGUUUCCGUCUCGUUAAGUGGUUUAUCACUUCAACACUUAAUGAUUCAAAAUCAUCAUAAGUCCAUGUUAAUGGACUAUUUUUGUCAACCAACCAUUAUGUUCUAAACAUAAUUACAAACCUUCAAGAGUUGUACAAGGCAACUCUCAUUUCUUCAUACAACAAUUUGUAAGUGAAGAAACAUGGCACAUAAAGUGUUCAUGCCUUUGUGCUUUCUUCUCAAGUUCUUUGUUCAUUUAACAAAGAAACAAGCACUAAGUGUUUGCAUUGACUAAGAGUUGUUCAAAGCAACUCCUAUUUCUUCAUACAACAAAUUGUAAUUGAAGAAUUAUGACAUUAAAAGUGUUGUCCUCUUUAUGAUAGACCUUUUCUAACAUAUUCUUCUAAUGAUACAUUAUCAAUAGUAAGAUUGUGAGGAUGAGACUACUUUGGUACUUUUACAAGCCAUUAAAGACAAUCUAUGGUUUUGUAGUACCAAGUCCGUAAACUAAACGUUCGGUUUUGUCAAGUGUUGGAUAGCGUUUGCAAAUAUAUUGGUAAUCAAAUACAUAACGAAUAUAAAUUGAUUGAUUUUAAGCCAUUUGAUUUGGGUCUUUAAAUCAAAUAGCACCACCCACUAUUUUUGGCAAAUUCCAUAUCCCUCAUAGGAAUUCGAGAGUUUUGGAUGAUGAAACUCCUAGUAGGUUAUGGGAGGCUCACUAUUACCAAGCCCACCUCACGAUGAUACGAUAUAUGGCUAGCAACAAUAAUAAUGAGAGAGUACGCUUACUCAUUUGCAACUCAUGCAAGUACCCAUCUUAUUUGGCCUCUAGAGAAUGUAACCUCACAAUGAUAUGAUAUUGGUUCCAUUGCACUUAGUUAAGUUCUUCCCACCAUGCUUAGUGUGUGAAGGGGUUCAAGAAUAGCCUCACGAUGAUACGAUAUAUAGCUAUCCUCGUUGCCUACACUCACCUCAUCAUAUGUAUAUGGAUUCCUCCUGAGUAUAAGCAUGCACUGUGUACUCCCCCAUGAUAGGGUGAAGCCGGUGUACAAGUCAUAAACGAUUGGAUCCCACCACGGUGGAAGGCCACGAAGAGAUAUUCUAAACAUCUCUCGCUUAUCAACUUAAUAUUGGUUUGGUUGAGGGUUUUAGGUCUCAUCACAUAUAAACAUACAUUUUAAUCUCUAUUAAAACUAUUUUGGUCCUAUUACAACUAUUGUUCCAUCUCAUUGUUUUAGUUGUACAUAAUACUCCCACUAUGCUUUUAAAACGGUUUUUAAAGCAAGAGUAUAUGAUACUACUAACAUAAACUUUGCAUUCAUUUGAUGGACUACAUAGUUGUCUUAGGGCCUAAGGAUGAUUAUGAACCUUUGUUUAGAUUCAACACGAGCCUUGUGUUGAACCUCGGUCUAGGAAUGAAGAUUGAUUUUAGUUACGCGUUUAAUCACAUUAAGGCGUGUUGUCUUAUGGGCGUUGGACCCAACUACUUCAUUUUCAUGCAUAUCGUAUUAAAGCAAGAAAGAAGUACUUCAAAGUAAAGGUGAGCUUAUGCUCAUUACAACAUUUGCAUAUAACAAAUUACUUUAAAGUAAAGAAGAGCUUAAGCCCUUUUACAACAUUUGAUCAAAUCAAAUUACAACCAAAAUCUAAUCUACACAUUCCCAUGGUUCAAACAAAUUUGAAACGCCUUUCACAUAGCUCAAUUAUAUUAGGCUUAGGUUCAUAAUCACCCUUUAAUUAAUUAACACUUUUACUAAUUAAUGAAUGCAACAUUUUCAUUUGGUUUUUGUAUCCAUAAAAUUGAUUUAAAUGGAGCUAAACAAAAUGAAAAUCCAAUUCUCAUUUAAAGAGACAAAACAAUUUUGUUCUCAUCCUAUUUGGGCCAUCAUGCAAUUAACCUCAACUUUUGGGCCAUAUUGCAAUAACAAAAACUUUUGGGGUCACUUUGUAUAAUACACAAAAGUCACAACUUCAUGUAAAUACAACUAGAACCCAAACUUUUAAUAAUGCAAAAACAUCAUUAAAGGAUCAAAACAAUUUUUCCUUUAGCGUUUUUGGACCUAAACGUAAAAACGUAAACUUUUGGGCCAAAGUGCAAAUACACAAAAGUAUCAAAACUUUAUGUAAUUGCAUAAAAGCCCCAAAAGUACUCCCUUUGAGGGAGUGGCCUGUUUUAGGGAAAGAUAAGGUGGGAGUGUGUGUUGAUUUGUGAGUUUUGUCAAAAACAAUCAUGCAAGUAUAUGUAAGAUAAGUUUUUGAAAUAAUUCAAUCACAAUUAUUUCAAUCAUCAUUUAUACAAAUAUCUAACACUUUAAAUACAUAAUAAAUCAUUUAAAAACAUAUCACAUAUACUUUAUGAAAUAAUUCAAAACUUUGAAUCAAUACACCAAACCUUUUUGUUCUUGGCAAGAACAUCAAGAACAAUGAAGAACAUCCAUGAAAAACCCAAAUUUUCCAUGAACUUUUUCCACCCAAAAACAUUCCAAAACCAUUCUUACUUAAGGGAAAUAACAUCUAACCAAACUAGGGUACUUAGGGGUUCCAAAGAACACAUUAAAACACUUUUAACAAGUCAAACAAGAACCCAAAAAUUCACCCUUUGAUUUUGGCCGAAUUUUCCCAAAAGCAUGGCACCAAAUUUUAGCUCCAAUAUUCAUGCUCAUAUGAACGACAUCUACAACAUUUGAGAUAGCAAAUUUUCCAACAAAAUUUACUUUCAAAGAAGCAAGAAUAAAGCUUGUAACAAUUACAACUUUUAGAUCAUUAACUUAUGAACUACAAAACACAAAAGGAUUCACCAACUACUAGACCUAGGCUCUGAUACCACUUGAAGGAAUUAUUUUGUAAAACAUGUUCAUUUGAGCAACAUCAUAUAGCAUGCAAUUAACAAUUAAAGGCGGAAUCAUGCUUACAUGCACUCAAAAACAAAACAUUUACCCAUGAAAUUCAAAGCCUAGUAGAUUGGUGAACCAAUAAUCAACUCAAAAAUAAGUGAGUUGAAAUUAAUACCUUUGUAGAUUCCUCUUUGCAUAAGCAAAGGCUAAUCACCCAAAGAGAUAGGGGCCUUCAUUCCUUGCUUCUUAGAUCCAUGGAUUUGUAUGGAAGAAUAGGUUCUCCAAGUUCCCAAAAUUGAGAACCUCUAAGUCUCUACACCAAGGAGAGAUUGGAUGAUGAAUGAGUGACCUUGGAGUAGUAGGAUUGCUAGAUGUACCCUCCAAGGUGUUGGCCUCUUUAGAGAGAAAUGGAGAGACAAUUCUCACCCAUUUUUCCCUAAAAUAAACCCAUUUUUCACUUAAUGAAUAUUUAGUUAUAAAGUCAUUUAUAUAGUCACUUCUUUAAGUGACCUAAAUAACCAAACAACCCUAAUUCAUCACACUAUGGCCGGCCAUUUAGGGGAUUUUGGGCUUUUGGGCUUUAAUGAAUCUUCAUUCAUUAAAUUGUCAUACAACUUAAGUUAAUGGGCUUGACGUUCGAAGCCCAUUGGGCCUUAAGGUCCAAAACUAUCCCGAAGUCUUUAACGAACUUAUUCGUUUGAUUAAUUAACAUAUUAAUUAAUCCUUGCCAUAAAUAAAUGAUUAAACCAUUUAAUCAUUCUUACUCAUUUCCGUUUAAUCUCCAAUCUCCACCUUUCACGGUGUGCGAUCCAUUAGGUUCCUUUUAGCGAGGUAGUGGGCGAUUAAAACCAUUUUACAUCGAUUGUGAAUUGAAACUAUUUUCAAUUCUCCCUUUAGUGAUUACACACGUUUAGGGCUUCCACAAACCAUGAGUGACACCUAGCCGUAUGUCAUGGUUACCCAAGCUAAUCAGAAGAGGUGGAGAACCUAUUCAGUCUGGGAUUACAAAUGCAAUACGGUCCUUCUCUAAUCUAAUACUCUUGACCACAUUGUUUGGUUUGAUAGUUUAUUUUCUCAUGUCUACUAUCCAAUGUGUGUCUUGUGCUUAUAUGAUUACCUUGAAUGUGAUUAGGAACGCAUUCCCAAAUCUCAUUCAUACUCUGGCCAGAGAUUCAAAUCAUAUCAGAGAGUAUUCUCCUUCAAACGGUUUGAAGGUUAGAGAUCCCUUGUUGCGCAUUCACUUGUCUCCAUAGCUAAGCGGCUUGACCCCAACGAUGCCGUGGACACCCUCCUGGUGGGAUGACUUUGACAUAAUCAAAGAUCAAGGUCUUAACCACAAGACAACUAUGAUGCCUCAGGUCAAAUGACUACUUUGCAUUAUCCCAACCAUGAGUUCUCAUGUGACAUGGAAUAUGAGAACUCUUCGUUGAUCGCGUUCAGUGAACUCAUUCUCUAUUGAGCACCUACCGUACUUGUCUUGAUGUCACACACACCAAUGACUAGAGACUAAUCACUCUCCCUGAGAGAAGACAUAGUACGUACCGAUCUUGACGGACUGUCAAUGCCCAAUUGGCAAUCCUAUGAUCAGGAACGUUUAGGAUGUGUCUACGAAAGAAUGGUCUCAAGAAUCUAACUUCAUUAGAUUACAUUCUCCCAAUCACAUAUUCCUUGGACUUUAUUGUUUAAGCAUAUAACAUUUAUAUGAGACGGCUCAAACAAUAAUGUAUGCCCUUUAUAUGUUAAACUGGAUUAGUUUAACAUGUGAAAUGUCCGUAAAGUAUCAUCACAUGAUUGGCUUUAGGGCACAUUUCCAACACUAUCGUUGUGGUUCCAAGGACCAUUGGUCCCGUAUUUGCCGUGCUCCCAAGAAGGUUGUGGAUGCAUAUCAUUCUCGUCGUACGAAGUUUGAAUCAAACUUCCUGCAAGUGGACGAACCGGAGACUACAAAGAUGGAGGUUUCUGAUUUUCAGGAGGAUACCACUCCUAUGGAAGAUUAGAAUCUUAGACAUAGACUUAUUUUUCAGUUAAAAUAAGACAAUUGGGGCCGAAUUCCACCUUGUGGCCGAACCCCACCUUGUUUUUUGGUUGAUUUUGAACAAUUUUCCUUUAUGUUUUGGAUUAUUAGUUGGCGAUUUAUUUUGGAUAUUAAGUUUUUAAUCCUUGAAUAAAUGAAAUUAUUUUGAAUUGAUACUUGUUUUUAUAAACUUUUAUGCAUGUGACCGAUUCAAAUUAAUUUUUCAUUCUAGGUAUGACUAGUGGGAAAGUUAGUUGUCUGGCAGAUAGUGCAACCACGCAUACUGUUUUGCGUGAACGCAUCUAUUUCACUAACUUCGUACCUAAGAAUGCACCUCUGACAACCCUCUCAGGCCCAUCCAACCUGAUCGAAGGAUACGGUAAGGCACAUAUAAUGUUGUCCAAUGGUACAAUCUUGACCAUUGCUGAGGCACUCUAUUCUCCACGUUCCGGAAGAACGUUACUAAGUUUCAAGGACAUUAGAGAUAACAAUUACCACGCUGAAACCCACGUAGAAAACGGAGUUGAAUUUCUGUGCGUAACUUCCUACGAAUAUGGCCAGAAGCGUAUUCUAGAGAAGAUGGAGCGUAACCCGAGUGGUCUGUAUACUACGACCAUACGCCCCAUAGAAUGCCACUAUGUGGCCGGCCCUACCACAGGGACCGCGCACGAAAUUACACUUUGGCAUGAUCGUUUGGGACAUCCUGGACGAAUAGCGAUGCGCCGUAUCCUCAAAACUUCACACGGGCAUCCACUAACCCGAAGCUUAGGUUCGAUCCAUGAAAUUGCAUGCCAAACAUGUUCUAUGGGAAAGCUUAUUACUAAGCCUUCUUAUGACAAGAUUCGUUCGAAUCCUCCCAUUUUUCUACAACGGAUUCAGGGGGACAUUUGUGGACCGAUUCAACCUCCCUGCGGACCAUUUAGAUAUUUUAUGGUUUUGGUUGACGCUUCUACACGUUGGUCACACGUGUGCUUGUUGUCCACAAGGAACGCUGCAUUCUCCAAACUGUUGGCUCAGGUUAUCAAGCUCAGGGCUCACCACCCUGAUUAUCCGAUCAAAUCUAUUCGAUUGGAUAAUGCUGGAGAAUUCACAUCUAAAACUUUUGAUGACUAUUGCAUGUCGGUUGGGGUUGAAGUUGAACAUCCUGUACCCCAUGUUCACACCCAGAACGGCCUGGCAGAGGCUUUCAUUAAGCGUUUACAAAUGAUUGCUCGAUCGUUGGUCAUACGUACCAAGCUCCCGAUCGCUGCUUGGGGCCAUGCAAUAUUGCACGCAGCAAAGUUGGUCCGCCUGAGGCCUGUUGCGACACAACCAUUUAGUGCCCUUCAGUUGGUCACCGGAUGCGAACCCGACAUAUCGCAUCUGCGCGUUUUUUGUUAUGCGGUCUAUGUGCCGAUCUCGCCGCCCUUACGUACAAAAAUGGGGCCUCAGCGAAGGAUGGGAAUCUAUGUCGGAUAUGAUUCUCCUUCGAUUAUUCGUUACUUAGAACCUUUGACAGGCGAUCUGUUUACCGCUCGUUUCGCGGAUUGUCACUUCUAUGAGACAGUCUUCCCGUCGUUAGGGGGAGAUAAGAACAUCAACGUUCCUAAUGAAUGACGCGAAUUAUCGUGGACGACUCCCACUUUGUCUCAUUUAGAUCCCCGCACCGCUCAGUCUGAAGCUGAAGUGCAGCGCAUAUUAGAUCUCCUGAGCAUAGCUCAGAGCAUGCCAGAUGCUUUCACCGAUCUAGCGCGCGUGACAAGAUCACAUAUUCCAGCUGCGAAUACGCCUGCAAAGAUGGAUGUACCAAAUGUACGACGGACUACCCUCCUGGAAGCCCGGGACGCCAAUUCUGGCGAUCCACGUACAUUAGCGGCUAGCCAAUCAUCUGCCCCUACACAAAAGCGUGGCAGACCCCUUGGUUCAAAGGAUUCACACCCCCGGAAGAGGAAAACCACGACACAAGGUCCUAAAGAGCCUACCGUGAAUCCGACUAUCGCUUACUCAUUUUACCCAACUCAUGAGGAAAUUCUAGAUUAUGGAAGCGUCCUUGAAGAGACGAAUCCUCCUCCCGAGAAUCAUGAGAUUUCGGUCUAUUAUGCUAGCUUAGAUGAUGUGUGGCGUAGAAAUGAGAUGAUUGUCGACGAUGCAUUAGCAUUUGCAGUAGCUACUGAGAUCAUGUUGAGCGAUGACAUUGAACCGCGUUCCGUUGAUGAAUGUCGACGUAGAGCUGAUUGGUCAAACUGGAAACAAGCAAUCCAAGUCGAACUUGAUUCACUUGCGAAACGUAAGGUGUUUGGACCUGUAGUUCCUACUCCUCCACAUGUGAAGCCCGUUGGCUACAAGUGGGUUUUCGUUCGGAAGCGUAAUGAGAAGAACGAAAUUGUGCGUUACAAAGCUCGUCUUGUAGCACAAGGUUUCUCACAACGCCCCGGGAUUGACUAUGACGAAACUUACUCACCCGUUAUGGAUGUGAUUACUUUUCGAUACCUUAUCAGUUUGGUAGUUUCCGAAAAACUGGAUAUGCAGCUGAUGGACGUAGUAACCGCGUAUCUCUAUGGGGAUCUUGAUACGGAAAUUUAUAUGAAAGUUCCCGAAGGACUUACAUUGACUGGUUCAAAUAUUUCCAAACCCCGGAACACGCUCUCAAUUCGGCUGAGGCGUUCACUAUACGGUUUGAAACAAUCCGGAAGAAUGUGGUAUAACCGUUUAAGUGAGUAUUUGACUAGUCAGGGAUAUGUGAAUAACGAACUAUGCCCUUGUGUGUUCAUUAAGAAGUCACAUUCCGGAUUUGCGAUUGUUGCAGUAAUAUGUCGAUGACAUGAAUCUCAUCGGAACUCCUGAAGAGCUCGCGAGAACUGUUUCGCACCUGAAGUCGGAAUUUGAGAUGAAAGAUCUAGGUAAGACUCGAUACUGUCUCGGUCUCGAGAUAGAGCAUUGUUCGGAUGGAAUCUUAGUACAUCAAUCGAACUACACCCAGAAGGUGUUACGCCGUUUUAAUGAGGAUAAAGCGAAGCCUUCGAGUACUCCUAUGGUCGUUCGUACGCUAGAUGCAAAGCGAGAUCCCUUCCGUCCGAAGGAGGAUGAUGAAGAGAUUUUGGAGCCUGAAGUUCCUUAUCUAAGUGCGAUAGGCGCUUUAUUGUACUUAGCUCAAUGCACUAGACCCGACAUCUCCUUCGCUGUUAAUCUUUUGGCAAGAUACAGCAAUGCACCAACACGCAGACAUUGGACUGGCGUGAAAGACAUCUUCCGUUACCUUAAGGGUACUACGGAUUUGGGCUUAUUCUAUCCCUACGAAUCCUCGAGUGAUGCCGCACCCUAUGCUCAUCGGGUUGAUUCUCGCCUUGUUGGUUAUGCCGACGCUGGAUACUUAUCUGAUCCGCACAAGGCGCGUUCUCAAACGGGUUAUGUCUUUACCGUUGGAGGCACCGCAAUAUCUUGGAGGUCAACUAAACAGACCUUAGUUGCCACUUCGUCUAACCAUGCUGAAAUUCUCGCCUUACAUGAAGCAACUCGGGAAUGCUUUUGAUUGAGAGCAGUAGUGGGCCAUAUUCGAAGCUCCUGUGAUCUUCAUCCCGCCGUUAAUGCCCCGACGACGAUUUUUGAAGACAACGCAGCUUGCAUCGAACAGCUCAAGAAGGGUUACAUCAAAGGAGACAACACCACACAUAUUGCGCCGAAGUUCUUCUUUACACAUCAACAACAAGAGCAUCAGAAGAUUGAAGUCACGCAAAUCCGAUCACAAGAUAAUCUGGCCGACCUCUUCACCAAAUCACUACCGAAGGCGACGUUUCAAAAGCUUGUUCAUGGAAUUGGUAUGCAUAAACUUUCUGAGUUGUAACUUUGCUAUUUCUCUUUGGAAUUAUGUCAAACUCAGGGGGAGUAUCUUCUAGAUACUUGCUUGAUCUUAAUGUACUCUUUUUCCCUACGAUUAGGAGCAUUUUUUCCCACUGGGUUUUUUGCUACCUAACUAGGUUUUAACGAGGAGGCACCCACCUUGGGCUGGUCAUAUCCCUGAUGACGUCCUGUAGACGUUUCUUUUGACUUUGCAUUUCUCACGCAUUUUUCCUUAAACUAUGGAUUUUGUCCCUACUUGGGUUUUUGCCAUAGCCUUAGGGUUUUUUUAGUGAGACUUACUACUUAUGCAAGUUCCUACCUUAUUGAGAAUAAGCGUUGUUCCUUGGAAUCAGUGCCAACGAGUCGACUUCCUCAACUUCUGCAUGAUGCUGAAUCUACCUUGAGUAUUUACCCACUCAAGGGGGAGUGUUGUAAACAUUCCUAGUUUAAGUAUGAUUGUCUAAAUCCUAGAUAAGAUUUGAUUCUAGUUAUCCUUUCCUAUUACAACUUGUAUUACUUGGAGAAGAAGGAAUAUCUUCUCUCCCUUUACUACUAUAAAUAAAGGCAUAAUGUAGGAGGGAUAACAACACACACAUUCCCCUACAAUUCUACAAACACACAUCUCUCUCCUCUCUCUCUCUGCCGCCGGCCCUAGUCCCUCUGUCAGAUAAAAUAGACCACAACAAGUAUAUUUAGUAAUUCACCUUUAUUGGUUAAGAAAAUUAAAUUAAUGGCACAUCUAGUAAUAUACCUUUUUUUGUCAUUUUACACCGUCACAGCUGUUUUACAUAAAAGUUUACCAAAUACUAUCAUACUGUUUUUUUUUUCCAAAAGAACUUUUACAAAAAAAGUUUAUCAAACACUAUGCUGCUUUAUUUCACAACUGUUUUUUUUUUCACAGCACAGCAGAAGCAGUUUUUUUUCAAAGCACAGCAAUACCAAACCAGCCCUUAGUUGGGUUUGUUUGCUUUUUUUUUUCCCUGGCUUUUCAUUUCUCUUCUUGCUCUCGCUUUCUUCUUUGUCCUUCUGUGUCGUUCUCAGAAGUAAUUUCGUUUUGCUCUUCAUUUUUUUUUUCCGCUGCUUCCAAAUUUUUGUUCAAUUAUUGUGGUAUUUUUGUGUGUUGUUGUCAGGUUUUUCAUCAGUGAAAAAAAAAAGGCAGCACUUUAGGUUUCUUUCAUUGUGAUAUUAGUUGUUUGGAGUAACUUGUUUUUAAACUAAUUUGCGGUUUUGCCUUGGUUUGGGGUUCUGAUUGGUGCUAAGAGGGUUAGUGACAGAGUUUAUAUGUUUUUUUGCCCAUUUUUAUCCUGUUUAGGACUUUUUGGUGCUAGGAUUUUUGAGCUUUGUUAUUUACCCUUUUGUUUUUUUUAGUUGCUUGAUUUGUUUUGCUGGUUGCAUUUGCAAAGAGAGAACAACAUCUUAGAUAGUUUCUGUGCUUAUGAAACAUUUGAGGGUAAGAUUCACAUGGUUAUUUAAAUCUAUGGGUUUUGUUUCUUCAAUUUUAAAAUGGAGAAAGCUUAACAUGAAAGAGAGAAACUUAUUUACAUUUUAACGGUUAAGAAUAAUUAUCUGGAGCUUUCAUUUUUAUUUGGUUUAAUUUCAAUUCAUGUACAUAUUCCCUAUAAUUUAUUUUCCGUUUUGUAUGAGUGUCUACGUAUUAUAAAUAAAAGAACUGUACGGAGUUGUUUCUCUGAAGUUUUACUUCGUGUGACAUUUUACCUAGAAAAUGAAUAUUAUUUUAAGAAAGGAUUGUAUAACAAGUAACAACCCAUAAAAUGUGGCAUUAUGUGUGAGUGGGCUCCUAUACCUCAAUGGCUAUGUGACAUGAUUUCCGCGCGUUUCUUUUUCAUUGUGCGUGCUUUUCUUUAUUUGUUUAUUGAGUUUUCUUUGAUUCAUUUGAUCUACCUAGAAGUAUCUAGCCAAUUUCCCUCUUAAACUAUCACAAACCUAAGCCCCCACUGCUGCCCCGUUUACCACAUUUCACAUAAUUUUCCAUUGAAAAUAUCUCCAUUCCGGUCAUUGUAUGUUUAUUAAUUCUUCAUUCAUCAAUGUUAUUUGUUACUUUUCAAGAUAUACGUUUGUUGUCUUUCCUUUCUCAAUGUUAUUUGUUACUUGUCAAGAGAAAUGUGGGUAAACAACUAAACAUGCUGGUAGAAAUGAACUGCUUUUUGUUUUUUCAAAAAAACAAGCUGGUUGCAAAGUCACGAAGUUUCAUCCUUCCGCAAGCUAGGAAGACCUACAAAGGCAUUUCAACCUCUCUAGCCACCAUUAUGUGAUUCACCAACAUCAGGAAUCGAACAAUAAUUUCAUCGCAAGUUUCCAAGAAAUGGAGGGAGAGAAAAAAUGGAGUUCGUCUUAUGUAACAAUAGUUUCCAAGCAAUUGUAUCAGAAAUCUGUAAUUUCCUUAUAGACUACGUGCGUUUCAUCGUGUCACAACUAGAUGUGAAGCACGUUUUCGGUCAUUCUAAUCUUACAACUAUACAAUAGUUCCUAAAUGUAAUCAAACUGUCAAAUGCUUGGUUAGGGAAGGAAGAGAUUACUAAAGCAGGUCAUCGAAAGCCGGAGGAGGGAAAAUAUCACCAGUAAUAGGACUUGAACUUGAUUAAAGCUCAUUGAAGAGACAGAUCAUGGCAUCUGCUCCAUGUUUGAUAAUCCCCACACAAGACGGGAAGCAAAACCGGUAAAACCUAAGCAUUGAUUAGUCGAGAUCCACAAAAAUCUGCAACAAGUCCAGAAGGUUGAUCAGAAUAGAAUGAAAACCAAAAGCAUUCAGAGUUGUAGUUUAGAUGGCACCAACUAUUUCAGCACAAUUCGCAAAUGUUUUAUCCAAAAGAGACUAACCUCCAUAUCUGGCAAAGGGUCGUAUGACUUUUUCUCUCUUAUGUUAAACACAGUAAUGCCCGUGAUCCUCUGAACUCCAAGUUUAGUGGCAAUCAGGUUCUGCAUUAGAAAACAGCUACUCUAAGAAACUACUCAAAUAGAUGAAAGUAUGAAGGGCAAAUAUUUUUCACGGUAAUAAUCUCAAUGUUAUAUUGCCGAAAGAUGACUGGUUACAUUUAGGUUGCGGGGUUCAGAGAGCAUCAUCUCCAUUGUGAUUAUCAUUUACCAAAGAUGUUUCAACUGAAUCUAUAACACUAUGUUUGGAUGAGGGAAAUAAACUUGGAAUUUGGAUAAAAGUCAGAAUUUAUAAAUUGAUAUGCACCAAUUACCUUGUUUGGAUUCAUAAAACAUAGAAAUUUAGAAUUUCGCGUGCCAGAUUGAAAUUUGUGGAACCAAACGCCUCAACCCUCGGCAAAACCUGUUUGUGAUUUCAAAUUCAUAAAUCAUGGUUCCUAAUUUAUCUUUCAUCAUGUUAAGUAAUCUAACUCAUGCGGUCUCAAAGUUCAGAGAGUAUACAGGAUCUGUUAAAAUAUUGAGGUCACUAUAAGCAAUCGAAAAUGAAAAAAGGCACCGACGAAACCUACAAGAAGGGCUUGAACAGGAUAUCACCAUGAUAGCAUCUAAAAUCGUAUGUUGAGUAGACUUUGGGGCAUACUUGUCAAAAACAAAAUUUGAAAGAUGAUUUAAAGCAUUACCACAGUUUGAAGACCAUUAAUCACAACAACAUUCUCCUCACGUGAAUCAUCUUGUGAUAAACAAACUUCGAAAGGGCCGAGUUCCUUAUCUGUCUCAUUUGCUAAAUUCAAGUGUAGCUGCACGAUGUUUUUACUUGCUCAGUUCCAAAUCAUUGUAUUAGUCAGUGACUAAUAAUAAUUCCUUCACCCAGCCUUUAUUUCCUUUAGAAUUGCUUAUAAUUGCAUCCUUCAGCCUUUUAUUUCGUAUAAAAUUCUCUAUAAUUGUGGUCACUUAGACUUAUUUAUCUUGAAGUUCUCUGUAGUUGCUUACAAUAAAAUAAAUAACUACAAUAUUUUAAAGACAAUAUGACAUAGUUUCCAAGUACAUUAUGACAAUAUUUAAAAGACAAUAUGACAUAUUUUAAACACAAUAUGACAUAUUUUAAAGACAAUAUGACAUAUUUUAAAGACAAUAAGACAAUAUGACAAUAUGACAAUAUUGAGGUCAUAUUUUAAAGACAAUAUGACAAUAUGACAUAGUUUCCAAGUACAAUAUGACAAUAUUUAAAAGACAAAUAUUUUAGUAUUUGUUUUACAAAGUACGGUAUUUUAUAAAUAAUUAUAUAUAUAUAUAUAUCAAAUAUAUAUCAAAUUUCAGGUCCCUCUGUGAGGUGAAGCACAUUGCCUAGGCGGGGCUACCAUGAACCACUUCGCCUAUGCCUUUGCCUUUUAAAACAUUGCCCCAAACCCACAGAAGUGUUUAGGCCAAACGUUGCAUCUCUUUCAGACAUCCUGCGCUUCCUCGGCAACAGGCCAUCGACUCCAUAAUAAACAUCACAACUUUCCAAAGAUCCGGAAUCAGGUGGGUGUGAAGAAUUACAUAGCUUGGUGUUAUCAUCUUGAGGACCCAUAUCAUCUGGACCAGACCAAGGCUCUCCGUACAUAUUGCGCCUUCGCUGCUCUUCGGCUGGAGGGCGGAGUUCUAGCUCUCGGAGCAACAGACCAGCAGCAUCUGCACCUCUAGGCCGGGGCAUAUUCUGUAUAGCCAAUCAGAAAAAAUAUUGUCAAACAUGACCAUUUUUCAGCGAGUAACUUUCAACAAGAGAAAAGAAUAUGUUAAAGAUUAAGAAGUUCAACAGUCAAUAGAAAACCUGAAUAUGUGGAACUAGUGCUGGUUCAACAGCCGUUGCUUCAGGAUCAAUGCCUGAUAACGUUUCACCAGAUGCCUGCCAUGGCUCUGGUACCAAAGCAGAUGGAUUUAACAACCUGGCUUGCUUGUCUAGAACCAUUGCCCUAACUUCUUGUGCAUUUGUACCUUCAAGUAGCCUGCACUUUAACCUGUCGAGACACUGCAUCAAAACAGAUAUAAUUUUAUGAGUCCUUUUUCUAGGUGAUUUUUUUUCUUGGUAAUCUUUUGCUUGGCAAGUAGAACUGUUAACAUCUCUUGCUUGUACUGUCAAUUGGCUUUAACAGCAAAAGUCUUUUUUCUUUUUCUUUUAAAUUCCAGAUGAGCAUGUUCGACACUACCAGGCCAUUCAUAUAAGAAAAAAUUAUGUGUCAUGAAUUCAUUUAAAUUCAGCAUAUUUCACUACUUAAAGGUCGUACCCAGUGCACAAGGCUCCCGCUUUACGUAAGGUCUGGGAGAGGUGAAUGUCGGCUAGCCUUACCCCCAUUUUAUGGAGAGGCUGCUCCCAAGUCUCGAACCCGAGACCUACCGCUCAUGGGCGAAGGCACUUGCCAUCGCACCAAGUGCGACCUCUUAUAUUUCACUACUUGCACAAACAAAAUAUAUUACAUCAUAUGUCUGAAAUUUUUUAUCAAUAUUCUAGAGGCGCGCACAUGAGUAAUUAUGAACAAAACAUCUCCGAGAUUGUGUAAUAAACUGUUAAUGCAUCAAGAUUUAUAACACUGUAAAAUGCAGCAAAUAAUUUCACUAAAAUGACACCUUUGGUCCUAAUUGUCAUGAAAAAAUUAUUAUGUACAAGAAAAUUUAUAAGCAUCUUGAAAAACCUGCGUCAUAGCUAAAAACUUACAGGACCAAAUCGUUGUCUGCGUUGAGCAGAAGGAAGAGAAUGAAAAUUUGCAUCCAGUACCGCAAUGACACUGUUCAGAGAAACUGCAACGAACAAACAAAAAAACACAAUCAGAAGGUUGUGCACAUCAUUUACAAAGAAAUUUUGCAUGAAACGCAUAUAUAAAAAAUUGGAGACCUAUAAUUUGUUUCCUAAUUUUUCAAGAAAUACUUUGCUAUUCAUCAGUCACACGACAAUACCACCAAAAAGAAUCCAAAGUUAUUACCAAUGCCAUCCUCUGCAGCACUCCGCGUACAGCCAACAACAUCCGACCAAUCAACCCCAACGAAAAGACUCCGCCAAAACCUGCCAUGGUGACCAUCACUCUAUUGAAACUUGAACAUCCACAAAAAAUCAUUUCAGGGAUUCAAGGUUCAUCAAGGUGGAAGAAGUACCUUUCGGCAAUGGCCCGUUCCCAGGUUGACGAGUUUACCUUCACUUGGCUGCUUGGAACAGCAGGAGGAAGAACACGUAUUAUUUUUAAAACUGUACGGUCCUUACCACUAUCAUGCCAAACAGAAGCUGAACAGCAGCUUGUCGAUGAGAAGGCAGGGGUAGCAAUUGCAGAUCCAACGUUAAUCUGGUAGUUAUCAACAGGUGCAAAGUUCGGACCAGAGAAGAUGUGGACCCCACCCCGGAGGAAAGCAACAGCAAUCUCACCACCAUGAGCAGAAUAGACUAUUCGAGCAAGUGUUCUAACAUCACUUGGCAGGUCAAAAGGAUCAAAACUGACUCGUUUUACUUUCUCUAUGCCAGAAUCAGGAGUCUUCCUUGCAUCAGUGGUUGCUGUUGUCGCUGCUGCUUGGUGACUUUUAAAAUCAUUAGUUGGUUGUAUGCUUGUGUCCACUUUGGAUAGCCAAACAGUUUGCAUUGGUGCCUGCCCACCAAAACUGGAAGUAGGAUUUCCAAAGAUUUGGUGAACAAGAGGCUGACGUGAUGAUUCCCAGCUUUGUACUCUCCAUCCUGUAAUUGAUGGACCCUCAUCUGGAUCAUAAGGAGACAUGUAUUGUCCUGCACUCAUGAUUCAAUUCAUGCAACUACUAUAGUUCAGACGUAUUUCUAAGAAAACUUAGUUUCUAAUCAGGAAAAAAAAGGGUUGUCGUUACCUAACAGGCCAGAUAGAAUAGAACUCUAAAUAGUACAACAGAAUCAAAGGUAAGGUAAAGAUACCAACAAAAAAAAAACAGUAAACAGAAGGCAGAAAAGAUGGCAAGGAGAUCCAUUCAAAAGGUCUUGCAAUAAUAAAGCUGAAAAAGUACUUUUCAAAAGGUGAGAAAAUGCAUAAGACUACCACUCAACAAGAACACAGAAGUAUGGAAACAAAGAUUGUACGAAAACGAGAAAUAAUGACACACUGGUUUAUGUUGUUCAAAAUUAAAACUAACAAACCAAUUUUCUGAGAAAUUUUUAGGGAAAAAGUACAUCUGGAUUAGAAAAGAUUAACAAAUAAACAAAUAAAUGCAUGCUUCGUUACACCAACAACUUGCAAUUGAAUUCCAAACACAAAGAAUAGAGAAAAAAAAUAAAGGUUUUCAAGGAAGAAGACAAUUAGUACCCUCAACUACGACAACAGCUAUGACAGAACCACCACGGGUUGGAUCAAAGGCAACCGCAGUAACUCCAGAUCCCCUUGUAGUGGUAGUUGCAGAUUGAGAUGCAGCCUCGGGACUCACAUAUGCUGAAAAAUUAGAAACUGGAGAGGAAUGAAGUGGUACAGUAUCACUGAAAUCUGGAUCUGUCUGCUUUCCCCCUUGCUUUGCUUCAACUAAUAGAUAAUCUUGCCAGCUAAACAAAUAUGUAGCCAAAGGGGAAAAACCUGCCCAAUUGGGUGGAUUCAUUGAAGGUGGGACCCCAUCAGUUGUGCUAAUCUUUGGAGUUGCAUGAAAUCCAUUUCCUAGGCCAGGAGCGACCUCCCAAACAACAACCGUAGAUGGGUUUACAAUUGGAACGCCUGCGACAUGCAUGGCACCACUGUCUGUUAUGAUAGCAUCAGCUGCCAUGAUCCCACUAGUCCCAGCACCCAAGAGUCCCUUGCUUGUUUGAAACCACUUUGGUGCAGCACUAGUCGGAUUAGGAGGAUACUGGGACCAAUGAAGCUGAACAGAGCCUGAAGAGAAAACAGAACAGACGCACAGAAAACUGGGCCACCGAGCUGAAACAAAUAACAAAAUAUUGCAUCAGAUACCAAUCGAACACCAGCAGAAAUAAAAUGGAAAAUAAGAUAGCUAGAAAUUAAGAGACAUUGCAAUGAAGGAAAAAAAAAAACCUGAAUUUUGAGACUGCUGUGAAAGAGAUUUUUCUUCAAAGGUUGACUUUUCAUAAAAAAAAAAGAUUUAAAAAAUCAUUAACCAUCAACAUCAUCUGAAAAAGGAUACUGCAGUCACACCAGCAGAAAUAAAAUGCGAUCUACAUAUAAACAAUAAGCAAUCUAAUAUGUUACAUUUCAAAGAACAAAGUACAUUCAGAUGGGCAGAACAAGAAACACAAACAUAUCCUUUAAAUCAGAUGAGUAGCAUACAACAAAAUUGCUUACUGGGGACACUCUGGACAGCCACUUUGUAACAACUGCAAUAUCCUGCUGCCAUUCAUGCUCUUGUUGCCAGCGGCUGGUAUCGUGUACGAGAUUAGCUGGCCCCUAAGCAGAUAGAUCAAAUAUAGAUCAAAUAUAAACAUUUCAUCAUAUUAUAAAAUAAAAUAGAAAGCAAAAAUUGGCCAAGAUUAUUGCAAUUUAGGUUAAUGGAAAGGCCACAUCAAAAGCUUGCAAGGGGAAAAGGUUAUCUGCAUAAGAAGAAAUCAGUACAACAAGUCUAGCUUACUUGAGAAGGCCGAGUCCAGAUUGUUACUCUCCCAUGGAAAUUGGCAAUUAGUAAGGCACGAGGGCAAGAAGUAGGAGACCAUUCAAUAAACUGAACAGAAUCACGAGGAGAAUCUGCAAAAUGUAUUCAAAACUAUCAUGGUUCACAGAAUUAGAACCAACAUUUAGGAAAGCAAAAGCAAAAGCAAAACAUCAAAGGUCUUCCUAACCAAGCAUCGAAUGAAAAAGACAUGCAAAAAUAUAUGCCAACUGUCAGGAGACUUCUUCCAAUAUUUAGGGAAUUGCAUCCAAAUGAGAUGGGAUUUGAACACUUAAUGAGCUAGCAGGUAAUAACUAUUGGACUGCGGAUGCUAAAAAACAACUUCGUAUGCAAGAGUUGCUUGGAAAGAAAAAGAAAUUUGACACAUUGUAGAUGUUCAUAGCAAAAGCAUAUUGGCAUUAAGCAAGUCCAAAGAGAAUUAUAAAGCCUUCAUAGUUAAUUAUCAAGCUAUUCACUGAAUAAGUUGCAGUGAAGAAAACUUAGGCAAAGAAUCUGAAGAACCAAAGGCCCAUAUAAAAGCAAAUAAAUCAUCUAAAUACCUGCAUUGACAUUGAACACUGCACGCUCAGUUGGUCGCUCUGGGAUCACGAUAUGUAUGGGAAUCCCAAAAGGUACAUUUGCAUUUGAACUACAGAGAAGGCCAUAACAAAAAGAAUUGUCAUGACUCAUAAUUGUACACAAAUGUAACUAAUUAAUAAGAGAUGAAAUAAAAUAUAGGCCAAACUUAAGCACGCUUAGUGCCCACCAACCAGGCUUCCUACUUUUUACUAGUGAUUCCUUGAUGAUCCAUUUGGACCCUAUAUGAAUAUGCUCUAUUUCUAAAAGUAAGCUGUAACUACAAUUCUUAAAAACUUCUUUUUAUGGAAGUACAAUUCUUAAACAUUCUAGAAAGAUUCAUCCUUUUCUUUGCAUCACGCAUAUUAUCACACCAGAACAAAUCCCACAUUUCAUGACGCAAAACUCUCAUGGUCAGAAAAAAAGUGAGCAUAAACAAGCAAUACAAACCUUGGAAUACUUGCACACGUUUCUGAUGCACAAGCGAUGGCAUUCAGCUUCCCGCACCAUGCAACAGCACUGGAGAAACAACAAAAAGACUACACAUAAAGCCAAAUCAUCUGUACGUAACUUAAAACAUAAAUGUACGAUGGCCAGGGCAAUUUAGCAGUGUCAUGGUAUUAAGGAAGUAAUAUCUAUUCCAACUAGCUUUCCUUUAUGCUUCUCAUUUCCAGAGUUCUAGUAACCUUGACCAUAACAAAGCUGAUAGCUCGUACACCUCUCAGACUAAGGCAGGUAAUUCUCAUUUCCAGCUUUAUUCACAUCAUGGAAAGUUAUUGAUUGGCAACGGUUCAUAGGGCAAUGGCGUAACUAAAUCAAUAAAGACCUAAAAUUUCGAAACUACCCGCCAUAGAAUCCCCCAAUAUCAAUCCUUCUCUCUCCACAUUUCAAAUUCAACAACUUUUCUCUCCUUCCCAUCUCGUUAUACACUAUAUAAUCACACUUUCUUGCUUCAUUUCACAAUAUUUUGAAUUUUUCUCCGUGAACACAAAACUACAGAGCUCACACCAGUACAAAUAUUCUCAUUUUAUUCACAGUCCCGCUUCGAAACCAAAAUUUAAAGACAAUUCACCCAGAUGCCCCCCACCCCCAACAAAAAGAAGCAUAAUUCAAUGAACAAAACUCAAAAUUUAACAGACUGGAGCUCGAAUUUCAAAAUUCACCUAAAAUUGCGACAAAGCUCGGGGACGCGCAUCUUGUGCUGCAAAUUGGACCUGGGCUGCUUGAGCCUGAUACAGAAGACGGCGGCGGGGUUGACUGCGUCAUCCUCCAUGGGAUCGUCUGGCUCGUCGACCGGCUCUUCCUCUUCGUCUUCUCCUCCUCCUCCAAUGCUCUCAAUACUCCCCGUUUCGGGCUUGUCGGUCUCAGGGGAAUGAGCCACAGGCUCGUCGUCGGAGCCCUUCACUUGACUCAUUACCCCAAAACCCUAAAAAAUUACAUAAACAACAAAUCACAAUUGUGAAUUACUAACCGUCAUUAAAAUUGUUAGUAGCAGAUUAGAACAGAGUCAAAUCUAAAGCAUAAUUUUGAGCUGCCAAUAUCAUUGGCUGCUCUUCAGAAGUUUGGCAGGCCAUAGGGUGCUCAGAAAGGGUUCCUGGCAAGAAAGAAGCGAAUAGAAGCAAAUAGCUGGGUGACAAGUCCCGGAGAAUGACGGGAGGAGGCAUGCGCUGACGCUUACGGUUGGCGACUACAUGAGAAGCAGAGGGCUUCUCUGAACAUAUUAUAACCUUAAAUGCGUUAAUAAGUUGAAUUAAACCACCACAGAAAUAAGAAAGUUCAAACAGAGAGAACAUAUUAAAAACAGAUCAAGGUAAGCAAAAAAAUACAGACUGUAUCUGCAAACUAGCUGAUUAAACCAGAAAGUUUCCUAGCUUACGUAGUCGUCGUCGUCGUCAUCAUCAAGGUUGUCAUCAUCCUCAUCAUUAGCAUCACCGUCUUGGUCCUCCUCCUCCUCAUCAUCAUCCUCAUCAUCGUCUUGGUCCUCCUCAACAUCAUCGUCAUCGUCAUCGUCAUCGUCAUCGUCAUCAUCCUCAUCAAUAUCCUCAUCAAAAUCAUCAUCUUCGGUAGAAAUUUCUUCUAGGGCCCGUUCGUAAGGGAUGUAACGGUAAACAAACGUACCUUCUCUAGUCAUAUGUUUGUCGCAUCUUAAACGUACCCCUAUUUUCUUGACCACAGUAUUUGGACAAUGUGCAAUAGCAUGGACCAAAACCGAAUCGCCUUCUUCCAAAUUGAACUCAGUUUCCGACCACGAUAAAUUUCCCAGCCAAGGACAUCUUCAAUGGAACCAAGCUCUCCUAUUUCGACACAAAAACUAGUACGCUUGGUGCGAUUAAUAACAUAAACAUAAGACUUCCACAUAUCAUCAAACGAGAUGGCGUCAUCAUGAGGAACACAAGCCACACACACAGCCAACGCUUUUGCAUUACAACCAAUUUCCUUAGGCACUUCAAAAGAGACUUGGGUACCCUCGUUGACAUGGUUGAACCAAGUGGGAAUUUGUCUUCCUACAAGAUCCAUCCAUCCACCUCCUCCUGUCCAUCCCUAUACCAUGUUGAAUAAGAUUUGUGUGAGUAAUACAUACACAACACGCAUAUUUGCGAGGGAGGAGUGUGUGUGUGUGUGGAAGAGAGAGAGAGAGAGAACCUGUAGCGUGCUAUCCUUAAGAAGGUAAUCUGUGACUUUGUUGUGUAUUGGCAUAUCAAUUCCGUGGCCCGAGUUUAACACGCUUUCCACGCCUGGAAACUCAAUGAGUUUGGGGGAACCGAUAUUCACGUAUGUCGACAUGCCUGAAAAAUCUGGCAUUCUUUCUAAUGCAGAGCAGUCGUCCAUCCCCAGGUGCUCCAAACGUUUUGGUAAAUCUGUGAUCUCGACAAGGUUUCUGCAACCAUUCAAGAAUAAUGUAUGAAGCUUGGAGAGGCCACUGAGGCUUGGAAGGCUCCAAAAAUUAUUGUCACCUAGAUAUAAGCUGCAUAAACUAGGUAGACUACUCCCAAUAUCAUUAGGCACUUCCUCUAAAUUGUUGCCCGCCAAACUUAAGCUUGUUAAAGAGCGUAAGCCUCGUAAGGAAGGUAGCGGCAAAAGACACUUCAAGUAACUCAAAGAUAAGCGCUCGAGCUUCCCCAGUCGUACGAUGGAAGGUGGUACUUUUUUUAUGGCCGUCCCAUCUGCAUAAAGAGUGACCAAUGACGUCAUUUUCCCCAAGUGCUCAGACAAACUUCGGAAUCUUGAACAACCAUUGAGAACAAGAGUUUUGACAGAUUUCAACUUGUAGAAACUCCUCGGGAGAGCCUUAAGCGUUUCACAGCCUUCCAAAUUCACCAACACAAGACUCUUGAGAUCUCCGAUGGACUUGUGAACUUCAGCCAACCUCUUACAGUCUUUGAGUAUCAAUUUCUCAAGAUUUGGGAAUUUCGAAAAGUCUGGCGAUUGUGUUAGAUCGUGGGAGUGGCUGAGAUUCAGAAUCUUCAACUUACCAAGCAACUGUUAAGAAAAAUCAAAUUUAAAUUCACAAAGAAGAUACAGAUAGCAUAAAAAUAAUUCCUAAUUUGGUUCAGGUUACGCAUUGUACUUACCCCAGAAUACUCACAAAGAACUUGUUUGAGGCUGCUGUACCGCAUGUCAAUAGCGACUAUGUUUGGUUGACACAGUUCUAUUGGUAUGAACUCCAAUGGGAAUCCAUGCCAGCACAACCAUCUUAGAUUUUUGGAAAGACAUUGGUAUCCCCCAGCGAGCCGAACGUAAUUUAGUUGGAGCAACCUCAGUCUCAUAUUUCUAAAAGCCUCAGUACUGAAACUAGUCUCUUCAAGACUCGGCAAAUUCAAAGCCAGACCUUCAAUUUUUUCAGUUCCCUACUAUCCGAAAAAACAGACUCCAAAUAAGAAAAGGCUUUGCAAGAAAAAAAGUUAGAUUACUAACUUACAUAUGCUUACACGUUUAACAUAAAGUUCAAUUGGGAAAGUACUUACAGAUUUGUCUAUCAAUACAUCAUUUACAUCUUCAGGACGCCACAAUCUACUCCGUUCUCCAGGGAAAUUGGGAUUUUCUGCAUGCACGAUAUCUCUGCCCAUAUCCCGAAGCAAAUCAUGCAUCAUAAUCUUGUUUUUUCUACCAAUAGUUACAAGGCACAGGUCAAGGAGGACCUCGAUUCCUGUUGUUGCAUAAAGGCCACAACCAUCCAAGAUUUGCAUGACAUCGUUCUUGUCCAUUCCAAUAAAAAAACAAGCUAUAUCAAGGAAUAUUCGCCUCUUGUAAUUAUCAUUUAGGCCGUCGUAGCUUAUUUUCAAUUGUGCCUGAAUUUCUCCACGAGGAAUCAUUUUCAAUUCAUCCAAUAUACUUCUCCAGUCAUGUUCACUUCGUUUGAAAAGAGUAGAUCCUAAAACUUCAAGAGCCAGCGGUAGUCCUCCACAGUAAUUGACAACUUCUCUUGCGAGCACAAGAUAUUGACUAGGACAACAACUACUUCUGAAAGCAUGCCAACUUAGGAGCUCAAGAGCUUCUUCUUGAUCCAUUCCUUUCUCCCGAUAUAUCUCAUCAACUUCAAAUUCUUUUAGCACACGUUCGUUUCUAGUUGUGAUGAUGAUUCUACUCCCAGGGCGAAAAGAGUGGCAAUUUCCCACUAAUUCGCGUAGCUGCUUCACAUCGUCUACAUCAUCUACUAUGACAAGUACCUUUAAGAGUCGAAAUCUUUCCCUUACCAAGGCGGUCCCUGCAGCAACACUGCUUACCUCUUUCUUGGUCAUUUGCAAGAUAUCAUAAAGAAGAUGUUUUUGCAAUUUUUCUAGUUUCUUUUCCCUCACUUUUUCAAGGAAACAUUUACCUUCAAACCUUUCACAAAAUUCGUUAUAAAUGGCUUUAGCAAUCGUUGUUUUACCUAUUCCACCCAUGCCCAAAAUUCCAACCACCCGAACAUCAUCUGAAUCUCCGAUGCAUAAAUAAUUACUGAUAUCUUGCACUCGAGAAUCUAGUCCGACUUGAUAGGGCGCUACGUCUAAAUAUGUGUUGUUUAGCUUCCUAUUGACUUCCUCAAUAAUCUUCUUGAUAAACUUUGCUUCAAUCCUGGCAUUAGUCAAGUUGAGAAGCAAAACGAAGAUUGUUAUACAACUACAAGACGAAAUUGAACUAAUACACAAAAUUACUUAUCAUGACUAGAGAUUUAAUCAAGACAAUUUUAUUUAAGGUGUUGUGUUUAAACUUAGCAAACAUCAAUUAAAUUUAAAAAAGAAACACAAACAAACAGAAACGCCUCCCUUCCCUACGCAGCCAUUCACCGGCGGUUCCCUGCUGAGAUUAGUGUAGCCUUAACAGUUUAAGCUUUAUCGUAUGAUUUUAUUAACAGAGGACUAAGAAAAAUAAUACAUGAUAUUGAUAAGCAAAGGUACGUUAAAGCCUUAAUUCAUAAAAGAAGAAACUAGUAAUUACCCGCCCAAGGUGUUUCUGAGAUCCCAGCCAGACAAAUUCGAAGCUUCAGUGAGAGCAGUUCUCCACCUCUCUUCCUUCCACCUCUCUACCUUCUUUUCAUCUAUAUGUUCCAGAAACAAUUGUCCAAAACUGUCAGUCUGUUUCCUGACAUGCGAAGGAUCAACGUCAUAGAAUAUCGGCAAAACUAUUUGCCCCAGCGUUCUUCUACAUUCCAUGAUCUUAACCAGCUCCUCGAGGCACCAGCUGGAGUUCGCAUACCGUAUAGAGAAGACGAUGAUAGAGAUCUUAGAACCUUGGAUUGCUCGCUCAAAUUCGGUUGUUAAUUCUUCUCCCUUUUUUAGUUCUUCUUCGUCAAUAAAAGCGUUGAUUCCGGCCCUUGUCAAUGCUUCAUAAAGGUGGCCCGUGAAGUUUUUACGUGUGUCUUCGCCUCUGAAGCUUAUGAACACAUCGUAGAGCCAACCUUUUGAGAAAGCGGACGAGGACGAGGCUUUAUCGGGGACGGAGAUAUCCAUUUGGCGAAAGACAAGGCCGAGGGAGCAAAAGAGGAAGAUGAGGGCAUCAAAGACGACCGGAAUUGCGAUGGGCGACGUGGUAGGACAUUAACACCAGCACCAUGAUUCACAGCUUCCCCAAGCUCGACCAGUUGUCCAUUGCCUUCAUUUUCUGGCGGAACUAUUUUCUUCUUCUUAUAAUUAAUAAACCCGCCACAAAUAUACACGGUGCAGUUGACUGAAGACUUGAGAGUUGUGGUUCUACACCCCAAAUUCUACGAGGUGCCUUUUGUUUAAUCCAACUUUCAACUUUGGUAGCGAGUGCCAAACGCAUAUUUACAGGGCUCUCACUUUCAAUAUUGUUAAUAUAAAGGAAAAAUAUAUAAUUAUAUACAAUUUGGUAUAAAAUUAUCAAGGUUAUUGAACCUACAAUCUUUAUCUAUUUAUAUACAAUUUGUUAUAAAGCAAUCAAAGUUGUUGAACCUACCGCCUAUGUAUAUUUAUAUACAAUUUGGUAUAAAAUAAACAAAGUAGUUGUGGAAAAUGGCAUCAAGGACGCGUUUCUUUUUCAUUGUGCGUGCUUUUCAUUAUUUGUUUAUUGAGUUCUCUUUUAUUCAUUUGAUCUACCUAGAAGUAGCUUGGCAAUUUCCCUCUUAAACUAUCACAAACCUACCGAAGUCCCACUCCGGCCCCGUUUACCACAUUUCACAUAAUUUUCCAUUGAAAAUGUCUCCAUUCCGGUCGUAGUGUGUUUGUUAUCUUCCAUCGUCAAUUUUAUUUGUUACUUUUUAAGAUGUACGUUUGUUGUCUUUCCUUUCUCAAUGUUACUUAUUACUUGUCAAGAGAAAUGUGGGUAAACAACUAAACAUGCCGGCAGAAAUGAACCUUUUUUUUUUUUUUUUAAAGACAAGCCGGUUGCGAAAUCACGACAGUUCAUCCUUCCGGAGGCCAAGAAGACCCACAGACUUUUCAGCCUCUCUGACUAUCAUUAUGUGAUUCACUAGCAUCAGGAAUUGAAACAAUAAUUUCUUCGCAAGUUUCCAAGAAAUGGAGGGAAAGAAAAAAUGGAGUUCGUCUGAUGUAACAAUAGUUUCCAAGCAAUUGUAUCAGAAAUCUGCAAUUUCCUUAUAGACUACGUGCGUUUCAUCGCGUCACAACUAGAUGUGAAGCACGUUUUCGGUCAUUCUAAUCUUAGAACUAUACAAUAGUUCCUAAAUGUGUAAUCAAACUGUCAAAUGCUUGGUUUGGGAAGGAAGAGAUUACUGAAACAAGUCAUCGAAAGCCGGAGGAGGGUAAAUGUCACCAGUAAUAGGACUCGAACUUGAUUAAAGCUCAUUGAAGAGACAGAUCAUGGCAUCUGCUCCAUGUUUGAUAAUCCCCACACAAGACGGGAAGCAAAACCGGUAAAACCUAAGCAUUGAUUAGUCGAGAUCCACAAAAAUCUGCAACAAGUCCAGAAGGUUGAUCAGAAUAGAAUGAAAACCAAAAGCAUUCAGAGUUGUAGUUUAGAUGGCACCAACUAUUUCAGCACAAUUCGCAAAUGUUUUAUCCAAAAGAGACUAACCUCCAUAUCUGGCAAAGGGUCGUAUGACUUUUUCUCUCUUAUGUUAAACACAGUAAUGCCCGUGAUCCUCUGAACUCCAAGUUUAGUGGCAAUCAGGUUCUGCAUUAGAAAACAGCUACUCUUAAGAAACUUCUCAAAUAGAUGAAAGUAUGAAUGUAUAUUGCUGAAAGAUGACUGGUUACAUUUGGGUUGCGGGGUUUAGAGAGCAUCAUCUCCAUUGUGAUUCUCAUUUACCAAAGAUGUUUAAACUGAAUGUAUAAGGUGCUGGUGAAAUUAUUCUCCGUACCAGAUUGAAAUUUGUGGAACUAAACGCCUCAACCCUCGGCAAAACCUGUGUGUGGAUUUCAAAUUCAUAAAAUAGUUAUAUAAUAAAGAGUGAGAUGCUAAAUAUUUGGAAUUUAAAAGUAUGAAUUCAAAUAUGUAGUCCUUGGUUCCUAAUUUAUCUUUCAUCAAGUAAACUUAUGUAAUCUAACUGAUGGAUCUCAAAGUUCACAGAGUAUACAGGGUCUGUUAAAAUAUUGAGGUCACUAUAUGCAGUCGAAAAUGAAAAAAGGCACCAACGAAGCCUAUAACAAAGGCUUGGACAAGAUAUUACUAUGAUAGCAUCUAAAAUCGUAUAUAGAAGCAGACUUUGGGACAGCAUAAAAUGUUAUAAACUUGGGGCAUGCAUAUCAAAAAAUUGGAAAGCUGAUUUAAAGCAUUACCACUGUUUGAAGACCAUUAAUCACAACAACAUUCUCCUCACGUGAAUCAUCUUGUGAUAAACAAACUCCGAAAGGGCCGAGUUCCUUAUCUGUCUCAUUUGCUAAAUUCAAGUGUAGCUGCACGAAGUUUUUACUUGCUCAGUUCCAAAUCAUUGCAUUAGUCAGUGAGUUCUAUUAACUGAAGAAUGACAAGAGCAAGACGUAAAUAUGGGGAUGAAUUGUGAAGCAUGAAGUUCAACAGUCACUAGAAACCUCUAUUAGUGAAUUUCAUAGACAAUCAAGCUGCAAUAAUCUAAUGAACAAGAUAUAUAUAUAUAUAUAUAUAUAUAUAUAUAUAUAUAUAUAUAUAUAUAUAUAUGACACCAAAAAGAAUGAAAAUUACCAAAAAGGGUCUUUCCAACUUGAUGGCAGAUGGCUCCUCCACAACAUGCAACUCAAUAUCCUUUCGUGUUAUGGGCUGCACAAGAGUAUGUCAAGAAUAUAAGUUUAAUACCACUUUAAGCUCUAGCAUGUUGAACUUACCUCUCAUAAUAUAUCCAAAACUUAACAAUUAGUAAAGCAUUCUAAAGUCCCUGAAUUCCCUGCCGAGUUGAAAUAAAACUAACAAUAUUUUAAAGUUGAAAAAGUAAAAUCAAACCAUAUUUGAACUUCCCACUUUCUGAUUAGAUGGAAUUUUCAGGCGAAAAGCCAGAACAAAUAUAAACACCCUGCACAUCUAAAGUGAAACAAAAAGUAGCGGACAGCAUUCUCGAUAUAAUAUAAUGUGAUGAACACUCACAGUUCCCAUAAUUUGCUGUGUUUGUAGGCGACCAGGUUCGCCCAGAUUAGUUCGCCAUGUUAUCUGAAGUUUACCAAGAAUAUUGCUUCCCUCAACUUUCCCUUGGGUUGAACCAUGUGAUGUUAACUGAAAAAGAUAGUUAUGAAUUCCUCCACCGGAUUCGAUGAGAAUUGGUGGCUUAAAUAUCUCUCUGCCAUUAACAAAACGCAGAAGAAUAUGAAGAAAAGAAGAAAGAGGAAUAUGAAGAAAAGAAAAAUAUUCGACAGAAGAAAAUAAACCAUAUUCUACCUUGUUUGAGAAUUCUUUUCGGAAUGGUGUUCGUCAGAUUUUAGGAUUUUUGCACUCCAAUGCUGAGCGGGCUCAAACUCAACUUGUUCCAUAAAAAGAUUUGACUUUGUAUGGUUUUCGAUGCAAGCUUCUAAAAGCGUGAUUUCCUGUGAUAGAAUGCAUAAAAGGAUUUGACUUCGUAGGAUUUACAACGCAAGCUUCUAAAAGCAUGAUUCCUGUGAUAGAAUGCAUUUAUCACAGGAGGCUAAUUUGUUACAGGUUAUCAACAAUAUCAGAGCAGUUACUUAGGCUGCAGAGAAUAGAAUUAAAAUACAAGAAGAGGAAUGCUGUUUAAUGAAGCACAUACUUUGGCAUCCGUAUAACACAUACGAGACACUACGUCUAAGUUUAAUCCAGUGUGGCAUAUUCAUACAUCGUCAUGUUUCCGGUGAAAAUCAUCAAUAUGUAUCCAAAAGGCCGAACUUACAAACUUACAAUCAAUAUCUAAAUGAACCUCAACGUACCUUUAUAACAAGGACCUGAAAAAUCAAAGUCAAAUUGUUAGUCUUAGUAGGAUUAACGAAAUGCGGUUGUUUCACACAUGUGAAUUGAAAUUUUGAAUUGCACAUGCAAAUUCCACGGCGUGUGCAAGGAAAAUACCUUCGUCCUGACAGAAAGCGGAUUGGAAACAAUGAAUUUGAAGAACUGUGGUAGAUAUUUACGCUCACCAUCACCGUCAUAGUACAAUGCAGUGCAAACCAACCUACAGAGAUUACAAAACCUUAACAUAAACAAACAACAAAAUCAUAAAACACGAGUUUCGAGGACUGAGGAAGAGAGCUUACGUGUGAGCUCCGAGUUCCUUGACAUCAUGUUCAACAAUGAAGUCAUAACGGCCGCCUGCACGUAUGGAUUCAACCGGCGAAUUCGACGUGUCCAACAGCACAAGUCUCUGCCUUUCUGUUUGCAUUUCCGACUGCAAUUAGCAAAAUUAACAGAAGAUUAAAAAUUGCACUGAAUUAAUUCAACAUCGAAUAAUUAGGGAAUAAUGGAAAAUAAAGUCCAAGAAUUUGAGAUGAAAACCUUGAUUAUAAUGUCCUUGACUUCGAAAUUGGAGCUGUUAUUGAUGCUAAUAUAGCUACAAAAUGUCUCCCCUAAGUAUAUUGCUCUACAAAAUCACAACUUUAUUAACAAAUCAAGAAAUUAAAAUGUGGGUAAGGAGAGAGAGAGAGAGAGAGAGAGAGAGACCCGAAGGCUUGGGGGAGGACGAGGAGGCCAGAGAGGCCAAUGGAGUCGGAGGGGUGGUGGAGGAGGAACCGGGUGCGGUAGGUGAGAUCCGAGGAGUCAGAGGAGGCGGAGGAGGAGGGGUUCAAGGAGUCGUGGACGUCGAGGAGGCGGGGGAGUUGCGCGGCUGCCAUUGGGUCGUCGAAAACGUCCUCGCCGACGACGAGAUCGGCGGGGUCGAGAAGGAGGGGAAUGGGGUCCACCUGGGAUGAGGGCUUGCACAGCCUCAUCACCCGGAAGGCCAGGGAGUGGGGUCCACCUUGACCGCUGCUCAUCGCUGUUUCCUCGUCGUCGUCGAUUCGCCGGCGUCCGUCGCGAUUAACCGAAUUUUCGCGCUUCUGAAAUGAGCAACACUUUUUUCAACGGCUUUUGUUGUGUUAACAGUAACUCCUCGUCGUUUUAACUUUAUACCACUUGGGAAACUCCGGUGAAUAAAUAUGAUGGCGGUAAAAUGUAUUUUAACGAGAAACGUAUAUAAAUGUUUUCUUUUCUUUGAUUAAACAGUGGAGGUAUUUGAACUUGAGGCUAAAUUGUUUCAGCAUUGAAAAAUAGAAAUAUCAUUAGAUUAAGAGCUAGUUAAUAAACUCUGUAUAAUAUAUUUAAAAGAAAAUUACGUUUAGAGUAAAAGUUAGUUAAUAGAUGCGUAAGACAUAUUCAAAAUUCACUUUUAAAAUGUCACAACCUGAAAAACGAACUAUCAUUAAAAUAAGCAAUGUUUAUUUAAUACGAGACCAAGUAGUCUGAAAGAUAAAGGGUGGACAUUUAACUCUAAGAUUCACUUUAAGAAAUUGAAUAGUGAAAAUUGUUUCAAAAGUUAGGCUACUUGGUAGGCUGGACUACCGAAGACAAACCCUAGAAUAAGACUAAAAGCUUGUUUUUUUUCCUGUGUGAAAAAAAAAAUAGAGGGAGGAAAGUUUACCCUGUUCAAGGCCAUGACAUACCACAAGCUUCUUUGAUAUUGAAGGAGUAAGAGGGAUUGCCCACCAAUAGAGAAUGCCGACAACGAUAUUCGAACCUAAGUCUUGAUCUAACGAACAAAACGAUCAUUACCAACUCAACCAACCCUCGUUAACAAAGCUAGAAGCUAGAUGAUAAUCGAGCACAUCUAUGGAGUCAUAACUUAAAAUUGUUCAAAGAACUUUAAAGCGAACUUUCACUAGAUUAAAAGUUGGUUAGUAGACACGUAUAACCCACUUCCUAAGGCCAGACAAAAAUAGCUAGAAGGAGUUGAAUCCCGUAGGCUUUUCUUCCUUUCACACGCUCUAGUUUAUUUGUCCCUUAAUUUUCCACGUAACAAAAACCUUUCUACACACCCUAACACCAACUAAUAAGAAAUACACAAAAUUGUAUCAAUUGUCUCGGUGCUAUUAGGAAUGGAAAGGCGUUUGUAUUUUUAACUAACAACUAAAAUUGUAUCAAAUUAUUCAUAUGAUGCUUUAUUAAUUAUGACCAGGAAAAAAGAGAGUAAUAUGUUGAUCUGCUUCAAAAAAUUUACAACAGACAAUACAGAAACCCUACCAACCCACCUGACUUUGACACCCCCCACGCCCGGAAGAAUGGCAAAGUUCAUGCUAUUAGUACUCUACUGUUAAACUACAAAACUAGCAACCUAAAUAAUCAAACGAGCCUUUCAGUCCCGUAGGAACGAAAAUUCACGAGAGGAUUUUGCCGAGGCUACCGUCUCAACGACGUUCCCCAGCGGCAGCUAUUAACAUUUGUACAUGCGUGUCAUAAGUUAUGUUCUCACUACAGGUCAAAUGGAUCCAUCAAGGUGAUCAGGGCAAGAAUUUACAACCUGCAAAAUAGAAACCCUAUAAGAAUGAAAACUUGGCAGCAGAUGCAGAGAUAUGGAGAGCUUUCCGAAGCAUUUUUUAAAACAAGACAAAAAGUUUAACCAGUAUGCACAGCAUAUGACUCAGUCGUCAACUAUCAGCAAUACCACUCUGUCAAUGAUCAGCAAUGGUUUAUGCAUGUGUAAAAGAUUAGGAGCUCACCUAAUAAAUAGUACAGUCAGUUCAGUCAUCUAUACAACUCGAACCCAUGUUCCGCCACACAUAGGACAGCAAUAAGCCCAGCGGCUGAUCCACCAUGUCUCCCGCCCAGUUUGAUUCGGUGGAGUAGUAGCACCUGAGGAAGCAAAAGCUGAAGUCUGCCGCAAACAUCUUAUGCACUGCAUGCACACGAGUAGAAAAUAAGAUUUAAAGAAUCACAAACUAUUAAGAUGGGGAAACAAAAAGCAUGGACUUUUCAUAUCAAACCUUGUACCAAACCCCUUCUAGACCAGUCUUCCAUACGGCAGUAACAACAUCUCUCCGUGAUCCCAUUAUACCAAGAUAUGCCCCCAAACCCACUGAAGUGUUUAGGCCAAAAGCUGCAUCUCUUUCAGACAUCCUGCGCUUCCUUGGCCACAGGCCAUGGGCUCCAUAAUAAACGUCACAACUUUCCAAAGAUCCGGAAUCAGGUGGGUCUGAAGAAUUACAUAGCUUGGGGGUAUCAUCUUGAGGAUCCAUAUCAUCUGAAUCAGACCAAGGCCCACCGUACAUAUUGCGCCUAUGCCACUCUUCGGCUGGAGGGUGGAGUUCUAACUCUCGGAGUAACAGACCAGCAGCAUCUGCACCUCUAGGCCGGGGCAUAUUCUGUAUAGCCAAUCAGUUAAAAAGAUUGUAACUGUGAGAUUUCAGAUUGUAAUUGACAAUAAAAAAUUAACUAAAAUUACUGUUCAGAAUUUUAAACAACCAGUAAACAAGAAAGUUAAUCCUCUGACAGAAUAAAGUUGCAGGCAUUGACUUUAGCAGCAUUAUUAACAAGAGCAGAAUCCGUGCAACUCCCAUCAUCAUGAAUGGUAUUUUAGGAAAUACAACUAUACCUGCAUAUGAGGGCCAAGGGAUGCUUCAACAACCUCCGGAAGUACAGUAUAAUUGCCAUCAAUAUAAUGCAGCCGAACCUGAAUGUUGCUGCUUCCCACCUGAGAAACCGGCAAUGAAUGUGCCAGGCUUGCUGUUCGCCGGCAAAGAUCCAUAAGGAUGAGGAAAAGGACUUUCACCUGCAGGACAGCAACAGAGUGCAUUAUGUCAUUCUACCUUCUGCUUAUCAAUUUUCUUUGAUGAACAGAAUUAUCCAAUUAAUUGAAAUGUCCAAAAAUGAGACAUUAACAUUGAAAAUCCCAAUCACAGUUCACAAAUCAAAUGAUAUAAACCAGAUAUGGACAACUAAGGCAACAUGUAAUAUAUUGUGAGAGAUCUUGGAAGAAGAGAGCAUCGAUUUCUACCUCCUCAAAAGUGUAACCCUGACCAGCAUUUCCAGCACCCAAUCUUGACCUUCCAGCAGGUCCUUCUUCAACUCCUUUUGCUCCAGGUAUCUGACCGGGCCGAGCUACCUGACCCUCUUCCGGUCUGACCAUGGUUGUAGAUGAUUUUGCAGAAACAGAACUGACCUCAUCCGCCUUUCCAGAUGCACCAGGCUGUGGCUUUUGCAUAUUUGCAUCAGUAUUUCUCUGUGCUCCCCCAGAGAAACGGGGUAGCUGAGCUCGCCGAAAGAAAAAACAGAAAAGCAAAAGCUGGCAUAGCCUAUGAAGGAAAUGGCAAUCCCCAAUUAGCCUAACAGCAGGUGUGCCAGGAAAUGUUCCUGUAUUGAUACUUAUUGGCAUGAAGGAUGACGGUCCACUAAUGGGGUUUGGAGCUGAAUUGGAAACUCCAUCAGAGGUGCUACUAAUCUUUGCAAUUGCACCUUGAACCCAAGCUUGCAUCUGGGUGUUUCCUGUUGAUGUUGGUGUUCCACUUUGACCCCCUGAAAAACGUAGCACUACGUUGUCAAAGAAAUGCUGCAUUGCAGACAAUGCAAAAUAAGAAAUAAAUAUAUAAAUAUAAAAUUUGAAUGAUGCCCAAUUCUCCUAACAAAAUAAUCAGCAAACACCUCCUGAGUAAGUCUAACUUCCAAAUGGUUUUGGGAUUUAGAACAACCAUAUUUGGUCAAUCCUGAUGUAAACCAUUAUUUCAAUGAGAUUUUUUUUUUUUUUCAAACUUCCUUUGCAUCUGAAUCCAAUUCUAGAAAAAACAUCUUUGGUUUCCAUAAAGAGUAGAAGAAUGCAUACUGACCCUGACUGGUUGCAGGAGAAGCCGAACUUUGGGUAGGACUAGCCACCAUAUUGCGAUUGCUGCCAGCUCCAGCAUGGCUCGCCAAUGUGCGACAAAAACUUGCAUAGCGCCGCAAGCGAGUGAUGAAAUGUGAAGCUAAAUCAAGAACUGCGUCGACGUAAGCCUGUGUUAUGUGGAUAGAUUAGGCAAGUGAGAUUUGAAGAAAAAUCAUAAACAAACAAUAUCCCAGCACACGUGAGCUGACUGGAGGAAGGUUCAAACAACAAUCUCCAUAUCCAUACUUGGGAUUUAGAAGCCCAAACUAGCGCAUUACUAGUCUUUCUAUUAUUUAUUUCAUAGAAAUGUGGGCAAGGGCAUAACCCACAAUCAUGCACCUAUAUGACUGGAUUCCACAUUGUUGACUAUAUUUAAAAUACAUUUAGCAAAAACCACCAAUUAAAAUGCAAGAAACCACCAAUUGUUUGUCAAACGUGACCAUUUUGCGGCGCAUAACUUUCAAGAAGAGAAAACAUAAGUUUAAGAAGUUUAACAAUCAAAAGAAAACCUGAAUAUGUGGAACUAGUGCUGGUUCAACAGCCAUUGCUUCAGGAUCAAUGCCUGAUAACGUUUCGCCAGACGCCUGCCAUGGCUCUGGUACCAAAGCAGAUGGAUUUAUUAACGCUGAUUCUAUUCCCUUCCCAAGCAUAUCAAGCAACAACCGGGCUUGCAUGUCUAGAACCAUUGCCCUAACUUCUUGUGCAUUUGUACCUUCCAGUAGCCUGCACUUUAUCCUGUCGAGAUUCUGCACCAAAACAGAUAUAAUUUUCUGAGUCAAUCACCAAAAGUAGUCAACACAGAUGUGAAACUGAAGCUGCAACAAUAAGGAUGCGUGAACCACUUAACCCUGUCCUGAAAGGGUGAACCUAAAAAAGGAUAACAUACAUGCCAUGCAACAGCAUGAAACGUUGAUUGAAAACUUGAGUCUUUAGGCCAAAAAGUCAUGCGCAAUGCCUCAGCUUCUAAUUAUAGCCAUUUCCCAUUUUAGUCAGUUUCCCAUGCAAUCUGUCUUAAAAUAUUCUGAAACACCUUUCUUAUGACACGCCAAGAUACUUUUACAGUUACAAUCUCCAUCAUGGGAAACAGGGAGGCCAUCUAGGUGAUCUUUUGCUUGGCAAGUAGAACUGUCAACAUCUCUUACUUGUACUGUCAAUUGGCUUUAACAGCAAAAGUCUUUUUUCUUUUUCUUUUAAAUGUCAGAUAAGAAUUUUCAACACUAACACUACCAGGCCAUUCAUAUAAGAAAAAAAUUAAGGGUCAUGAAUUCAUUUAAAAUUCAGCAUAUAUCAAUACUUGCACAAACAAAAUAUAUUAAAUCAUAUCUUAAAAAUUUUAUCACAAUUCUAGAGCCGCCCACUAGAGUAAUUAUGAACAAAAUAUCUCUGAGAUUGAGUAAUAAAAUGUUAAUGCAUCAAGAUUUAUAACAUUGGAAAAUGCAGCUAAUAAUUUCACUAAAAUGACACCUUUGGUCCUAAUUGUCAUUUACGUACAUGAAAAUCUAUAAGCAUCUUGAAAAAUCUGCGCCAUAGCUAAAAACUUACAGGACCAUACUGUUGUCUGUGCUUAGUAGAAGGAAGAGAAUGAAAAUCUGCAUCCAGUACUGCAAUGACACUGUUCAGAGAAACUGCAACAAACAAAAAACCACAAUCAGAAGGUUGUGCACAUCAUUUAUGAAGAAUUUUUCUAUAAAACACAUUUAUAAAUUAUAAUGGAUUGGAGAACUAUAAUUUGUUUCCUAAAUUUUCAAGAACUACUUUGCUAUUUAUCAGUCACACAACAAUACCACCAAAAAGAAUCCAAAAUUAUUACCAAUGCCGUCCUCGGCAGCACUCUGCGUACAGCCAACAGCAUCCCACCAAUCAACCCCAACCAAAAGACUCCACCAAAACCUGCCAUGAUGACCAUCAAUCUGUCAUAACUUAAACAUCCAUAAAAACUCAUUUCAGGGAUUCAAGGUUUAUCAAGGUGGAAGAAGUACCUUUCGGCAAUGGCCCGUUCCCAGGUUGACGAGUUUGCCUUCACUUGGCUGCUUGGAACAGCAGGAGGAAGAACACGUAUUAUUUUUAAAACUGUACGGUCCUUACCACUAUCAUGCCAAACAGAAGCUGAGCAGCAGCUUGUCGACGAGAAGGCAGGGGUAGCAAUUGCAGAUCCAACAUUAAUCUGGUAGUUAUCAACAGGUGCAAAGUUCGGACCAGAGAAGAUGUGAACCCCACCCCGGAGGAAAGCAACAGCAAUCUCACCACCAUGAGCAGAAUAGACUAUUCGAGCAAGUGUUCUAACAUCACUUGGCAGGUCAAAAGGAUCAAAACUGACUCGUUUUACUUUCUCUAUGCCAGAAUCAGGAGUCUUCCUUGCAUCAGUGGUUGCUGUUGUCGCUGCUGCUUGGUGACUUUUAAAAUCAUUAGUUGGUUGUAUGCUUGUGUCCACUUUGGAUAGCCAAACAGUUUGCAUUGGUGCCUGCCCACCAAAACUGGAUGUAGGAUUUCCAAAUAUUUGGUGAAGAACAACAGGCUGAAGUGAUGAUUCCCAGCGUUGCACUCUCCAUCCUGUAAUUGAUGGACCCUCAUCUGGAUCAUAAGGAGACAUGUAUUGUCCUGCACUCAUGAUUCAAUUCAUGCAACUACUAUGGUUCAGACAUAUUUCUAAGAAAACUUAGUUUCUAAUCAGGAAAAAAAAAAAGGGUUGUCGUUACCUAACAGGCCAGAUAGAAUAAAACUCCAAAUAGUACAACAGAAUCAAAGGUAAGGUAAAGAUACCAACAAAAAAUAAACAGUAAACAGAAGGCAGAAAAGAUGGCAAGGAGGUCCAUUCAAAAGGUCCUGCAAUAAUAAAGCUGAAAAAGUACUUUUUAAAAGGUGAGAAAAUACAUAAGACUACCACUCAACAAGAACACAGAAGUAUGGAAACAAAGAUUGUACGAAAACGAGAAACAAUGACACCUGGUUUAUGUUGUUCAAAAUUACAACUCUAACAAACCAAUUUUCAGAGAAAUUUUUAGGGAAAAAGUACAUCUGGAUUAGAAAAGAUUAACAAAUAAACAAAUAAAUGCAUGCUUCGUUACACCAACAACUUGCAAUUGAAUUCCAAACACAAAGAAUAGAGAAAAAAAAGGUUUUCAAGGAAGAAGACAAUUAGUACCCUCAACUAUGACAACAGCUAUGACAGAACCACCACGGGUUGGAUCAAAGGCAACCGCAGUAACUCCAGAUCCCCAUGUAGUGGUAGUUGCAGAUUGAGAUGCAGACUCGGGACUCACAUAUGCUGAAAAAUUAAACUGGAGAGCAAUGAAGUGGUACAGUAUCACUGAAAUCUGGAUCUGUCUGCUUUCGCCCUUGCUUUGCUUCAGAUAAUAGAUAAUCUUGCCAGCUAAACAAAUAUGCAGCCAAAGGGGAAAAACCUGGCCAAUUGGGUGGAUUCAUUGAAGGUGGGACCCCAUCAGUUGUGCUAAUCUUUGGAGUUGCAUGAAAUCCAUUUCCUAGGCCAGGAGUGACCUCCCAAACAACAACCGUAGAUGGGUUUACAAUUGGAACGCCUGCGACAUGCAUGGCACCACUGUCUGUUAUGAUAGCAUCAGCUGCCAUGAUCCCACUAGGCCCAGCACCCAGAAGUCCCUUGCUUGUUUGAAACCACUUUGGUGCAGCACUAAUCUGAUUAGGAGGAUACUGGGACCAAUGAAGCUGAAUAGAGCCUGAAGAGAAAACAGAACAGACGCACAGAAAACUGGGCCACCUAGCUGAAACAAAUAACAAAAUAUUGCAUCAGAUACCACCGUUCAUACAUUCUAUAAUAAAAAAAGGGGAAUAUAAGGAAACUUGAAAUUAAGAGAGGUUGCAAUGAAGGAAAAAAACCUGAAUUUUGAGACUGCUGUGAAAGAAAUUUUUCUUCAAAAGUUGACUUUGCAUUAGAGGAUGUACUUGAUUUUGAGGAAAGCCACCUAUACUGGUUCAUAAAAAAAAAUCAAAAAAAAUAUUAACUAUCAACAUCAUCUGAAAAAAGGAUACUGCAGUCACACCAGCAGACAUCAAAUGCGAUCUUCAUAUAAACAAUAAGCAAGCUAAAAUGGUACCUUUCAAGGAACAUAAUACAUUCAGAUGGGCAGAACAAGAAGCACAAACAUAUCUUUAAAAACCAAAUGAAUAGCAGACAACAAAAUUGCUUACUGGGGACACUCCUGACAGCCACUUUGUAACAACUGCAAUAUCCUGCUGCCAUUCAUACUCUCGUUGCCAACGGCUGGCAUCGCGUACGAGAUUAGCUGGCCCCUAAACAGAUAGAUCAAAUAUAAACAUUUCAUAAUAUUUAUAAAAUAAAAUAAAAAGGAAAAUUGUCCAAGAUUAUUGCAAUUUAGCUGUUAGUGGAAAAGCCACAUCAAAAGCUUGCAAGGGGAAAAGUUAUCUACAUAAGAAGAAAUCAGUACAACAAGUCUAGCUUACUUGAGAAGGCUGAGUCCAGAUCGUUACUCUCCCAUGGAAAUUGGCAAUUAGUAAGCCACGAGGGCAAGAAGUAGGAGACCAUUCAAUAAACUGAACAGAAUCACGAGGAGAAUCUGCAAAACGUAUUCAAAACUAUCUUGGUUCACAGAAUUAUAACCAACAUUUAGGAAAGCAAAAGCAAAACAUCAAAGGUCUUCCUAAUCUAGCAUCGAAUGAAAAAGACAAGCAAAAACAUAUGCCAACUCUCAGGAGGGAAUUGUCAUCCAAAUGAGAUAGGAUUUGAACACCUAAUGAACUAGCAGGUAAUAACUAUUGACCGCGGAUGAUAAAAAACAACUUCGUAUGCAAGAGAGGAAAAGAAUUUGACAUAUGUAGAUGUUCAUAGCAAAAACAUAUUGGCAUUAAGCAAGUCCAAAGAGAAUUAUAAAGCCUUCAUAGUUAAUUAUCAAGCUAUUCACUGCAUAAGUUGCAGUGAAGAAAACUUAGGCAAAGAAUCUAAAGAACCAAAGGCUCUUAUACAACAACAACAAAGCCUUUUCCCACUAAGUGGGGUCGGCUAUCCAAAGGCUCUUAUAAAAGCAAAUAAAUCAUCUAAGUACCUGCAUUGACAUUGAACACUGCACACUCAGUUGGUCGCUCUGGGAUCACAAUAUGUAUGGGAAUCCAAAAAGGUGCAUUUGCAUUAGAACUACAGAAAAAUCCAUAACAAAAAGAAUUGUCAUAACUGUACACAAAUGUAACUAAUUAAUAGGGAGAAAAUAAAAUAAAAUAUAGGCCAAACUUAAGCAAGCUCAGUGCCCACCAACCAGGCUGCCUAGUUUUUACACUCCAGAGAUUCCUUGAUGAUCCAUUUGGACCCUAUACGAAGGGAGGGAAGAUGUUCUAUUUUUAAAAGUAACUACAAUUCUUAACAUUAUAUAAGGAUUCAUCAGUUUCUUUUCAUAGUGCUUUCUGAGGUCCAACUAAGAAAAAUAAUUGCCAGGUUCCAUAAUCACGCAUAUUAUCACAAACAAGCAAUACUAACCUUGGAAUACUUGCACAAGUUUCUGAUGCACAAGCGAUGGCAUUCAGCUUCCCACACCAUGCAACAGCACUGGAGAAACAACAAAAAGACUACACAUAAAGCCAAAUCUUCUGUACGUAACUUAAAACAUAAAUGUAAGAUGGCCAGGGCAAUUUAGCAGUAUCAUGGUAUUAAGGAAGUAAUAUCUAUUCCAACUACCUUUCCUUUAUACUUCUCAUUUCCAGAGUUCUCGUUACCUUGACCAUCACAAAGCUGAUAACUCAUACACCUCUCAGACUAAGGCAGGAAAUUAGUAUUAAAACUAACGAUUGAAUUACAAAGUGAAGAGAGGAGGUUAGUUCUCCUGAGUUGGAAGAAUGAAGCGGCCAUUAUCCAGUACAAAAAUUCUCAUGUCCACCUUUAUUCACAUCAUAGAAAGUUAUUGAUUGGCAACGGUUCACAGAGCAAUGGCGUAACUAAAUCAAUAAAGACCUAAUAUUUUGGAACCACCCGCCGUAGAAUCCCCCAAUAUCAAUCCUUCUCUCUCCACAAUUCAAAGUCAACAACUUUUCUCUCCUUCCCAUCUCGGUAUACACUACAUAACAACAAUUUCUUGUUUCAUUUCAGAAAAGUUUGAAUUUUUCUCCAUUAACACACAACUACAAAGCUCAAACCAAUACAAAUAUUCUCAUUUUAUUUGUGGUACCGCUUCGAAACCAAAAUCUAAACACAAUUCAAUCAAAUGCCCCCCACCCCCAAUAAAAAGAAGCAUAAUUCAAUGAACAAAACUCUAAACUUAACAGAUUGGAGCUCGAAUUUCAAAAUUUACCUAAAAUUGCGACAAAGCUCGGGGACGCUCAUCUUGUGCUGCAAAUUGGACCUGGGCUGCUUGAGCCUGAUGCAGAAGACGGCGGCAGGGUUGACUGCGUCUUCCUCCAUGGGAUCGUCGGGCUCGUCCACCGGCUCUUCCUCUUCGUCUUCUCCCCCUCCUCCAAUGCUCUCAAUACUCCCCGUUUCGGGCUUGUCGCUCUCAAGGGAAUGAGCCACAGGCUCGUCGUCAGAGUCCUUCACUUGACUCAUUACCCCUAAACCCUAAAAAAUUAUAUAUACAACGAAUCACAAAGCAGAGAGAGAGAAGAAUGUGAGUGGUGGAAAGUUGUAAUUGAAGGCGACAGGUAUCACUGUUUAGAGAGAGAGAGAGAGAGAGCGAGGAGAGAGAGUAGUGGGGUUGGUGUGUAUGUUUGAAAAUGUUGAGAGAGAGAAGAGAGUGGAUUGGAAGAUUGAAUUUUUGUUUUCUGUUUUGGCUUUUGAGGGCAGAGGUUUCAGGCAAUUUUGGUUCAUAUUUUUUUAGGGUUUUUGGGUGGUCGACAAAGGCAUGUGAUUCCAAAACCCAAUUUCCAGGCGUUGGUGGUGUUGGUGGUGUCGGAUUUUUAUUUUAUUUUUUGGGUGUCAACAUCUUGCCUUCUUGGAUUUUUAUUUUGGGAUGUGCUAUCCACACAUCCUAAAUUACUUUCCACACAUCCUUGUUAAUUUCUGUCCGUUAAUCUUCUUCAAUUCAUCCGAUCCGACGGUCAAAAAUUAAAAAGGUGCGUGAGAAGUAAAACGGGGUGUAUGAAUAUCACACCCCUUUAUUUUUUGAGCGUGAGUCGCGUCACUUAUAUGAUCAUACUAACAAAUAAUGAGACUCCUUUUAUUGGAGUGUGACCGGCUUAAGGUCUUGUGGAACACCAACGUACAGACAAAGUAACGAGUCUAUUUUUUCGAAUCACAUCAGUCAUACAAUGACGAACACACAAAUAAUCACGAGUUUGACGGGUAUCUCACACACCGCGUGGCGUCCAAACCAAAGACUUUCUCCAAUUCAUUGGUCCUGUGUGUGGAAUGUGUGACCAAGGGAGGAGCUAUGUAGCCUUUGAACAUUUUGGUAGUACAUAAUUUGAGGCUUGUGACAAUUAGCCCAUGCCAACCAGCUUUCGAUAUUGGGUGGGUGUUAUCAACACACUCAGGGUCCGUUUGUUUGACCGGAUUAGGGAGGACUGGACUGGACUGGACUGUAGUCCCUUGUUUGGUCUGUACCAGGAUUAGGUUUAAUGGGAUUAGGUCUGACUCGCUAGGAUUAAACCCCUCACUGGGAGUUCUAAGCGAAGCACCCCGAUCACCCCCGGACUCGUAAGACCUCUGCGCUCCUGCGCUCCUGCGCUCCUGCGAGAGAGAACCUCGCUCAACCUCGAUCCUCGCCGUGCUCCCUCCUUGCCCUGCUCCCUCAUCGUCGUCCUCCUCAUCCUCAUCUCUGCAUCCUGCUCGCCCUCAUCUGGUAAACUUCAAAUCCGACAUUAUUUCUUCGAUUUUUUUUUGCAGAUCGUGAUAUUACUGGGCUUUAUUUGAUUUAGGUGUUUUGGGUUUGAUAAAUUUUCAAUUAUAAACCUCUGCACUUGAACAAAUUAGGGUUUUGAUUUUUAGGGUCAAAUUGAGAUUAGAAUUUUCAAUCAUAGCUUGCCGUUGCUCUGGGCUUCGAUUGAUGGUUGAUACAUGCUUUUUAAGUUUGUAUAUCUUUUGAUUCUGGUUUUCUAGGGUCUGUAGGUUUUAGAUUUUAAUUUCUUAACCAGUCAAUUGUUGAUUUGGAUUAUAAGUUACAAAACAUUGUUGAGUUAUUGCAAACACAAAUGUAUACACAAACGAUCCUGGCUAUAUUACGCCAACAAUCAGGGGUUUCCCUAUCAUAUGUUGCCAGAGCGUAUUCAAACAAUCUGUUUUGUUUGGCUGUCCAAGUCGAAUUGGAGUGUGGGGAAGAUAGCUUGCUAGGUGCCAUGAUUACUUGUCAUGAUUACUGCUACUUGCAGAUCAAUCCUCUUGGCCUUCUUUCAGGCUUCUCCACUGAGCCCUGUAGUUAUCUUUCAUGCUUGAAAGUAACUGAUAGAAAGUAAAUAUGUAAUAUGUACCAUUGAUGGGAACUAUUUGUGACACUAGACUUCAUAUGGAACACUAUCCAACCUUAUUUGGUUGACAAUCACUGCUUAGUCUUAAAUUGAGCCAGUCAGGUGAGGAGUGGUUUCUUCCUUAUUCUCUCUUCUGGGUUGGCAGUGGCACGAAAUAAGAUUGCUUCUGAUUGCUCAAUAUCUGUUCCAUCUCUUUCCCAAAUGGCAGCUGCUUAGCCUCUCUCUCCAUCUGCUUCAUUAUGUUGUCCUCUUGGCCUGCAUGUUUAACGUACAAGCAGAGUACAAACAAGGGACUUUUAGAAAAGUUAACCCUUUCUUUAGCACAUUAAGGCCUUGUUUAAUUUGAUGGCAUAUUGGAUUGGACCAAAUAAACCACUAAAAAUUCAGUAUAUGUUGAUUCAAAACGCAGCAGUCAACUUUUCGAACCUUGUUCAAGUUGAAAGUUCUGUAUUAAAGUUUCUUACUUGUUCAUAAUUUUACAGUCAACAUUUUUAGAGUGAUGAUGCGUGUGUUUUCCAAAUUGUCUGACUGCUAACUCUGCAUCUUGAAUCCAAGUUUUGACUUGCGUUCUUAUUCCGGCAUUCGGACUUUUAUUUUUCUUAUUGUACAUAGUUUAUUAUUUUAUGUUGAUGUUCAAAUUGCUUGUUUGUGAUUCUAAACAUAGAAUUUAAACUUUAAUUCCCUGAAUCUGGUCAUUUGCUCUUUUUGUUGUCAUUUUAUAACUGAAAAGUAAUAUCAUACAUGCAGAGGCUUGAUUUUUUAUCGGAGAGGAUUCUUUCAUUAGCUUUUGAUGUGAUUUCAUCUCUGUUGAAACAGGGCCUGUAAGUUUUCUGAUUAGUAAGUUUUACUGAAUAAAGAUCACCAAAAUUCUGCCAACUUCAUUCGUUAGGAAGUGGAACUUUGGAUGUUGCUGGAUCACAAUUUGUUACUUGUUCAAUCCACCCUCUUAAUUGGUUUUUUUUUUCUUCUUAAUCGUAAAUCAGGGAUGGAGAAUAGUUUCUCCACAUUUUUCAUCUCUGUUGGACUCUGCAAUCUUUCAAGCAUUGGUAAUGAAUGAAAAGGUAAAUUUCAUUAUCAGAAAAAAAUGGGAAACAUAUAUAUUUUGAAACCUGAAGUUAUAAGUUGAACUAACUCCUGUUUUUCUGGCAAUUUUUCAAGUAGGAUAUCGUAGUGUGGGAAGAAGAUGCAGAUGAGUACAUACGAAAGAAUCUUCCAUCUGACAUAGUAUGGAAAGUUUAUACCACAUUUAGUGUGUGAUAUGUAAGACAUUUUAUAUAGGUAUGAGGUAUUACUACCAGUUGCAUACUAUGUGUGUAAUAUAUGCGGCGUUGUCUUAUGCUUAAGUGCUCUGCCUAAGAUGUAAAAUUGAUGGGGUCUAUUAGAAUUGAACCAUAUUCGCCUUUUGGAUUGCACGCCUGAGAAUUCUUUCUGUCCAUUUUUUUUAUCUUUCAUGUAAAAUACUUGACUUUUAGUGGAAACGAAUGCAUGCUUAUUUAUCAUGAAUGAAUACGUAAGGUAUGAGCCUUGCUCAUAUUUUGACAUAUAAUUAUCAAACACACAAGAAAAUUUUGGAACAAUGCUACUUUGAAUCAUGUAUGUUUCUUUCAUUGGCAAGAAAUUUUGGUUUUUGUAUUUUUAUUGAGUCUCACUCUCAUCCUAUAUUAUUAAUUUUAAUAAUAUCUGUAAUAAAAAAACAAUUAAAAUAGAACAAUAAUGUAGUUCUAGUCUGAGCAAACACCAAACUGGUGAACAAUAUUGUUUUCAUUAUCCUGCUUCUUAGUCCGACACUGCACCAAACGCUUCACUAAGCUAGUCCAGCUUAGUCUAGUCUAAGCCAGUCCAGCUUAGUCCUUGCAGCUAGUCCAGUCCGAGACAGUCCGGUGCAACAAACGCACCCUCAUUUUUACCUUUUAUAUAUCCCUCUUAGUUUCAAUCAUCGUAUCGAAUGAAUUGAAAAAAAAUAAAUAAACAAAAAAUAACAAGAGUGAAUAUAUUGUUUCAACUUUGCCCUUAUCUAGUGCACAAAAGUCAUAUUUAAAAAAAAAUCAAUUUAUGUCACCACACCUUUCAAGUCCAACAAUUUUGCCCACCCCUUUUAAAAUUCUUGGCUCCACCCUUCAUGUGACCUUAUGAGCAAGUCCACCGAGAGCCAUUAGGCCAGCACCUAGCAGCCUUUUGGGCUCGGCACCCAACCAAUUUGCUCCAUCCCAACCUAAUAGGCUGGCAUCCAGCCCAAGCUAGUUCAUAAGGUGACCCAAAAUGUGCUGAGCUAGAGACCAACUUAUAUGACGCCAGGUUGACAUCAUGAUCUGAAAUCUUUUUUUUUAUGCCAAGUCCCAACAGAGGUCCGUCUACAAAAGAUGGCAGAGAAUGAGAUGUUGGGCUCAACUACGACUGUUUGUCCACGACGAUAGCAGACAAUGGGCUACCGCAAUCUCUGCCACCACCUCCGACUCAUCCUCCAACCUGCUAGAAUUUCCAAUCCGAAGGUGGAGAUAACGGCAAAGGUGAAACUGGAACUAAAGGCAUGAGCUGGUGGUGGUAUAAUGGCAAAGAGGAUGGUGGCGGUGGUAAGGGAGGAGAAAGGUUGUUUCAUCAUAGAAAUUAGUGGGGAUUGGCGGCAUGGGUGGUGGGUUGGCGUGCUCUGGUAUGCUUCAUUGGAGGAGCAUUUUUUGGGAGUUCAGAAACUGUAAAGUCAGAAAUUAAUAAUAUUUUAAUAAAAUUGACUAGGCUAUUUAGUUUUAGGGGUGAAGAUGCAUUUAAUCUAUUAUUGUUCAUUGGGGUCUAUCAAUGUUCAUUGAAUGAAUUAAAUAGGCUGGAUGCUAGCGCAUUUUUUUAGGGGUGGACUUGCUAUGAAUAAAAAUUGAUCUCAAAUACACAAACUUAGAAAAGGCAAAAAAAAAUUUAGCGGAUGGUUUUCUUUUAUGGAAACUAAUGAAAAAAGCUUGAAAACUUUGAGUUUUAACAAUAACGACAAAAUAAAGGGUAAAGUGAAUAGUACCAUGUUUGAUUUUUUAGUAUAAAAAUGUGUUUUUUCGUUAAAGUGAAUAGUUUUUCGUUAAAACUCCAUUUCUUUUAAGUGACAAUAAUGAAUGUGUUGUGUAGGUAACCUACAUUUGUUAUUAAGCGAAAUAUUAAAGUGAUUAGUUAAUGUAAAAAUAAAUUUCGAAAAUAAAAAGGUCGCAUCCUACCCACCACGCAUAGAAACUUGAAUAAAAAUAUUUUCUUAAAAAAUUAGGGGGGGGAGAGAGAGAGAGGAGGAGGAGGGAGGGAGGGAGGAGUCGACAGCAAGGGGAAUCUGUCGUAUCUUUCUUGGUCUGACUGGAAAGGAGGAGACAUUGUUGUGCUGGUGAUGUGCUUCUCUGUCUAACACUACAAUUAUAUAUGCUUUAAUGUGAUUGAAUUUGUAUGCACUAAGUUUGUUUAAUCUAGGGCAUUUGAUUUUUAGGAAAUUAGAUAUUAAUCCUUGAAAAUGAUUUAGUUUAGACAAAUACCAUUUGCAAGAUUAACAAUUGAAUUAAGUCCCUGACCAACGUCAGCCGACAUAAUUCCACAUUAGUUGUCAUUUAUUUCUUUGUUAUUUUUCCAAUUAUACCCUUUUGUCAAUGUUUGUAAUGAUGACUUUUUUUUUUUAGUUAACAAUCAUAGGACGUCAUUUAUUAUAGAUUAUUUUUAGGAUGCAUAUGAUAUUUUGUAGUAGUUUGUUUUGUUCUCGUUCAAAUUUCAAACUGAUUUUAGUUCAUAUUCGAGAAAUUAGUAAUUCAUUCUCUAAAAUUAAGAGGGCUAUGUAUAUAGUAUAUUGUAAUGGCAUCACCCUUUUUUUUUUUUUAUCAUGGCGCCUAAGGUACGAAUAUUUAGGUGCAUUUGACUAUAUACUAUGAUUUAGGUGCAUUCAUGUAGGUACUAUGAUUUAGGUUCAUUUAAAUUGAUACUUUGAUUAUAUAUUUAGGUGCAUUCAACUAGAUAUUGUGAUUUAAGUAUAUUGUGGUAGGUACCAUGGUUUAGGUGCAUUUGACUUGGUAUUAUGAUUUACAUGCAUUCGACUUGGUAUUAUGAUUUACGUGCAUUCGAUUAGGUAUUAUGAUUUAAGCACAUUAGGAUAUUGUUUAAAUGCAUUCGAUUAUCUAUAAUAUAUGAUUUGGGGUAUUUUUAUUUCCUCUAUGCUUUGGAUGGUGAUAAUGAAUAAUUUGAAUUAGGUACUUGUUUAUUUCUUGUAAUGUAUCACUGAUAUUUUUUUGGACGUCUAGAUGAGCGAGGUAUGCUUAUUGUUUAUGGAAGUCAAACAAUAGUCAAUGCCAACAAAUAUGGAGCAAAAUAAAACCAAAUAUUUAAUAUGGGCAUUAUGGGAACAAAAAAAAAGCAUUAAAUAUUUAAAAACAAGAAAAUAUGAACUUUAAUAUUUAUUAUGACAUGGAAAUUUAGUCAAAUGACUAUAAUGAAUAUAUAAUCUAACAUAAGGUUUAUAUUGAAUUUCAAUCUUAAUCGAGGAUUAAAAUGGAGAGAGCCCUUUUACCAAAAAAACAAAAACAAAAACAAAGCUUGAAAGAGAUGGCAAAAGAAAAAGGCUUUGUGUUGAUGAAACAACGUCUCAAAACUUGAAAUUCCUUUUUUUAACACUAAAAUAAAUUACAACAAAGGAUCUUAAUUUCAAACAUGUCAAAUUAUGACUUAUAUAAUAAGCUCCAUCAUGAGUUGGAAUUAUAAAUUUCUAAGACAUCUAUAUAUGGUUCAAGUCAAAAAGCAACUUUUGAAACUGAUGCAAACCAAUAUUGGUUAGGGAUGUGAUAUUCACACAUAUUUUUUUACUUCUCUCACACCCUUUUAAUUUUCGGCCGUUUGAUCGGAUGAAUUGAAGAAUAUCAAAUGAAAUAAAUUAAUAAAGGGUGUGGAAGAAGUAAAAAAAUGGUGUGUGGAUAGCACACCCCUAUUGGUUAAUUGGAAGCAUGAGCCUUGACAUUGAAACUUGAAACUCAAACCCUAAACCAAUGGAUGUACGUGUAUACCUACGGACUUUUAACUAGCUCAUAAAUUAGCGAUAUUUUAUUUUUUAAAUAUUAAAAGAGAUUUCAAAUUCAAAUUAAUCUUAUCGUUGAUCAAAAAAUCAUGAUAAAAAUCAUUUAACAAUUUAGCGUGCAUGUCACGUUGUGAGCUCAUAAAUUCUUAAUAUACGUCGUAAGCACCAACAAUUACGCAUUCAAAUAAGAGAAGGUAAAACAAAAAAAUAAGUUGAAUUGUAUGGCCUAUAACAUUUCAUCUUCAUGUCUUAUCACUUUAUAUUUUGUGGUACAAAAAUCACCAGAUGCAUCAAAAUAUAUUCCAAGCUGAACGUUGAAAAAUCGAGCCCGAACAAACGGUAGCAGACAAAUCACAUGCUGGCAUAUGUUGACAAUUGCAAAACCUCAGUAUAUUGAUUUUCUGGUUAUGUUCGCAUAUUUCUGAUUAUGAUUGCAAAACCUCUACAUAUUGAUUUUCUGAUUAUGUUGGAAAAUUAGUUGCUUAGUUUAUAUUAUUUGUAAUUUUUUUGGGUCAAGAGUGUUUGUUUUAGUAUUUUUCUAUAUACAAGAGUGCUUGAAUUCAUUUUUUUUAUGUAAAAAGGGAUUAACUAGUGGUUUCACCAUGACAAUUUACCAUUUCGAGGGCUGAGAAGAAUGACAAAGAUAUUUCAACAUUAUCCUGACCACCAUCAUGUUCACAAGCGCUAGGAAUCGAACCCUGGAUGUGCUGUGUGAAAUACGAACAUGAAAUUCAUCCUCAAUCAUUGCGUCACCCCUGUGAUGGUUGUAUUUGUUGUUUUAACAAGUCAUUCUCAAUGCAGUCUUAUGAGUUAUGUACCGUUUCGAUCAGUUAAUAUUUUUCUCUUUCAUUUAAUGUAGCAUUAUUAAUAAUUUAAUAUUUUAUUAUUUCAUAGCAUAUUUUGAUUUUUUAAUAUAUACGUGUGUGUAUAUAUAUAUGUGUGUGUGUGAGGUAAUUAGAAUAAUUCGUCUUCUUUUACCGGAUGAUCCAUGGUCGUUGUGGAUGUGAUUGCCAAUCAUAACAAUUUGAAAUAUUAAUAAAUUAUGUCUCUUUUAAAUUGAAACAUACAUCACAAAAAAUACAACACAUACUUUUCAAAUGCAUGCUACGAUUUGAGUUCUUGACUUUGAAGUCGAGCACCCUUCAAUUUCUAAGAUCCUGGCAUUGGGUGGCUAGCGACCUUUAAUUCAAUAUCAAUAAUGACCACAAAAGAAUUAAGAUAAAUUAAGGAAAUAGUCUAAUGUUCAUUAUAUAUAUUUUGUGUAAGUAAUUUAUAGCUUUUCAAUAUCUUAGUAGAUAAAAUGUUGAGUUUUUAUCCAUCCGUUUCGAGUCCAAUACUCUUAUCUGCUCUAAAUUAUCAAUUAGAAUUGUUUCUAAUACUCCGACCUUCUCCCCUUAAUAAUAAUGAUUUAAAAUAUAAAAAUAUCCAAUAUAAUGUGUAUUUGAUUAGAUCGUGAUAUAUAUAUAUAUAUAUAUAUAUAUAUGUGUGUGUGUGUGUGUGUGUGUCACACAUCACCUUAGUCAAUCUUAAAAAAAAAAAGGCUUUAUAGCCAAAAUUGUCUAUGAGAUUUGUAUCACACAUCAUUUUAGUCCGUAAAAUUUGAAAUUAAUAGAAGUGGUAUCUGAGAUUGUCCACCAUUAAUCAUUUUGGUCAUUCUGUACAAAAUUAUGUUAAAUACGGAUCAAAAUGACAAAUAUACCCUCAAUUUAAUAAAUAAUGGGCCAAAAUGAUUUGACAAAAAUAAGAGUAUUUUGAUCAUUCUAUUUUUAUUUAAUGGAGAUUUUUCAAUGAAUUAUUAAAAUGAUUGAUGGUGGACAAACUCAAAUGGACCAAUUAUAUUGAUUUCAAAUCUUAAUGACCAAAGCGGGGAGUUAUGCAAAUCUCAAUAACCAUUUUAUAUGAAGUUUCAUUUGCACGCCUAAUUGUGAAAAAAUUAUGGUUCCGCGAUUAAAACAUGGACAAAUGGCGAGUUUAAUUACUAGAGCAAAAAGCUUUGCAUUUACAUUUAAAUGAUAAAUUCUUUUGGGAUCCGAUUUCCUUGAUUUCAUACGGAAAUGUAGUAGGUAAAAUAAAAUGUAUAGAUAAAACCAUCCUAUAUGAAAAAUAUAGACUAGUUGCAUUUGCUUGCAUGUGUUAAAAAUGAACGAGGCUAGAAAGAGAGAGAAUGAUUAAUUAUAAAUGGUAUUGCAUGCUGUAAAUUGCUUUAACAUAGGUGGUCGGUCAAGAACUGACAACAAAUUUUGGAAGUGGUUUUUAAUAAAUUAACCCUAAUUAAUUAGUCUAACAAAUCCAUUUCAUCUUAUUUUUUGUUUGUUUACAUAUUCUGAGCUGUUUAAUUAUUCAAAACCAUAUUUCAAGAAAAAAUUAUUUUUUCAGGGAUCAAAACAAAAUCGUUCAAAAUUUAUAUAUAGCAAAAAGGAACAAUGAACUCAUUCAACAUUACUAAAAAGAAAAUCAUUUACAAACUCAUACAAAUACAGUAAAACCUUUGUAAAGUUAUACUGUUGGGACCAAACCAAUUUAAUUGAUGUGUAGUUAAAAAUAUUAUUAAUUGUUUUAUUUAUCCUUGAUGAAUGUUGUAUUUCCUAAAUAAGAUUCCAUGGACGCUAAGUAUUUUCUUUCUUGCAUAUUUUUACACUCAUUAACAAUUAUAACGAUGCAGACGCAUGUUUUUUUAAGAUAGGACCGAGAAAAACUUUAACUUAUUACAAUAUGAAGUUUGUUUCAGUACAUAAAUAAAAUAUUAUUUAUUGACUUAUUUAUUCUUAAUGAAUGUUGUUUUUCCUAAAUAAAAUAUGUUAAACGUGUUUUUUUUAUAACGAAACAAAGAAAAAUUAGGCUAUAUCCACAAUUUGGGGCGCUAGAUUCAGCCUAUGCGCAAUGCAUUAGAUAUGCUUUUAGUAGGAAAAAGAAUUUAGAUGUAUCAAUACUAUGUAAGUUGUUCUAUGUUAUAUGUUUGUAACUUAGGGUUGGUUUGAUAUUGCUGUGCUUUGAAAAAAACUACUUCUGUUAUACUGUGAGAAUAAGCUCAUUUCUGCUGUUUCACAUUUUCAGUUUUUUUUCAUUCAAAACUUUGAAAAUCAGCUGUUUUUAAGUGUUUACCAAACACCUUUUUAAGUUCAGUUUUUUUUUAUACUUACUUUUUAUAAAAGUAUCCCAGUACCGAACCAGAACUUAGUACAAUGGUUGCGAUGUUUCCAUGAAAGGAGGAAAAAAGGAAUAAUGAUGUCAUUGUGUGCAGAGCAAAAUGGAAUAUUGAUGUCAAUUAAUUACCAGACGCAAAUUAUGAGGAGCAAAAAAAUCAGAGAGAGAGAAAAGAGAAGGUUGACAAAAAAAAAAAAAAAAAAGAGAGGGAAAAAAGAAAAUGGUCGCUUUCAAGUUUGAGCAGAAACAGUAAUGGAGAUGGGAACACAAGUACCAGUCUUCAGCUCCGUUUCCGCCCGCCCAUUAAGGUAAACGGAAUACACAAAUCACACCUAAACCUGCAUUUUAAUACCAAGAGGGACGACCACCAAAAGCUUUCUCCUUUUUCAUUUUUUUCCCUUUUGAUAUUAUAAAAGAUUGCAUCUUUUUAUAUAUAUAUUUUUUUAACUGAGAAUUUCAAGCUCUCUCUCGCUCUCCAUGGUUGCUGACAGAAACAGAUGCUAAAGGGCAUCAGGACAUCAAAACUUGAUUGGUAAUCUGCAAAUCCACGAGGUGGGUUUUUUCGAAUAUUCAAAUCUUAUUAGUUUGAACUUUUGGUGUUUGGAGGAAGUUUUUGUGAUUAUUUGGUUGUGAAAUUUAGGAUUUUGGCAACAUGGGUCGGUCCAAAUCUGAUUAGGGAGGGCUCUCUGAUCAAAAGGGAGCUAUUUUUCUGUAAAUUUGAGAGAACACAGGAGGUAGGAUUUGAUUAUUGUGGACAAGUUAAUAUGCGUUGCAGCUGCUUUGGUGCUUCGGUUGCUGAGAAGAGGAAAAGGAAAUCUGGUUCUGGUCAAUUUGGCCAUGAUCUUGAUGGUACGGACAUGGUUAAAUGUUCCCACUUUCUGGUUUUGUUAUUUUUUUUUUACCUCCGUACUGUGGCUUUUUUGUUCAUUGGAUUCUGCGGAUCAUCAUUGUUAUUGUGAUUGAUUGAUUGUUAUGUGUGUUGCAUAGAGAAUGUGCUGGAAAAUAUCAAGGCUUUCUCUUACAAUGAAUUAAGAUCUGCGACGGAUAAUUUCCAUCCGAGUAACAAGAUCGGGCGAGGCGGUUUUGGAACUGUGUACAAGGUACUCAGAUUAUGCAUUUGUCUUGUAAUAGUUAUAAUUGGGAAGUUUGCACCAAUUAUAGAGAAUUCAUGAUAUCUGUGGUUCGAAUUAUGUUAGUUGUUUUCGAUUCCAAAUUUGUUGCAAUGACUAAUGAGUUGGCUCAAAAUAUCAAGCAAUUGGGUUUGCGUUUUAAGAACACUUCAAGUUCUAUCCGUAUGUUUUUCUAACACAUAGAUGCAAUGUUUGGUCUGCUAAAAACUCUCACCUGUAGUUCAAGAUUUGAGAAAAAUAGUGAUUUUGUAUUUUCCUAGUAUUAUGAUUUUAUAGCCGACCCCACUUAGUGGGAAAAGGCUUUGUUGUUGUUGUUGUUGUUGUUAUGAUUUUGCUUUAGAUCAUGCGGUGAUUAAGAAUGUUAGCCACCAAUUUGGAUUGAAUUCUGCGACGUUUCUAGACAGUAAUUUCUAUUUCCUAGUUUCCAAGCUUUCGUUGCUGGUCUUACAUUUCAAAGGACAAACUUUAAUAAUGAUUAUGCAUUAAUCAAAAUAUGUAGAUGGUUUUUGUCCAUGACAUUUCAUAUUGUCUUAGUAGUUUAGCUGCGUUUUGCUAGGGAACCCUGACAAGUGGAAAGCAUGUUGCUGUCAAGACACUUGCUGCUCAGUCGAAGCAGGGAGUCCGUGAAUUCUUAAAUGAGAUUAACACUAUCUCAAAUGUCCGGCAUCCAAACCUUGUUGAGUUGAUUGGGUGCUGUGUUCAGGAAGCUGAUCGAGUUUUGGUCUAUGAAUAUGUUGAGAAUAAAAGCCUUGAUCAUGCAUUAUUAGGUAAAUGGAUAAAUUUUUUAGCAUGUAAAGAAAACUGUAGGUACACAAUACACAAGGAUGGACCAUAAGUCUAAUUUGUUUUCCUUUUGUUUGUAGGUCCAACGAGUAGAACCAUCAAACUGGAUUGGGAAAAAAGAUCAGCCAUUUGCUUGGGUACUGCCAGGGGUCUUACGUAUCUUCAUGAAGAACUGGUGCCACAUAUUGUACAUAGAGAUAUCAAGGCUAGUAAUUUACUUUUAGACAGAGAAUUUAACCCGAAAAUCGGAGACUUUGGGUUGGCUAAACUCUUCCCUGAUGAUAUCACUCAUAUCAGCACAAGGAUUGCGGGCACAACGUACGUUACUUUCAUAUUUCUAGUUGAUUCAGUUUCCUUGAUUGAUUCAGUUAGGAAUUUAUGUUGCAUUGUAUUUUCCAAUUUUUCCUUGCUUAAUUCACUUAGGAGAUUAUAGAGAGAGUUUAUGUAGCUGCUUAUGCUUUAGUUUCAUUUUUUCAGUGGUUAUUUGGCACCAGAAUAUGCAUUGGGAGGUCAGUUAACCCUCAAGGCCGACGUUUACAGUUUUGGGGUUCUCGUUCUUGAAAUAGUAUGUGGAAGAAGCAGUGCCAAGGGAGACUGGGGUGGGGCAGAAAAGUUUCUGCUUGAAUGGGUGCGUUGUUUAUUUCCAUUUUUCGACAAAAUUCUUGGCAUAUCAGAUUCAUUAAUUUUUUCCUUGACCAUACGCGCAAUCUUAUAUUGCGAUUUUGUACACUUUGUAGCUGUUGAGGUCAUAUGGACUUAUUUCAUUUUCCAUUUACGUUCUUUUCCACGAUCAUACUCGCAGUCUUAUUCUGCUUCCUUUUACAAUUCUUUCGUUUCUUCGAUAGGCAUGGCAGCUCCAUGAAGAAGGGAGACUAUUGGAGCUAGCUGACCCGGAGAUGGGGGAAUUUCCGGAGGAAGAAGUCCUUAGGUACAUGAAGGUGGCAUUUUUCUGCACCCAAGCAGCAGCAAACCGAAGACCAAAGAUGAGCCAGGUUCUUGACAUGCUCUCGAGAAACAUAAGACUCAACGAGAAACAACUUACAGCCCCAGGUUUCUUCAACAGUUCAGGGAGCCUGAGCGGACCUUCAGGUAAAAAGUCAUUUUCCGAAACCACUACCAGUCAGAUGAGUUCCGUCCCCGACACUAUAACUCAAGUAACACCUCGCUGAAGAACAAUGUAAUUGUGAGUCAGAGGAAGACGAAGAUGAAAUUAUCUGCAAGUCCGCAACAAAUUAUUCAACAGUUGAUAAUUUUUGUCAACCAUUUUACACGCUUUUUUUCUUCUUUUCUUUUUAGCCAUUUUGAGUAGGGAGAGGGUGGUUUGAGCAGAGUCUAUAAUUUAUUUUCAUUAAAGAAAAUGGUACGAAUACGAUUGUACAAAUAGACCCUAAACUUUAGUCCACCGGUCAUAUGGUUUCAGAUUUGAUGUUUUUUGAUAGACAUGAUUUUUGACGAAAGACUUAAAAGAUAGACAUUUCAGAUCAUUAAAAUAAAUUACUUACCUCACAAAAACAAGUGUCAAAAAUAUUGUCACGGAUCAAUUCCCAUAUAUAUACAUAAUAGAUGCUUUCGACAACAGCAAGAAUGUUGGAUGCAAUAACAAUUGAGUCGGAGGGUAUUUUUAUUUUUAUUUUUCAAAGUUGUGCUUCAUAUGGUUUUUAUCUAAGAAAGUUUUGAGAGGCGUAGUUAUAAAAGAUCCCUGCAAAAUGGAAAAGUUUUCAUGGAGAUUUCAGGGAUUCCGUGAUCACGAUCAUUCAUCGUAUAUUGUGCGAUCAAUUUUUGUUAGGUAUUAUUUACACUUAAUUUUAAAUUUUAAAAUAAUUUCUGAUCGCACGAUGUAUGAUGAAAGGUCCUGAUUACGAGAUCCCUAGGAUCCCUGAAAAAUUUCACACCAUACAGUAUACGUCAUUCAUGAAUAUUUAAACAAAUUUCGAACUUAAAUGCAAAAACGGAAACACAAUUUCUCUAACCAAUUUGGCUAAAUCCGUAAACAUCAAGCAAGAUGAUCGUAUGUAUCAUGGUUGAUGGAAUCUACUCUUUUAAUUCAAAAUUUUGUACUCCUCACAAAAAUAUGGAUGCAGUUCAUCACAACGCGUCUGCUGAUCCAAAAAAGUAAAUAUUCAUAAAAUGUGUGCAAACAACGAAAAUUCCAAAUCUCAAAUCCCAAGCACAACACAUUCAAACACGAAUGUAUAUAAAGGCCUGCACAAUUAAAACCUAAACACUAAUUAAUGGAGGCCAAAUAUUACAAUAUUCGGAUAAUAAGUAGCAAACGAGGCUGGCGAUUUGUAGCCGAUAGUUAAUUACAAUCUCCAAAAAAAAAUAUGGAAGGGUUCGAAUUAAGCAGCGAGUUCCUCGGCAGGUGCAGGAGUGGCUUGUUCGGGAGCGUUUGAAGAACCAUUGGAGGUGGCAUCCUUGGCUUCUGAAGCGGGCACCUCAGCUUCUGCAGACGCAUUAGCUUUUGGUGCUGCAUCCUUGGCCGGAACCUUCCCAUCUUUGGCAUCUUUGGCCGGAGCCUUCCCAUCUUUGGCAUCUUUGGCGUCUUUAGCUGGAGCGGGUGGGGGUGGAAUCAUGUGUGGUGGAGUUUUAUGCUUCAGCCUCACAUGUAUUUGCCGCAGCCUCGAAAGAUCAGUGGGCUUUCCAGGCUUUGGGCCUUGAAUGACUUGGAUCCCUGGUUUCUUUUCCUGAUCCUUCUUGCCUCUCCUCUUCUCAAUGUUGGGAACCUCGUGAGGAAUGAGCUCCGCGAUUGCUUUCCAACUUUGCUUGUCAGCGUUUUUAUGGAAAUUCUCUUGAUUAACCAAGAACAACUGCUCAACAUAUAAACCAACUUUUUAGCAUUAGGAACAAAAAACCACAGCCGGUAGUCAAAAAGCGGGCAUUCCAAUACUUACCUUCUCCUUUUCUCUGUUCUGGACCUUGUUGGUCUCAACGUUAAGCUUCCUUUUCUCGUAGAAUGCACGCUUGAACUCCUCAGCCUCUUCAAUAAUUUGGUUCCUCAGUUCUUUCUCCCUCUUCUCCUUCUCCUCAAGCAGGAUGGCAUUUUGACUGUACCAGAAAAGUCAAGUUAGGUCAUUAAUAUUCUAGCGGAAAAAUAACACCAUUAGCUAACUUGUAACUUUUGUGCAGAUCGACCAAUGCGUGCACAAAUCACUAAAGCAACUUACCGUUGUCAUUUUGAAUGACUACAAUCAACUUACCGUUGUCGUUUUGAACAACAAACAUGACAAAUUUGUUAUUUCAUUAUUAGUUUGUUGUAGUUCAACUGUUAUACCCAAGACUUUUUUCCUAAUGACCAUCCGAUUGGAUUUGAUGGAAAAACUGAACCACCCUUUUUCGUCAUUGAGUUGAUAAAAACUCCGAUGAAGUUUGAUUAACCUCAAAUGAAACUAAAUUUUGCAAAUAACUCACUAGCAAGUCUAGCAAAGAAAGAAAGAACUUAUUCUUCUAUGAUUAAAACAACAAUAAAGCAUUUUCCCACUAAGUGGGGUCGGCUAUAUGAAUCCUAGAACAACAUUGCGCUCGGUUCUGUGAACUCAUUCUUCUCAUUGAAAGCAAAAAAAUUUCCUUCUGGCAAUCAGAUCCAAGAAAAUCAAUAGCAAUCCUCAUUCCGAAACGCUAAAUUUGACUCGAAAAGCACUACAAUUCGGUUUAGAAGCAGCUCCAAACUACACAAACACAAUCAAUCGCUGAUCUAUGUCUUUAAGAACCGCAUAAACUUAACGAUUUGAUCAACCUUUCUCGAAAAAUCGCAACUAAAGAACUAACAACCGUACCUUUUAGUGAUCACAACUACAAGAAAUCACACAGAUCUAACAAUAGUUCAAUACAGACACCUAUAUUUAGCUCAAAAUCUAAGAUCAAACGGAUGCAGAAUUUCACAGAUCUAAAGCAGCAGCUCACAAAGCAAGCAACUAGAUUUCUCAAAAAAAGCGAAUCGGAUCCGGAUCUUACCGCCGCCACUCACGAAGAGCGGAACCUUCCUCGACAAACUCGCUAGGUUCCGGGAGCACGGGACCGUCGGAUGUGAAGACGCCAUCGUCGAUUCCGUUCUCGCCAACGCCGUAACCAUUUCCGUCGCCGUUCUCAACUGGAGCUGAAUCGAAGGGAGUGGAGUGGGAGUAGUUGGAGCCGGGACCGUCGAAUCCGAAAACAUCCGGGGAGUCAGGGGCGGCGGUGGCGGCGCCGUGGUCGGUGUAGGAGCCGUAGUCGGCGUAGCUCUCGACGACGACUUCGUCCUGGUCAAAUUGGCUGUUAGGGGCAUGAAGAUCGUCGCCGUCCACGCUGAAAGCGUCGAAGGAAGCCAUUUUUGGCGGCGGUGAUUUCUGUCUCUCUCUGUCUGAAGAGGAUUUCAGUGGAAAUAUUUUGAAAGGGAAAGAAAGAGGUUUUAAUUGGAAACUAAUGGAAGAAGCUCUAAUUUUUGGUCUUGUCAAAUUUCGCUGUAAAUUUUGACUGACGUUCGGACUACCACUUUUUUACGCUACAUAUAUAUAUAUAUAUAUAUAUAUAUAUAUAUAAUAUAUAUAUAUAUAUAUAUAUUGAUCUAUUGUUUAGUAAUACUUUUAAAAUUAUUAAAUUGCAUUUAAAAUUGACAUAAUUCUUCAUUUUGAUAUUUGACAAUAAAAUUUAACAAAAGUAGUUCUGAGUUUAUCUACCUUAAACCAUUGAGUAAUGAUAUUCAUACCAUAUUUUUGUACCACAUUUUCAUAACACGUAGCAUUUGAUGUAGACAAUCACAUCAUUUGAAUUAAUCAGAUUUUUAAAUUUAGUUCAUUAUUUAAUAAACUAAUAAUUAAGAAAAAACUAGUUAAUUAAAUAAUGAUUGUGGCAUACGAGGAUUCUUUCUCCUUUAUUUCCUUGUGUUUUGCAAAUUUUUCAAAUGAUGUGGCUGUCCACAUCAGAUACAACCUAAUAUGAUACAGAAAUGUAGUAUAAAAAUGUGGUAUGAAUAGUAUUACUCUAAACCAUUAUAUUAUGUGAAAAAUAUGUCAAAAUCUUCGUUAAAUUAUCACAUAAAACGACCAUGACCACCUUUUUAAGACUAUACUUGUCAAACCAACUCUUUCACUUAACGUGAAUAUUAACAUAUUUUUUCAUAAAAUAAUAAAAUGAUUUACAGUGGACAAACUCAGAGACUGAUUCUAUCAAUUUUCAAUAUCAAGAAUGUCAAGAACUACUUUGGCUAAAAAACCUUUUAUUAAUUGUUAACUUUCAUGUCAUAUGUGUAUCUCCCUCUCUUUUUUUCUCUCUCCUCACGUGACGGGGGCAUUUUAUGCUCAUGCCACACCCUGCACUUAUGUGAGGAUGCUACCAGAUUCAUUACAACAUCAACAAACGCGAUCCUUAAUAUUACAAUCUAGUAGUAUUUUUCUUUACUUGUAAGCGAAAGAUCUUAAGUUCGAUUCUCGCCAAAGGUAAAUUUGAACCGCAUUGUGACGCUUAGUCCACUCCCUUACCCCCUCAGAUAAUAUUGUUUGUUAAAAAAAAAUUAUCAACUAACGCAAUACUGGUAACAAAAUUUCCAUUCCGUCGACGGUAAGCGAAAACCAUAUUACAUUUAGCUCAAUUUACAUCAGUAAGCAGUUCCACCUCAAGUAACAUAUCCCAGAAGACUGACAUUUUCUUAUACUCCCAAUCUUUGCAGAGAUGGACACCGAAAGAAAACUGGCAAUCGGACUGAAAUAACCAUCGAUGCUUAGAGCGUGCCGGGACUACAUAGCCGCAACUCUGAGCAUAGCCAAAGGCAGACGUCGAAGCCUCCGUGUCCUGUUUACUUCCGGUAACUAGACAUCAAUACACUGUCAAUCCUACCUAGAUAGGCACUUUCGAAAGUCUUGGAAGAAAUGCAUCAACCACACAAAAAAGGAGUUACACGGCAUUGCCUUCCGAAAACGUGCAAGGAGGCUUAUAAGCAUUUGGUUGUGGGGGGGGAAAUCGUUACAACAAUGACUGAAAACCACAAGAAUGUUAGGACUGUAGUCACCUGACAAGCACCUCCCCGUUCUUUCAGAAGAAUCUGUAACGAAGCUGCAAGCUCAAUCUUGUCCACAAUUAAGCAGCUACGGCUCCAUGGUCCUCGCCCUUCUAUAUAAUAUGUACGGAAGACGUUAUGUCAGUAGCUAUACCAAAAUGGGAUGAAAUGGUGGUAUGAUUUUCAGGGAACUGGUGGAGCAUUUUUCGGAUAUCUAGCAGAAGAGGGCAUCCGUUGAAGAACUUGUGGAAACUCCUGCUUCAUUCGUUUAUUUGGCAUCCCUUGGAAAGACCUUUUUACCAGAAACACCAAAUUAGAAGGGAAGAAUACACAAUAUAUAUGGAGAGGGAGGGAGGGAGAGAGAGAGAGAGAGAGAGAGAGAGAGAGAGAGAGAGAGAGAGAGAGAGAGAGAGAGAGAGUAGCAACUAACAAAAUUUACAAGGAGAAAAAAGGGAAAAGGUCUCAACCUACAUAUUAUUUUGAUAUUCUGCAAAAAGUCAAUACAGAAAGCAAGAAAGUUUUGCUAAAAUUUAAAGCGACGUAUAAUUUUCAAUUAUCCUCAUAAGUUUUAGUUUGUUGGCUGGAGCUGUAAAACUAAUCAAAGCUGCAAGAGCUUUCAUGUCAUGUGCACCAAGAGCUACGAAAUAGAGCCAACUGAAUUAUUGGCUCACUUUGGGCUGCUUGAUCCAACGAAAGUUCAAACUUCAUUAAAAAAUUGGCAAACAUAAUUACACACUCGCAGCUGAUGAAUUCACACACCUUGGAGAACCCUGACGUUUCUGAGCAAAUAAAGUUGAUCUUAGACUUCCGAGCGCCUUUUCAGCGGCCUAAGGAAAAGAUUGUUUAGGUGGACAGAUAUGACAUUUCAAAAAGACUAGGCACCACAAAGGGUACUCCGAAUUGGACCGGUAGAAAAAUUACCUGCAUCUUAGCCUCAUCCCACGUCAACCCAAUCCCCUUUCCCAAGACCUCUCCAUCUAUUUCAACCUGCAACAUUAUAAUGAUAGAGAAUUAUAAAGAAAGGAAGGGGGCAGAAAGAGAAAAGAAAUAUGCUUCAAGACAAAACUCAAAUGUUAUUCAGAAUAAUGAAGCAUGUAAUCAUGGCAAAUACAAACCUGUACGUGCACUUCAUCCUUCUCAACUGAAUUAGCUGAAGGUGGAGGUCGCGGUUGAAAAACUACACCACCAAGGCCCUCUAUCAUACACUGAAAUAGGAAAAAUUAUGGAACGUCAAUAAUCAUAACAUCAUUCAGCACCUGGAAAUAAGAGAGAAAAAAAGAUAGAGAGACUAGCAAACUAUCAUGUAUUGAAUCUUACAAGUUCUUUGAGGGCAGAGACUGAAUUCAUAGAUUUUUGGAAGCCUUCAAGCCUAGGGUCUAGUGGCCUAGAAGGCUCCGAUGAAGUUGAAGAUGACAGGGACUCCUCUUUGGGAAAUGACUGGAUCCCAAAAGAAUUCGCAUUACCCACAAAACCAUUGUUGUUAGCAUUAGAAAACUUGCUCAUUUCCCCAUGAACAGGCACAGAAUCAGGCUUGACGGGAAAGGUAUAUAUCUGCAAAAAUGUUGUCCAGGAUUGUCUCACACACAAAAAAAAAAAAGGAAACUAGAGAGAUACCUCAAUAAUAUUUUCCCAUCUAUGGACAGAACCAAGCUAACACAAUAUUCCCUAGUACAGAUGCAAUAAUUUCAUAAGCAAGUUGACUUUGUUUUAGUGCAGUAGGUCCUCAGUCAGUAGUUUCAUAUUGUUCCAACAGUUAAUUGUUCAGUUAAAAACUUUCAAAAUUGAUUGACUGGCAUCUUUAACCCCUGAUGGAAAGCUGACAAAGUUUAAAAUAACCCCUCGAUCCUCCAUCCAUGGCUUUUGCUACAAAAGCACUUCAUUCAGCAGAAUAAUCAUCUAAGAUCAGCUCCAGUAUGAUUAUAUCAGAGACUUGAGAGUUUAAAAUAUUUAGCGGAAGAUAGAUCUUAAAAAUAUGUCAUAUAUUGACUUAAUUCCACAAUAUCCUUUUCCAUCGAAAGUAAGAGAUUGUAGUGUUUGUGGCUUAACAGUCAAGGACAAUGCUGCCUAGAACAUUUUGCCAUCAUUCAAUUUUUGGAAGAAAAGAAGCAAAUGGAAUAUUAGCCUUGAGGUGGGCUUCACAUGUGUCAAAAAUCAAUUAGUUGUCAAUUUGUUCCAUCACUGCUCUAAUAUCAAAUCAGUUUGUCGAGCAUAAAUUUACCGGUACAAGAACCACUUGAACAGGCAUGAAAAUAAUAUUGAGAAUGACAGAUCGCCCAAGCUAGUGGCAAUAAAUACAGCAAUAAGAAAUCUUACUGGCUAAGUUUUUUAGAGAACCCUCGGCAGCCUGGAAAUGAGCUUCCCUUCUUGUUUUACCAGUUCCUUCACCAAUUUUCUCUCCUGCAAACCAAGCCUACAAAAGGCAAAAUGGAUAAACUAAUUAAAGUGUGGCAUCCCCAACAAAGGAAUAUGCAACAUCAGAAAGUAAUAAAAACAAUUUCUGUGAUAAGUUACAUGGUACAGUUUGACCUACAUGGCAUAUGAAAUUCAUUGAUUCAAAUUAUUGGGCCCAUUUACAACUGAUUACCAACACUAAUUACACCCAUUACCAUCAAUUAGAUAUGCUCCAUUCAAUUGUACCGUAUUGCUAUGGAAUAGGGUGCACACAUAUUUACUAUUUCUGCUUUAAAAAAUUAAAAAAAAUCACCAAAACUUAGUAAGAUACUAAGAUGUGAUCAUAAAAGCAAACCAUCAUUUUAUUAUGAAAUAGAAUACAAACCAAAUGCGAUUUCCUGUCUUAGCUCCCUCUUCACUCGAAACCAAAGUUAUCAACUUGUGGACAUAAAGUCCCUAAAAUAUCAAAAAUUGAAAUUUACAUCAAAUGUCACAAACAAUACGACUUAUUACUGAAUGGUUUAAUUUUUCCAAAGACAAGUUAAGUUAUUUACACAUCCCUAACUCUGGCCAAGAAAACAUUGAACUAUGGUUAGAUACGUUCAAAACGUGAUACCCCAGAAACUAAUGUGGAAUUAUAAGGUAGUAAGCCAAAGAUCAAAAGUACCUCAACAUAAAACUGGAGUUCCGUGCUAGCAACCAAAGCUGGCCUAAACUCCACCUGUGGAACACGAGGUUUUGAUAUAUGCAAAAAAUAAAGAGUAAAUUUUCUACUGCAACACAAACAGCUCAAAAUACCUUGGCUCCACACUUCAUUGCGAUUUCCUGUAAGGCUCCAGCAGGAGUUUCUGCAUUUGAUAUAGCUCGUCCAGACUCAAAGUCCACAUCUCUAUUCAUGGAAGGGGAUCGACUCAAGGGAAUCUCCUCACCUUCAAAUUCAUGUCCCCGUUAUAUUACACCACACUCAUGAUAAUAUACAAUAAUUACAUAUAAAUAAAACAACUGUUAGUUACACAUUUUAAGAAAGACAAGAACCAUUAAAUUCCACUUGGUUAAAAGUUCAAAAAGAAGAUAAGAUAACCCAAUUGCAUAAAUAAUACUCAAUUAAUAACCUUCCAAAAAAGAAUAAUCAUUGCCAUGGUAUAGUCCAAACAUGUGAAACUCUAGGCAAAUUGUGAUAGUACACUGCUGAUGGUAAAAGUACUUUUGGAAAAUGUUCAAGCCUUUAAAGCAGCAUCUAUCAAUGAAUUUGUACCAAAAUAAAAUAAAAUAAACUGAAAAUCAUCGUAAAUUGUGCAUGUCAUAGCUCACCUGACACUGAAUGAUAGCCAGCCGAUGCAUGGUUGAAUCUCAGCCGAUCAUCUCUAUGAAAUGCCUGCAAAACAAUAAUCUUUUAGGACUAGUCUUGUCUACAAUCCAGUCACAAGCAACAUCCAUCACUCAGCAUAACAAAAUAGGAUUAAAGCCAGAUCAACAAAGUGUAAAUACCUCUUUCGGAAAUCUUUGAUUUUCUUGAAGAAUCCUAUCAGAUGGAAUAGAAUUAUCAACCUUUGAGAAAAAAGAUGAAUGAUGAGGUCGAUGCUUCUCAAUCUGCAUUGGAUCUGGAUCCAAUGGAAGUUCUUUGGGUACCGUCCGGCUCAGUUGCCGAGGGCUCAUUUCUUCCUCCACUGGAAACCAGCCUGGACGCGGUUGCACCCGUGGAACAGAGGCUUGUACUGGAGGUCUGACAGCAAAUGGGGGCUCACUCGGUGGUGGUUCUCUUGUAUCUUGGCCAUGCUGCAAAAUCAGUAGCCUCCGCCUUGUAUCAGGGUCUAACUCUGAUUCAGGUACCUCUCCCUCCUCUCUAGCCGGAGAACUAUGCAAGCUUGGUUCUGCAGCGCCAAGAUGACCCAACGGUUUAACCACUGAAGCUCCCUGAGGGAACUGUAUAUUAGGAAAAGUCAUUGGUGAUUGCUGACUUGACGGCAGUGAAGUUGUGCUAGAGGAAGGAGCCAUAGAGUACUGAAGAGAAGCAAGCCUUGGAUCUAUGUUAGUGACUACCGAAGAAGCCGUUAAAGCAGCUGAGGUUGCUUCCUACAUGCCAGAAAUAGGUCAACCAAUAAAUGAACUUUAACAAAUUCGCAUAUGCAGAUGCACAAAAACGUUCAUCCAAAGUGGAAAGUUCGCAUAUCAAUGGAAAUACUGAAUCUUUAUAUACCUUCAGUCUUCUUUCAACCUCAGCAUCUGCCAUGCCAUCAAAAGUGAGCGGGUCUCUGUUUCCAUUUAAAGCAGAAGGAUCAUCCUGAACAACCAAAAUCUAUUAGUGGAAUUAUCAUAUUGUGACAACUGUGGUGUGGAGGAGAUUUUUCGGGAGAAAUUUCAUUAAAAAAUAAAUAAAAGAACAUCAUAAAAUUGUUCCAACUAACCUCUGAAACUAGAUGAUUGCUCACAUCAGGUGAAGGGACAUCUUUAAUAUCAUCUUCAUAAAAAAAUUCAGGAAUCUUUUGUAGAAGACUGUCAUCAAAUUCUCUGUUAUCACACCAAAAGGUGAUGUCAUGCCAACAGAACACCAUUAUUUUGCUCAUAAACAGAGCAUGGCUUUACACGAAAACAGUUUAGAGACAUUAAUUCCUUACUUAAAAAAUCCACCUCUGACAUUGCAAGCAACAUUUCUUGCAACACACAGGACAGGGACUGUGUUAUUUGCCUGUAAUAUUAGGAGGUAUGAUGAGUUCAAGCUAAAGAGGAAAAUAAAUAAAUAUGCAAAAUGUGCAUUUUUGACAAUAGAUCAGUUUAAAAAGUUAAUAUCCAUAUAAAACAAAGCAAAGACUUUUACUUCAGCUUGAGGAGCAUAAUACGGAGCAAAAGCAGGAACAACAUGCACCCGAGGUUGAUCUCUCUCAUCCCACACUUUCAAGCGAUCAUCAAUUACCAAUGCCAUCUUAGGAUGGCAUAAGCUUUCUUGGAAGACAUUGAACAACGACUUUCUUGAACCUAUCAUAAUAUAUGAAAUCCAUUAAUUAAACAGAGAAAUGCAUGUGACUUCCAGUGAAAUUGUAAAACAAAAUUUAUAAACGAAAUAUAACAGUUACCAGACUUCACACAGACAAUACGAUCAAGUAAUUUAUUUGAGUUUAUCAAGUUUGAAUCAGGAUCAAGAAGCCUCCACAUUUCCAAUGCAUAAUCCCUUUCAGCCAUUGUGCAAACAUAAACCUCAAACCGCUUGCGCCCUCUUGCAGUCAGGUAGCUCCGAAGAUCUUCCCAUGCAGGUCUCAACCUCACAAGAACACUUGUAUCACGAAUCUAAGACAGAAAUCCUAUGUUACUUAGGACACCUUAUAACGAUGAGUACGGAGACUUACUACAAACAAAAGACAGAUAAUGCGAAAACAACAAAACCAUCCACACAACCGGAUCAAGCAGAUGUUGACCAAAAUAACCAAAUGAGGAAUGAUGACGAAGAUAAUAAACAAGGUAUUACAUACCUGCGGAUUAAUGCGAGUCAGUAUAAUAUUUUUCUCAUGUAAUCGUAUAAGAGGCCGAAUAAUAGGUUGAUGAUUGUCAGACAAGGCUGGAACAACCUCCGAUUGAGUUUUGACAACUCUCCCAUUAUCAACAACUUGAUCAUUUUCAGCAUAUUGCUUCAAUAUAAACUUGUCAUCUUGAUACCGCUUGAUCUCUGCAAGCAUACCAGAAAUACGUAGUGGGUCCACCUCAGUGCUUAUCUUCCUCUGUAGGGCCUCAAUUCGAUCCUCAAAAGAGCGCAUUGUAUUUGCAACAAUGAGUGUUUCAUCAAGAUCAAAUACAAUGCCCAGACAUCUAAGAUUCAGCAUGACAAGGCAAGAAUUGUAUAGUCCUGAUGCAACAUAGAAUCCCCAGAAACAUGGGAACUGUUUACCACCAUUCCUGGAUUGCAUGGCAACCAAAUGAAGCUCCUCCCCUCCUAGGGGCAUUACUGCAGUCUGAAGAAAAGCAUGACGGCUCAAGGUUUGCACAAAGUACCAUUCAUUCCAGAUAACAUAGGCAGAAAAUAAACUUACUUUUCAAUCAACGUUAACACAUAAAGUUCAAACCAUAAUAAGAAUUAGGCAACUGCAUGUUUCCAUUUUAUAAAGGACUCUACGCUGCAUUCCAACAUAUAACAAAACUGAAAACUUGGUACUGCAGAAUUCUAGAGUUUUUCCUUAAACACUCUAACAUCCAAUUAGAGCACAACAAAAACAGUUCUUCCUUAAACACUCUAACAUCCAAUUAGAGCACAACAAAAACAAAAUCAUCCAAUACUCGUAAAUGAAUAAUUCACGCAAUCAUCAUCUCUACAUGUAACAGCAUCCCGCAAGCACAUAUACAAUAAGAUCAGAAACAAGCCAUCACAAAAAAAAAAAAAACCAUAAGGUAUAUUCUCAACAUCAACGCGUUCUGUCAUUGUACUAAACUCAGUAAGUUGAGGAAUAAAGUUCAUCUUACAAUUCUAUGAAAUCAAGUCCAUAGUUUCAGUUCAAAACAGUUAAAAGUUCAAACAGCUCAUGCAAUUUGGGGCAAAAAUUUUACUGGGUUCAUCCAAAGUUUCAAACUUUACAGUGAAAUUCAAAAUUGGUCCAUGUGAAAUUGUUCAGAGUCCUCUGUAACAACAUUAUAAAGUUAAAAGGGGUUAAAUUAGAAUAUGGGUUUUCAAUUUUUAUCUGUUUUUUUCUGCAAUUUUGUUAUUUUCUUGGAGGUGGGAGUUUAAUUCAAUGGUUGUGCUGCUAUACCUUGUUCUCCUGAGUCAUGGAGGAGUGCAAAAGAAAGAGCGGCGUGUCCGGAGACGACAACGGCGACGUCUUUGACUCCAUCAUUUUGAAGCAAACUCCAUUGGAGGAGUUUAUGGUAUGAAGCACUGCCACUGGUGGACAUCUUUCACUUGGUUGAGAAAAAUAGCUUAUUCUGAUUUCCUUCAACACAUCCUGAACAUUCUUGUUGUUCUCGUUCACUGUUGGAUAUAUCUCUACUUCCCCAAGUAAAUCUUCGCCUUUAUACACGAACUUAUACAUUUUCUCACUUGCCAAACACCAAUUUUCUCAAUGCCCAAACACCAUCCAAGAAGAGAAAAAAAAAAAGAAACUCAGAAAUUUUAUUCCCUCCUUUGAUCUCUCAUCAAAGUUUCAUUCAAUAAAAACAUCAAUUUCGUUGAUUUCUUUCAACAUCGUCGUCAUCUCCAAAAAAAAUCCCAAUUUUGGUUUUAAAUCACAAAAAUUCGUAGGAAAAAAAAAAGAAAAAAAAUUAGGGUUUUAUUUUCGAGUGAAGAUCUUAGAUCCUUGAUUGAUGAUGCAGCGUUUACGAAAUGGAAUCGGAUUUUUGUUCUGAAUUGUGGUGCUAAAAGCUAGGGUAUGGUGACGAUGGAGAAGAACAAGGGAGCCGUCGCGAGGAGAAACCCUAGAUCCAGAUAGCGAAAGGUCAAAUUAGCAGUGCAAUUCAUAUGUCAGAAAAUAAUAUUAUAAAACAAAAUUAAAUAUAAUAAAACGAUACCUCCACUCUUGGGUCAUUUUCCUAAUUUAUACUUCUUUCAUGCUAUUUUUAUAAAUUUCCAAAAUUCUGCUGUAAUUCACUGAACCAAAGAUUCAAAAUCCGUUCAAAUGAAAGUUUUUAUCGUAUAAUUAUUAACAAGUCGCUUACGUUGAAUGAAAAUAUUCAUGGAUCAAGAAAGCCAGAAACAGAAAAGGAGAAUGAACGGGUCAUUAUUCUCGUGAUUGAUUUAACUUUAAGUUUUUUUUAGUUUUGAAUUCUUAAUAUAGCUCUAACAACCAUGUAAUACAGUCGAUAUCAGUUCGUAAACGCAUAAAAAUGAGAAUAAAAAAUAAUUAUGUUAUAUUCGUGCAUAACAGUUCAAAAUAACGCUGAUACUCAUUUAAGUAAACAUGUCAUAAAUUAUUUCCUACCACUUAUACUGUUACACAAUGUUGAGGUAAAUGUGACGGUGUUUAAAAGCGGGGGCUCAGGUGAAAAGUGGGUUAAUAAAGCUGGGGAAGAUAAGCAAUAUGGAAAGUUUAUGGGUGACGGGUUGACAGGUUAGAUUUUGGGUCAUAACACGUGGCAGAUGGCGGCUGGUUGACGUUAUGUACGGCUGUGGUUUAUAAGAUUCUGAAAUUUUGACUUAUCUGUAAUAUUACACAUUUGCCCUCGUGUCGUUGUGUCUGCAAAACUUUCAUUUCGAUAAACGUUUGCUUUUUCAUUACCAUGGAAGAAAAUGCUAUCGUCGAUAUUAUCGGUUUUUCGGGGGAUGGAUAUUUUAAGUGGUAUCCGAAUGGUUUUCGUCCAAAUAUCGCGAAAUUAUCGAUAAUAUCGCGAUAUUUUGGAAAUAUCGCGAAAUUUUUUUGAACGGUGCAAUCGGACUCCGAGCCGAACGUCGGAGAUGGUGUGCCUAUUCCCGAGCCGAUUUCGUCCCAAAAACCUUGCAAAAACACGAUUUUUAACAUCAAUUUCACAUAUAAACUUCAGAUUUCACGCAUGCAAGAGGUAAUCAACAUAGGGUUUAGUCGGAUCUCACUUGAAAACUUGGGUGUGCCUGAGUGUGGGUGUGAUCGGGGAAGCCGAGCUUCCUCUGCUCGUCUCCGUGCUUCCCAGAGACGGAGGAGAGGGAGGGAGAGUUCAGGAGGGUGGUGGAGAUGCUGCGCUGGCAUCGGGGUGGACGGAUUUGGGUGUGCCUGGGUAUGGGUGCGAUCGGGGAAGCCGAGCUUCCUCUGCGCGUUGCCGUGCUUCCCAGAGACGGAGGAGAGGGAGGGAGAGUUCAGGAGGAUGGUGGAGAUGCUACGCAGGCAUCGUGGUGGACGGAUUUGGGUGUGCCUGGGUGUGGGUGCGAUCGGGGAAAUAGAGUGAGAGAACGAGAGUUCGAGAGAAAGAUAGAGUUGAGAACUCUGAGAGAGUGAGGGGUCCGAGAGGGACUCGGGAAAAGAGAGAGAGAUAGGGGUGAUGGUUAGUGGGCUGCCACGUGGCAGCGUGACAGAGAGUGAAAAUCAAGAUGGAGGUCCAGAUUAGAUUAGGAUAAAGGACUCAAUUGCACAAUUUAUAUAAUUUCAGAAAAAGAGUGAAAAUAUAAAUUAAUCUGGGGGUCUAUAUUAGAUUAGGAUAAAUGACUCAAUUUCAGGGAAAAAGUGAAAAUAUAUAAUUUUAGGGAAAUAGUAGAAGUUAUUUAUUGGUUAGGCAUAUGGAAAUGCAAAAAAUUGUUUUUCUAAUGAUUCUAAUCAAUUUCAAGAAAAAUAAUGAAUUUAUAAGGGUAAGAUGAGUCUAUAAAAGUGAUAUAAUGAGUCUAUCAGAGUGUCGGUCAGUUAGACAAUUUAGAUUUUUUUAAUCAUUUUUGCCAAUUGGCUUGUUAUCGCCUUUUUUUAUUAUCAAAUUGGAUUAUUAUUCAUUAAAUUAGAUUAUUAUCAAAUUGGAUUAUUCAUUAAAUUAGAUUAUUAUCAAAUUGGAUUAUUAUUCAUCACCAUGUUUUAUAUUAGGAUUAUUUUUUUAUGAAAUUGGAUUAUUAUUCAUUAAAUUGGAUUAUUAUGAAAUUGGAUUAUUAUUCAUUAAAUUGGAUAACUACUCUUCACAAUACACUCACUCUACACAUAGAGAUGAUGAAGAUAGUGAAAAUUUUGAACCUCAUAGGAACUCUAUGUGGUACUAAGUCACUUAUGUAUCUUACCAUGCAAUGUAUAAAGUGUAAAAUAUUGUACUAAUUCAUUAUAUAUAAAUGAUUAUGGUGUGUUUAGACUUCUUUCAUUAAUUACUACAUAUUUUCUACACUCACAAUGUUUGUCAGCUCGCUAUAUAAUCAACUUGAUAAUAUUAAAUCCAUCAUGCAAUGCAUUUCUUUCCAAUUUUUUGUGAUAAACUAAUAGAUAAUUGACUAAAUAAACAUCCUACAAAGUUUCAAUAAAAAUUUCUAAGUUUUUCUUACAAUUUCCGUGGUUUCCAUGUAAUUUUUAUCGAUAUCGAUAUUUACCGAUAUUUCCAUUGAUAUUUCCGUAUUUUCGGACUACCGAUAUUUCCGAUAUUACCGAUAUUUUCUUCCUUGUUCAUUACAACCAUUUUCUAUAUACGUGUACAUACAAAACGUUUCAUGGAGUUACAAAUUUGUGACAAAUAAAAUGCACAUUAUUCAAUGUGUUAAGUUAUUGCAAAUCAAAGAAUUUAGACUUUUCAAAGAGGUUUUUUUUUUCUUUGUCACUUAAUACUACGUUCUAAUAGUAUUUCUUUUUAUUUAUAAGUGAGAGGUAUUAAGUUCGAUUCUCGGCAAAAGCAAACUUAAAUUACAUUAUUGUUAAUCCAUUGUGAGAUUAAGCCCACCCCUCCCGCUUAGUAUCGAUAAUAUUAUUUGUUAAAAAAAUCCUCUAAAAAAAAAAUCAGUUGGUGGCGAAGCCAUGAAUUUUUUAAUUUUUUUUAAGGUCAUAAAGACUUAUAAAGACAUUUUAAUCUCAACUAGCAACAUUGUGUGAUUCACCAACAUUAUAAAUCAAACUUAGGAUCAACCGUAUAAAAUACAGGUUUAGAAUUCAGCCUAAUCACGAGACCACUCCAUGAUGAUUUAAGAGUUCGAACUUUAAAGGAGAAUAAAUUGAUCUUGAUACAUUCUCUAGGAAAAAUGUGUCACGUAUUAACGUACAAUCCACAUGUACAAAAAAGUGCGUCGGUAAUGAAAUUAAUUUUGUGUAUCUAAAAAAACAUUAAUCUUUAAGUGAAAAAGUAUGAAACUCACUUUGGUUUAAAAAAAAAAAAAAAAAAAGAUUUACCAUUAGAACGCGUCGGGUUUCUUAUUGCUUUUUUAUUUCUUCCAACUUCCUGCAUAAUUGAGUUGAAGAGUUUUCUCUCCAACUUACGUUGUGCUAGGUUUUGCAAGGUUUCGUUGUUCCCGUGAUAGUUUUAUGUUAAGGAUUUUGGUGUAAUCAGACAAUGAACCAAUAAUACCAAGUAUCGUUUUACUUAUAAAAUUAAUUGUUAUUUUAAAAAAUUUAGUUGUUUGUACGGAUUUUGUAACUCUCGUUUUGCCUUUAUGGCCAUGUUGGUUUCUUUUUAAGCAUCGAAUUGAGUACUUUGAGUCUUGCUUGACCAUUUUAGAGGAGAAUUUGUUGGUGUGCCAAAAACACAGUUUAGUACACUAAAUGUAAUAAUACAAUUUGUUGAAAUUUUAUUUUUUUAAGUUUCAAACCAAUUUUAUUAUUAAACUUACUGUACAAGACCGUGUUAUCGAUACACUAAAAAACCUCUCGUACUAAAGGAUAUCCAAUGAAAUUUACCAACUUAGGUUGAAAAAUAAGUAUAAAUACUGGUAUUUUGCAAUCAAAGAAAACAUGAACGUAUUAGGUUCCACCUAAUCUGAACCCCACUCCCACCUACUGGAGGAGAUGGCAUCGCUCACUUUUUGCUGAUGAUAUGUUUAAUUAAUUCGUUGAACUACAAUUAUCACAACCUUGAUUUCAUAUGUAUGUACAAAGAGCUUUCAAAGUAGGUUAUAAGUAACUAAUACAAUGCAAAUUGAGAAAGAGUAAGGCUAUAAAAGUAGUCCGAAUAUUAAGCCUUUAUGUCGUUUGUCUCGCUUAAGCCUUUAAUUUAGGCUUGAUAAUUUCUUGCACAAUCUGUUAACACUAAAAUAAACGACAAGAAAAUAAUAGAUUUUAAGUCAACCAUUAACAAAUCAGAGUCAUUAUCAGGUUACCCAAUAAGAUAUUGUUUGCCAUAUAUCAGCAUUAUAAAUGAUAAUUUUUUGCAUGACCUGAUAAUGAGUUUGACAUGAUAUGACCCGUUAAGAUAAUGAGUAUAACACAAAAAUGAUACGAACACGACAAAUACAAUUCGUUUGUCAAGACUAUUUCAACCUAACCUGAAUCUUUAAGAUUUCACUUCAUUGUACUCGUUCUAUGUUUAACACAAAUUGAGAAUCUAGACAAGGAAACUAAUAUAGAGUACAUUUGGUUGAUGUAGUUAUAAAAUGACAGAGGCAUGUCGCACCAAUGGCAUUCAAAUGUGUAAACAAAUAUAUAUGUAGGCAUUAAUGUUUGAAUUUGAUGAUCCAUCCAUACCAUCCAUCUUCCACUAGUACUAUUUAUCAAAUUUGGUUUUAUAUUUAUGGUUGAAUUCAACGAAUAUGACAUCACACGUUAUUUUUAUUAACUUUUGGAUAGAUUUUUCAGUGUGUCGAGAAUGCGACUCGAUACACUAAAUAUCAUAAUACAAUUGGUUGAAAUAUUUUUUUUUCAAGUGUCCAACUAACUGUAUUACUACACUUAAUGUGUUAGGUGUACUAAAAAAUCUCUCUAGCUUUUGGAAUAUAAAAGAAAGACAUGUUAAAUGUUGUGGUGAAACAUGGUUUUUUAUUUGACCAAAUUGAAAGUGUCGACAAGAUUUUAAUGAGCAUAAUUUAUAAGAAACUUUAACGAAAAACUCUCAGUAUUGUUCAUUUUAAGGAAAAAUCAUAUUUUUAAACUAAAAAGUCAAUCCGGGUACUAUUCACUUUAUCCUUUAUUUUGUCAUUAUUGUUAAAACUCAAAGUUUUCAAUUUUUUUUAUUAAUUUUCCUUAUUUUAUACUCUAUCCUCUUUAGACGAAUUCGCAUUAAAAUUAAUAAGUAUCGUACUUCUCUUAAAACAUGAUAAAUGUUAAACUAGUUGGUCAACCUUACCCAAAGCUUUUAUAGUAAUUAACAACCACAACAAUUCCCCACUAAAAUAAAAAAUAAAAAAUAAAAACAAACAAAAACACAAUGCAGUUGGUUCAUAUGGGCUGGGCCUGAUUUCAUUGUACAUAGGCCGAGGCCUAUCUGAGACUGAAAAGGGCUUGGCCUCCAAAAAUAUGCCCUGCAACCAAAAAGAAACUUAAUUUGAAGACGUCGUUUCAUUUCCAAGACAUGACAUGACUACUUUGGUGAUGUCCUGAAAAGGUUGAAGCUGUGCAACUAGGAAAGUAUUUGUUGGUUGAUUAUCCAUCACGUCUUGUAUUUUUGGAUUAGUUACUUGGUUUUCAAGUUAUUAACAAAAUAUGACCAACUAUCUAAUUUUCUAUGACACAUUAAGUUACUAAACUUGGCAUGAUUAAAGCAAGGACAACCAUGAUGAAACCUUUGUAUCAUUGUGUUAAGGACAUGCCGAUCAAGAUGUAUAAUUUCCUAUAGACAGUUUCUAUAGAACGUAGGAGAAGUCAAUUGAUUCUUCUGAAUAACUAUGCCACAUCGAGGCGGAGAGGCGAGAAAUAAAUGGGAAGAAAGAAAUUGAAGUUAUCAAUACAUUUCGAAUUUAAAACUCCUCAAUUAUCUAAUUUUUAUAAUAGUUUAAACCCUUCAUUCUCUACUUAUCUAUUCUAUUAAGAGAAUAGGGCUAGUCAACUUUUAUCCCUUUUUUCCAAUUUUGCCCUCACUUUUGAAUACACAAUAUUGACACGAAGAGGGCAAAAUAGUAAUUUUGUAUAUUUUGACAAAAUGACAAUUAUAUACUUAUUUUUCCAAUUUUACCCUCACUUUUGAUACACAAUAUUUACAUAAGGAGGACAAAACAAUAAUUAUGUAAUAUUAAGAGAAAUUGUUUACACACAUAGUAUGUGCUAUCUGAUAGUAAGUGGUAAGGAAUUAGAAAGAGGAUAAUUCAAUCUUAACCCUAAAAUAUGUUAAAUGACCAAAGUACCCUUAGUUCGAUAUGAUCAAGAAGAAUGUGAUUGGGCGAAAGAGAGGAAAAGGGCACAGAAUUUCACAAACAAGGGCAGCCCAAGGAAUUCAAAACCAAACCAAAUCAAAUCGAAACCCGAACCAAAAACCCCUAUCUCUCUCUAUCUCUCCUCCUCGACCCAAUUUUUCUCUCUCUCUCUCUUUCUCUCUCCUCAAAUUGGACACAAGACUUCCUUCUCCUCCACCUGAAGUACCAGUCUUCCAGACCUACAAUUUUCCAAUUUCGCCCUUCGGUUUCAAAUCGUGAUUCCCCCAAAACGAAAAGCCUUGUCUUUUCUAUUCAGACAUGCCCGUCCCGAACCGAUAACGCAGAGGAAGGAACCCAGCCACACCCAAAACGCCGCCGUUUGCCCAAGAUGAUCGUGAGAACGUACGGCCGUCGCAAGGGAGGGGACAUUACCAGAACGUAUUCCGACACAGAGCUAAACGACGCCGUUCACGACGACGACGACGUCAGUAGCGACCCCUUCGGAUUUUCCCUAUCGCAGCCUCAAGAAAGCAGCGGUGACCCUUUCAAUUUCUCGUCUCAGGAGGACUCGUCUUCCGGGUGGGCCCACUUCGAUUCGGACCCUUACGUCACCAAGGACUCCUCCUUGAAGCGCUUUCCCCUGGACGGCGUCGUCUCGGGGAGGUCCAAGAAAGCUAAGACUCGGAAGGAGGCGGUGGGGAAGAACUCCUACAGGCCGCCGCCGACGCCGUCUAUUCUUGCGACGUCGACCUUGAUGGAGGCGCAGGAGUUUGGGGAGAUGAUGGAGCACGUGGACGAGGUCAAUUUCGCGCUGGAUGGACUCCGGAGGGGUCAGCCGGUUCGGAUCAGAAGGGCUAGCUUGCUGUCGUUGCUGUCUAUUUGCGGCACGGCGCAGCAGAGACGGCUUCUCAGGACUCAGGGGUAGGUUAGGCUGACUUUAACUACUUUUUUGAUGGGUUCCUGGAUGUAAAUAUCCGAUUUUUUGAAGUGGGGUUUUGUGAAAUGUCAAGAAUUUCUUGGUGGAUAAUUGGAAAUGUUAGUUUUAAGUCGUUCUUGGUGGAUAUUUGAUUUUUGGGUAUGUGGGGUUUUCGAAUUAUAAGUAGUUUUUGAUAGGUAUGUGAAUUUGGAGAGUGUGGGUGGGUGUAUUUUAAGUAAAUCUUGAUUGUAUGUUGAGUUUAAAUUGAGGUUUUGGAGAUGUGCUGUUAGAGAUUCGAAAUUUUCUUACGGGUAUGUGGAUGCCUUACUAUGUUGAAUGUAUCUGAGGUCAUAUGAUAGUGCUAUUGAAAAUUUGAUUUGAUCUCUAAUUUUUCAUUUCAAAAUUUGCUUACUCCUUCUUUCUACCAAAAUUGUUGUGUGGUUUUUUCUGGGUUAUAAAUUGAUCGGUAGUGCCUUCUUUUCAGGAUGGCAAAAACUAUAAUCGAGGCUAUAUUGGGUCUCAGCUUUGAUGAUUCACCCAGCAAUCUGGCUGCUGCAACUAUUUUCUAUGUUUUGACAAGUGAUGUAAGUCAUUUAGUAUUCGAAAAGUGAUCAUUCUAAUUUGAAGUUUUUAUUUUCAUAGGCACCUUUCAUGAAGUUUUCUUGUGUACUGCUCAUGUCUGCUGUGACUCUUCAAGAGUACAUACAAUUAAUUUUAUUUUAUUUUUUAUUUGACUAAUAAACCUAAGGGGAUUGUCAUCUUUCAAUAUUGCAGGGUCAGGAUGAUCAUCUCCUGGAAUCACCGAACUGUAUUAAUUUUUUGAUUAGGUUUUGCAAACCAAUUGUCUCAAACACCACAGAAGAUAAAGUACCAAAAGUUGGACGUAAGCUUCUAGCAUUGCGGAUUGGUGCUGACAUCUCGCAGUGUACGGCAAAAAGAUUGGACUCCAGCUCUGCCGCUAUUUUUUCCAAAGUUCAAGAAAUUCUUGUAGGUUGCAAGGAAUUGAAACCGAGUUGUGCGGAUGAAGGAGAAAUGGAAAAUCCGGAGUUAUGCCCAAAAUGGAUAGCUUUGCUGACUAUGGAGAAAGCUUGCUUAUCUACCAUCUCUCUUGAAGGUCUGAGUCUGUGUUGAAGCCUAUGGUUUUCUGGUUAUGAUACACAUUUUUAUGCAUUAUUUACUCAGGAUCUCAAGCUUUUGGUCUGUACUUUCAGAAACCACUGGUGCAGUAAGGAAGUCGGGGGGCAACUUUAAGGAAAAAUUACGAGAGCUUGGAGGUCUUGAUGCUGUAUUUGAGGUGACCAUGGGUUGCCAUUCCAAUAUGGAGGUGUGAACCUGUAUGUUUGUUUGAUCUCACUGUGCGUUUCAUUAAAUGUUAAAGAAUACCAAGGGACCUUAAUGCUUUAAAUAGUUAUGAGAGAAAUUUACUUCACUAUCCUACUUCAACAAUAAUUUCUUGGUUCACUAUGUAAAUAAUAAAUUUCUAUGAAAAAAUAAUGCAUGAGAUGGUAAAGAACCAAAAUGAUGGUGUGCAGCCUUAGUUGUAUCUAGAUUCACAAGUUUCUUCUGUUCUGUAACCUAUACAUUUCUUCAGUUUAUGAGCAACACUGUAUACAUUGGUAGUUUUAUAGUAACAAAUGGGCAGUUAUCUAUUUGCCUUUGGAUAGCGUUAUCUUCUUUCUUGUUCAUUGUAGUUCCUGAUUUUCUUCUUGGAGUAACAUGAGUGGUUUUGCAUGCUAACAAUAUCACUUCUCAGUCAUUGAUUUGUUUUCUUUCCUUUCCUUAUUAUGUGCACAUCAUACACAUUGAGUUACGAUAACCAAAAUUCCUUGGACAUAAUAUAACUUUUUCAUUUAUAUACUUACUUUUUUCAUUUUAAUCCUGGGGUCCAUGUGGUACUCAAUUGUUAUUGGGGAAAUUGCUUUACUAAGCACCAGUAAUUAAUAUGCAGGGUUGGCUAAAAGAUAGCUCGCAUACUAUUUGGGAAAAUGAAAACGACAUGGUGCGGAGCCUGGUUCUGCUUUUGAAAUGUUUGAAGAUCAUGGAAAAUGCCACAUUCCUAAGUAAAGAGAAUCAGGUAUUUAAAUGUGGUUUAGCCUCCCUCUCUAAUCCUUCCCUCCUCAGUCCGCUGGUCUGCUCUUUCUCUCUCUCUUACACUUUUCUUCUCCUUUUUAGUUUGUAAAACUCAGACUGCAUUAUGAUGUUUGAUUAUUGUUAACUAUUGAAAGGUGUAAUAAAUCUCCACAUCCAUGUUUUCUGAACAGAGCCAUUUGCUAGGAAUGAAAAGGAAGUUGGAUCCCAUGGCAAAUCCUUUGUCUUUUACAGAACUAGUUAUAAGUGCCAUCAAUAUUCUGUCAGGUAACUUAGUUUUUGGAGUAACUUUUGGUUCCUAAUCUUUUUGGCUUUCUGAUAAUUGAUCGCUUUGUUUUCUAGGUCUUUGUCUACAUAAAAGUUCCUCUUCUGCCUCCAAUGACAGAAAGUCUUAUUGUCUAUCUAAUGGGAGUGAACAUUUUUCUGAGAAGAGCUCCAAUAGAUGUCAGAGCAGUCAGUUAAUGUCAACACGUCGCUCAGUAUAUACUAUAUCCAGUUCGGAAACUACCAGCACCUCCAUGACUGAUACUUAUUCAUUGAACACAAGACUCAAUUCUUCUAGAAAUGGUUCUUCCAAUGGUGCAUCAAGACAUGUCAGCGGUGGAACCAGUAAUUUUAGCAAUCUUUCCCUGAAGAAUGCUGGUCUCAGUCAGCGAUCCUAUAACUUUGAAGACUCCAAAAUUGAUCUUUCAGAGGAGAGUCAAGAUCCUUUUGCAUUUAUUGAUGGUUCCAGGAUGGAUGCUGAUCUCAGUCAGAGAUCCUAUAUUUUUGAAGACACCAAAAUUGAUCUUUCACGGGAGCGUCAAGAUCCUUUUGCAUUUGAUGAAGAUGAUUAUAAACCUUCUAAGUGGGACAUGUUAUCUGGCAAGACAAAUAUGUCUCUAUCACAACAGAAUGCGGCAGCAUACAGAGAAAUUGAUGACAUUUGUCAGUUGCAGCAUAUUAUGAGCCAAGAAGCAUCAAGUAAUGGAGAAAACCAUCAGACACAAGAGACAUCCUGUUCAGGUGCUGUUAGCCGAGAAGGUUCCAGUCUUGUAGCUGACUGCCUUCUUACUGCUGUCAAGGUAAUCCUGAACCCCACUAUAUUAAACUUUUUCCAUAUUGCCUUAAACUUUUGUGGUUCUCCAUGUCAACAUCUAUGCAAUUGUGGGUGGGGCGGUGGUGUUACUGGUGUGCACAAUCUAGUUGUUUUUUGGUCCCUUGGUCAAGUGAAGGGUUUAUUUCUAGAUUCAUGUGACUGUUUACUGUUCUCAUCGUCUACUAUCAUCUCUCAACUAUGAUUUGCUCAACUAUGAUUUAUUCAGUUCUUUGAUACUCAUUAGCUGUUUGAUUAAUUUGGUUACUCAUUAAUAGAAUAGUGCCUUUUUGAUUAAUUGAUAUCCCAUUAUGCAUGCACUGUGUUAGAACACAUAAGAAACAGUUGAACUAUGUGAACUCAUAACAGUCUUCUUGGCAGGUUCUGAUGAACUUAGCAAAUGAUAAUCCUGUUGGGUGUCAGCAAAUUGCUGCAUAUGGAGGACUGGAAACCUUGUCUUCUUUGAUUGCCAACCACUUUCCUUGUUUCAACUCAUCAUCAUCUCCCUUCAGCGAGAGAAGUGAGAAUAUUUCCAGCAUUGAACUUGACCAUCCGAAUAAUAGACAUCUUACUGAUCAAGAGCUGGACUUUCUUGUAGCUAUUUUGGGUCUGCUUGUGAACUUGGUGGAGAAAGAUGGCCAAAACAGGUUACCUUGAUUUGUCAGUUUUUCUCCAUCUGUUUAUGCAUUUUCAUUUUAACAACCGACAUCAUAUUUGGGCUCUGUUUAUAGUUCAACCAAGAGAACAAAUUACCACAGUUGGUUCCAAUGAAGUGGUUACGUUGAGAGUGGAAAAAUUUCUUCCACAUUCUAUGUGGAGGUAAUGGCAGGGUUAUGUGGAUGACUGCUCCCAUUAGACAACUUGUGUCUCAAAAAGAUUUAGACAACAAAAGAUGCUAUAAUUAGAACCGUAGUGCUUGUGCUGCAGAUUAACUAGUCUUAGUUUCUAGUUUUUAAUAAAUCAUUCUUGCAUUAGAAUUUUCAUGCUCAUAAUUUAUCAAACUUGCUUUUCAUCCAGAUCACGGCUUGCAGCAGCUAGCGUUCAAGUAGCUAGUUCGGAAGGGUUUGGAGAGGAGAGUCGCAAGGAUCUAAUUCUGCUAAUUUGCUCUAUCUUUCUUGCGAACCAAGGUGCAGGCGAGGGAGGUGGAGAAGAAAUGGUUUUGCCAGUGAGUGACAUGUUCUCAUUGACUGGAAAAUGCGGUUUGUUGUUUAAGUUGUGAUGUCUUAAAAACACAAGGGCCUGCCUUCUGAUGUCUAGCCAAACAAAAACGAGAAAUUGAAAAUUUAUUUUCCAUAAAUUGGUCUUGUUCUGGUUAAUUGUUUUCAUCUUGUAUCUGAUCCUUGUCGAUGUCUUCUAACUUUGAUUUUGUUGUAUCGGUACAGACGGAUGAGGCAGCUGUCUUACAAGGAGAACAGGAAGCGGAGAAAAUGAUAAUAGAAGCUUAUUCUGCCCUGCUUCUAGCAUUUCUUUCAACCGAAAGGUUUGGCGUGUUUUCUCUCCUUCCUGUGUAUAAAGCAUUAUCGUCGUGCAUAUUCUCAUGCAAAAUUUGUUUGCCGUCCUCAGUAAGAGCAUACGCGAUGCAAUUUCUGACUGUCUUCCAGACCGCAACCUGGCUAUUCUAGUACCUGUGUUGGACAGAUUCGUGGUAUGCGUCUUAACUUCUAAACCGUGAUAUACUUCAGAGCUCGUUGUUAUCAACUGACGGAAAGUUAUAUUGCUCUCAUGUGAUUAUAUGUAUCUUUUAUUUCUUCCUCAGGCCUUUCAUUUGACGCUUAACAUGAUAUCGCCGGAGACUCAUAAAGCUGUGAGUGAAGUAAUCGAAUCAUGUAGGAUACGGUGAGAGCUUCGGAGAUGGACGAGAAUCCUGUACAGAUUUGGGUUUCCUUUUAGAAAAAAAAUUGUUGUUUACCCGACUCCGCGACUCUCGACGGGUCGGGAUUCAGCUGCUCGCCGUAUGCAACUGACUGCAGGCCUGGUUGCUCUGUAUUUUUUUAGGUUUCUUUUUUCCUUCCCUCCCCUCGCGCUAUUCUUUUGUAUCUUUGUUUUUUGUUUUCCCACCAUUUUUGAGCAGGUCAGAGACCAUACUUUGUAUACCAAGAAUUAUAGCUUAAUGGAAAUGUCUUGCUUUCCUUGUAAUUAACAUUUCUUCUUGUCCUUCUAUUAUUUUCUGUUUUUGUCGUAAUAUAAGAGUUAUGUUCGCUUAAGAGUUAUGUUCAAGAAAAUUGUGAUCAAUCAGCGUUCUACGUCACUUAGUAUACAUCAUUAUUUUUUUUUAUUCAAUAGAAAAAGAAUGAAAGAGUUUGCUAUUUUUUGUUUUAUCACCGGAAUAGCAGAUUUGUUCUACUGAAAAGAGAUUUUUCUUUAGAAAGAAACAUAUAAGAUAUUGAUUUUGAAUACCGUCACCUUACUAGAUAGAGCCGAUAACUAUGUGUGUAUAAUGAUAAAAAAAAAACUAAAACUAAAAAAACACUACUUUUUUUUUAAUAUAUAUAUAAAAAAAGUCGGUUUAAAUAGAUGGAGAAAAAGUAGGAGAGAGAUUUGAUUGUUUUAGUUGUUAUAAUUACCAUAUCAUCCUUCAUUUUUAUGUUUUAUUAUUUUAACUUACUAAGAUUAAAAAGGGCGAAAAGGAAAUUUCACCCUCUUUAGUAUUAGAUUAAUUCCCAAACGCUAAUGUCGUUUCCAUGAGGUUAGUAUGGGGUUACAAGAUCCCCGGUGCUUUUGCACAAGGGACAGCUAGCCCAUGACGUCACAUUGUCAUAGUGUGGUUUGGGUCUCCGAGUUGACUCAGCGAGUUUAUAUAUCUAUACAUACACGCAUCUUUUAGGGUUUAUAGCUUUCCUAUAAAAAGGCAGGAUUUCUCGAAUUCUGCAAGAGAAAAAUUAUGGAAUAUUUUGGAUGCGGUCUCUAAUCCUUAACAUUCUUUGAUUAAAAUCUUAAUAGUAUUCAAAGUUUGAUCAAGGUCCUUUGACUUUGUACUCCUCAUUAUAUUACUAUUAAUAUUUAUAGUUUUGACAUUAAUUGUUUGAUAUUUUAUGAGAUUUAUAAUCCUAUAAAUUUAAAAUCCAUCAUUAUAAUACUAUUAGAAACGGUUACAAUAAAAAAAUUCAAACAUUUUAACAUUUUGAUUGAAUAAAUGGAUAAAAACUAUGCAAAAAUAAGAAAUAAUAAAUGGCAAAAGAAUGUAUCCAUAGUGUUAAAAAAAAUUGGUACAUUUUACAAAACAAUCGGUACAUUUCACAUAUAACAAAGUGGUACAUUAAUAAAUAAAAUUGGGUACAUUAGAAAUAAAUUAGGGUAUAGAUAAAAUAUUAAAAAUUAUGAAUACAAAUGAAUUUUUAAAAAUAUAGGCGCUAAAAGAAAUUAAUACAUGGGUACAAAAUAAAACUAAAAAGAAAAUACUAUAAAUUAAAAAAAUGUUGCAAAUUAAAAGUGGGUACAAACUAAAAAUAUAAAUAUAUGAUACAAAGUUUAGGCAUAAAACAUAAUUAUAUCAUAUGUAAUUUUUCUAUCAUUGAUUAAAUAUACAAUGUCACGUGAGGGUAUAUACAUGGGUACAAACACAAAUAAAACUUUAAAAAAUAUGGGCACAAAAAGAAACUAAUAUAUGAGUACAAAUUAAAAAAAAUAUUUGCAAAUUAAAAAUAGGUACAAACUAAAAAUAAAAAUAUAUGAUAAAAAAUUUAGCCAUAAAUAUAAAUAUACUAAUUGUAACAUUUUUAACAUUAAAGGAAUAUAUUUAAAAAUAAAAAUAUUUUAUUAUUCAAAUAAUUAAUGAUGUUAUUAAUACCCAAGGACCUUGAUCAAAAAUUGAAAAUGAAUAGGAUUUUAAUCAAUGGAGUAACAAAAACAAGGAUGCGAACCUAAUUUACCCGAAAAAUUAUCUUCACAGUUCGACGAAUUGGAGCUCCAAAAAUUGAUAUUGAUUGGUAGGUCAAAAUACAAAACCUUAAAUUCAGAUCUUUUCUAAUUCUAUUUUUUUCAUCAAUUUAAGUCAUAUUUAAUCAUUUGUUUACUGAAUACCUAAAUAAAUAUGAUAUGAAGGCUGUAUUUCAUUAACUGCCUUUCUUCCCUUACAAUGUACCAUUUAUGCUAAUGUACAACUCUAACUGUCAUCACAAGAUGAAGCCGUGGGGUAAAAUAUCUUUCAAGGACUCUUCCAACGUCAAGCCCUUUUUGCGAGGGAUAGAACGGGGAUAUGAAAUAUUCCACUCAACUUCGGCUAAAAUAUCUUUCAAGGCCUCUUUGUAAGGGAUAGAACGGGAAUCUGUAACUUGCCAAAAAUCCCUGUCGGCAAUCAUAGCUUUGUCGCAUAGUAAACGUACCCCUAUUUUCUUCACCUCAGUAGAUUUACGAAUUGCAAUAACAUGGACCAAAUCGCCUUCUUCCAAAUUGAACUCAGUUUCCGGAAACGGAAAAUUUCCCAGCCAAAUGUUAUCUCUGUUCUCAACAUCCAACAUAACGUUAACAAAACUAGUACGCUUGGUGUGAUUAAUAACAUAAAUAUAGAACUGAAAAGAAGAACCACGAGGCCUGUCUUUAUCAAAAGGACAAGAAGCCAGGCACACAGCCAACGCUUUUGCAUUACAACCAAUUUCCUUAGGCACUUCAAAACGGACUUGGGUACUCUCGUUGACAUGAUUGAACCAAGUGGGAAUUUGUCUUCCUACAGGCUUCAUCAUUGCACAUUCUGUCCAUCCCUAUACCAUUUUGAACAAGUUUUUGUGAGUAAUGCAUACAUAACACACAUUUGCGAGGGAGGAGAGGGGGGUGGUGUGGAAGAGAGAGAGUACCUGUAGCGUGCUAUCCUUAAGAAUGAAAUCUAUGACAUUGUUGUGUGUUGACAUACGAAGUCUGAGGCCCGAGUUUAACGCGCUAUACAAGCCUGGAAAUUCAACGAGUUUCGGGGAACUGAGAUACACAUCUGGCGACAUGCCUGAUAAAUCUGGCAUUCUUUCAAAUGCAGAGCAGUCGUCCAUGCAUAGCAAAAACAAACUUUUUGGUAAAUCUGUGAUCUCGACAAGGUUUAUGCAACCAUUUAACAAUAGAUCUUGAAGCUUAGAGAGGCCCCUGAGGCUUGGAAGGCUCCGAAAAUUAUUGUUACUUAGAGAUAAGAGCUGUAAACAAGGUAGACUACUCCCAAAAUCAUUAGGCACUUCCUCUAAUUUGCUGUCCGCCAAAUUUAAUUCUGUUAAAGAGCGUAAGCCUCGUAAGGAAGGUAGCUGCAAAGAACACUUCAAGUUCCUCAAAGAUAAGUACAUAAGCGUCUCCAGUCGUCCGAUGGAAGGUGGUACUUUUUCUAUGGCCGUCCCAUCUGCAGAAAGAUUGACCAAUGAUGUCAUAUUUCCCAAGUUAUCAGGCAAGCUUCGCAAUCUUGAACAACCAUCGAGAACAAGAGUUAUGACAGAUUUCAACUUGUCCAAACUCCCCGGGAGAGCCUCAAGCGUUUCACAGUCUUUCAAAUUCACCAACACAAGACUCUUGAGAUCUCCGAUGGACUCGUGAACUUUAGCCAACCUCUUACAGUCUUUGAGUAUCAAUUUCUCAAGAUUUGGGAGUUUUGAAAAGUCUGGCGAUUGUGUUAGAUCGUGGGAGUGGCUGAGAUUUAGAAUCUUCAACUUAUCAAGCAACUGUUAAGAAAAAUAAAAUUGAAAUAAAAAAUUAAAAUCCAAAAAGAAGAUACAGAGAGCAUAAAAAUAAUUCCUAAUUUGGUUCAGGUACGUACCCCAGAAUCCUGACAAAGAACUUGUUUGAGGCUGCUGUACCGCAUGUCGAUAGCGACUAUGUUUGGUUGACACAGUUCUAUUGGUAUGAACUCCAAUGGGAAUCCAUGCCAGCACAGCCAUCUUAAUUUUUUGAAAAGACAUUGGUAUUCCCCAACGAGCCGUACGUAGUUUAGUUGAAGCAAUCUCAGUCUCUUCAUAUUUCUAAGCGCCUCAGUACUGAAACUAGUCUCUUCAAGACUCGGCAAAUUCAAAGCCAGACCUUCAAUUUUUUCAGUUCCCUGCUAUCCCAAAAAACAGACUCCAAAUAAGAGAAGGCUUUGCAUGAAAAAAAGUUAGAUUACUAACUUAUAUAUGCUUACACGUUUACAUAAAGUUCGAUUGGGAAAGUACUUACAGCUUUGUCUAUUAAUACAUCAUUUACAUCUUCAGGAUUCCACAAUCUACUCCGUUCUCCUGGGAAAUCGGGAUUUUCUGCAUGCACGAUAUCUCUGCCCAUGUCCCGAAGCAAAUCAUGCAUCAUAAUCUUGUUUUUUAUACCAAUAGUGAUAAGGCACCGGUCAAGGAGGACCUUGAUUCCUGUUGUUGCAUAGAAGCCACAACCAUCCAAGAUUGGUAUGACAUAGUUCUUGUCCAUUCCGAUAAAAAAACAAGCUAUAUCGAGGAAUAUACCCCUCUCGUAAUCAUCAUUUAGCCCGUCGUAGCUUAUUUUCAACUGUGCCUGAAUUUCUCCAGGAGGAAUCAUUUUCAAUUUACCCAAUUGACUUUUCCAUUCUGCUACACUUCCUUCGAAAAGACUAGAUCCUAAAACUUCAAGAGCCAGCGGCAGUCCUCCACAGUAGUUGACAACUUCUUCUGCGAGCGCAAGAUAUUGACUAGGACAACAACUACUUCUGAAAGCAUGCCUACUUAGGAGCUCAAGAGCAUCUUUUGGGUCCAUUCCUUUCGCCCAAUAUAUCUUAUCAACUGCAAAUUCUUUUAGCACAUGUUCGUUUCUUGUUGUGAUGAUAAUUCUGCUCCCCGGGCCAAAAGAGUGGCGAUUUCUAGCUAAUUCGUGUAGCUGCUUCACAUUGUCUACAUCAUCAAAUAUGACAAGUACCUUUAAGCGUCGAAAUCUUUUCCCUACCAAGUUGGUCCCUGCAGCAACACUGCUUACCUUUAUCUUGGUUUGCAAGAUAUUUGAAAGAAGUUGUCUUUGCAAUUCUUCUAGUUUCUUUUCCCUCACUUUUUCAAGGAAACUUUUACCUUGAAACCUGUCAGAAAAUCGAUUAUAAAAGGCUUUAGCAAGCGUUGUUUUACCUAUUCCACCGAUGCCCAAAAUUCCAAUCACCCGAACAUCAUCUGAAUCUCCAAUGCAUAAAUAUUUACUGAUAUCUUGCACUCGAGAAUGUAUUCCGACUGGGUAGGUAGCUACGUCUAAGUAUGUGUUGUUCAGCUUCCUAGUGACUUCCUCAGUAAUCAUCCUGAUAAACUUUGCUUCAUGCCUGGCAUUAGUCAAGCAGAGAAGCAAAACGAAGAUUGUUAUACAACUACAAGACGAAAUUGAACUAAUACACAAAAUUACUUAUCAUGACUAGAGAUUUUAUUUAAGACAAAUUUCUUUGAGGUGUUGCGUUUAAACUUAGCAAACAUCAAUUAAAAAUUCAAACUAGAAACAUAAACAAACAAAAUCAGCAUCCCCUGCUGUGAUUAGUGUAAGCUUAACAGUUGAAGCUUUAUUGUAUGAUUUUAUUAAACGAGGUCUAAGAAAUUGCUUGCUUCCAAAUUAAUGAGCAAAGGUACGUUAAAGCCUAAAUUCAUAAGAGAAGAAAUUAGUAAGUACCCGUCAAAAGUGUUUUGGAGAUCCCCGCCAGACAAAUUCGAAGCUUCAAAAAGAGCAGUUCUCCACCUCUCUACCUUCUUUUCAUCUAUAUGGUCGAGAAACGAUUGUCCAAAACUGCCAGUCUGUUUCCUGACAUGCGAAGGAUCAACGUCAUAGAAUAUCGGCAAAACUAAUUGCCCCCGAUUUCUUCUACACUCCAUGAUCUUAACCAGCUCCUCGAGGCACCAGCUGGAGUUCGCAUACCGUCUAGAGAAGACGAUGAUAGAGAUCUUAGAACCUUGGAUUGCCCGCUCAAAUGCGGUUGUUAAUUCUUCUCCCUUUUUCAGUUCUUCGUCGUCAAUAAAAGCAUUGAUUCCAGCCUUUGUUAAUGCUUCAUAGAGGUGGCCCGUGAAGUUUUUACGUGUGUCUCCGCCUCUGAAGCUUAUGAACACAUCGUAGAGCGAACCUUUUGAGAAGGAGGACGAGGACAAGGAGGCGGAGAAGGACGAUGAGGAUGAGGAUGAGGGCAAGGAUGUGGAGGAGGUAGAGGAGGAAGAUGAGGAUGAGGAUGAGGGCGAGGAUGCGGAGGAGGACGAUGAGGAUGAGGGCAAGGAGGAGGAGGAUGACGAGGCUUUAUCGGGGACUGAGACAUUCAUUUGGCGAAAGACGAGGCCGAGGGAGCAGAGGAGGAAGAUGAGGACAUCAAAGACAAGACCGGAAUUGCGAGCCGCAAAGUGGUAGGACACUAACACCAGCACCGGAGUUAACAGCUUCCCUAAGCUCGACCAGGGAUCCAUUUCCUUCAUUUUCUUUAGGCAAAUUGAAGGUUUUUGGCGAUAUUGAUUUUCCCAUUUCCCUCAGCCUUUCCCUUUUUCCUUUACUUUUUUCUUCAUUUUUGGCGAGUUUCCUUCGCUUCUGGUCAAUAAUGCGCGUCAAUCAUGUGCGUUUUCAUACAGUACAUGCGUCCAUGUUUUUUUUUUCCUUUUUCUUGGUAGUUGUGCCGAGUGAAAGGCAGAUUUUAUACUAUAUAUUAUUUUCAAUUCUUGAUAUACUUUUAUUAUUAUUUUGAUGAGAUUUAGAUGUUUUGUUAUGUAUUUUUAAUGUAAGACAAUUAUGCACGUUAAUUAUGUGCGUUUUCGUACCUUUUUAAAGGAGUAGGAUUAUCUGGUCUCUUUUUGUCUCUCUACUUCUCUCUCUUUCUAUUUAAACGGUCACGGUUAAAUCUCGUUAACAUCUUAUAUUAAUUUUUUAUAAAAAAAGAUAAGAUAAAAAAUAUGAGAUGAUGGAAUGGAAAGAAGAAAUGAGAGAAUUCUAAUCUAUUUUUACAGUUUACAUGCGUCCGUGAUUUUUUUUUCCUUUUUCUUGGUUGUUGUGCCGAGACUGCCCUCCAGCUGGAAAUAAGGAGGAGACAGAGAAAUAAGAACUGCCACUAGGUUGGUGAAACAGUGUCAAGCAUUUUCGUUGGACGGAGGACUAUGCAUGUCGGGUUGGAUCGCCAAAUGGAAGGGCAAAAUUUAUAACCAAGCGGACAAUUUUUUUUUUCAACAAAUAAUAUUAUCGGGAAAAUCUCAUAAUAAGCUAAUAAUAAUAUGAUUCAAACUUUUAUUCUUACUUUUUGUUCUAAAUACUUAUUACAAUCAUGAAAAAUAAAAUAGUAGUUUAAAUUUGACAUCAGAGAAAGUGCUACGAACAGACAAAAAAACACAAUCAGAGAAAUUGCUACGAACAAACAAAAAAACACAAUCAGAGAAACUGCAACGAACAAACAAAAAAACACAAUUAGAAGGUGGUUUAAAUUUGGCGCAAUUGAUUGAAGACUUUGACUUGUGGUUCUACACCCUAAAUUCUACAAGGCGCCCUUUUUUUCCACUAUAACACCAAAUUGAAGACUUUGACUUGUGGUUCUACACCCUAAAUUCUAGAAGGCGCCCUUUAUUUCCACUAUAACGCCAAAUUCUACGCGGUAAGUUGACUUGUGGUUCUACACCCUAAAUUCUACGAGGCGUCCUUCUUUUUUCCACUUUAACGUUCACACAAUACACAAUGAUAAGAGAUUUUUCAAUUUAUCAGAACAUAGUCUGGGACACCGUACACCACUUAUAAAACAGUUUCAAGAGGGCUAGUUUGAAAAUAUCCUAUUGCAAAAUUUGAUUUAGAUGAAAACCAGCAACAGUGCCUGCGCGUGUUGUUGCGGGUGUCUAAAAUAUUUUGAUAAUAUGUACAUAGAAAACAUAAUUUAUUGAAGCUAGAUUUCUAUACUUAAGAUAGAGGUUGGCAGUGUUCAUAAUUAUCAAAAGAUUGGGAGUGUCCAAUUGCUCACUGUUCAAAAGAUAGAGAUGCUAUAAAAACUAAAUUCAUGUACAUAAGUUCAUAGUAUCAUGUACUCACAAUAAUCAUAGUAUCAAAAUAUUGGCAGUCUUCAACCACUCAUCGUUCAAAUACGAAAAUAUACAUAUAUCCAUAUCAAAAGGUUGGCAUCGCACAUCUGGUUUGUGUUUAUGAUUUUUCCUGUUCAAUCUCUGGUCUUGCUUGUUUGGGAAUGACCAUCCUUUUUCUUGGCCACCAUGUUGUUGAAUUGGUGCCUAUUCUUUUUUGCUUUGCCCAAGAUUUUGCUAUUGCUAUACAUUACGAAUUGGAAUCAGUAAGAAUUCAAUAUAAAAAAGUAAAUUUGUCAAUCUAUUUAACUUAGUGCGAACUUCAUCAAACAACCAACAAGUAUAAUCCAGCAAGGUUAUUUUCAUUUUCUUUUUUUAAUCAAAAUGAAUUCUAUUGUUCCCAUAUAUUUGCAAAUCCCUUUAAAUUAUCCAAAAACACAAAAGAAAUAUAUCUUGAUCCAUACCAAUUAAUGAUUUCCCAUUUACUUUAGUCAAAUGUCAGAGCCAAUGAAGGAACUGAUGAAGGAGCUAAAAAAGAGAGACAAAAAAAAAUCUCUAUUAUUCAAUUAUAUAGAGAAUUACUUGAUUGUACAAAAGGUUUGAAAAUUACUGUAAAAAUAAAAUUUCAAAAAAAAAAAAAAAAGAUGAGAUGAGAUGGAGUAGAAAUCACAUAACAGCAUUAGACUUAAAUUUGUAGUGCUUAUAUGAGAGAGUAGUGAUAGUGCUGAUGAGAAUGUAGGGAGAGAAACAAAAUGCAAAUCGUAAGAGUGAGAGAAAAACCGCUUGAGGGACACUGCAAAUUGAUCGAUGAGAUUUGAGAAACCACUAUUUUAUUUCUUGGUGGAUAAUUGGAAAUGUUAGUUUUAAGUCGUUCUUGGUGGAUGUUUGAUUUUUGGGUGUGUGGAGUUUUCGAAUUAUAAUUAGUUUUUUAUAGGUAUGUGAUUUGAGAAACCUUUAAUAUUUAUUUUCUCAUUCUUAUUUAUUUAAGGGCAAAUUUGAAAGUUUAGUCAAGAAAAUUUGUUAGUUGGGUGUAGAGAUAUAAAGGAUGGGUUCAAAUAAAAUUUCUCUAAAAUAAAUAAUGUGAAAGGAGAUGAUCAAAAAAGAAGUGAGAGAAUCAUAGUCUAUUUUUUACAGUUUACAUGCGUCCGUGACUUUUUUUGCCUUUUUCUUGGUUGUUGUGCCGAGACUGCCCUCCAGCUGGAAAUAAGGAGGAGACAGAUAAAUAAGAACUGCCACUAGGUUGGUGAAACAGUGUCGAGCAUUUUCAUUGGACGGAGGACUAUGCAUGUUGGGUUGGAUCGCCAAAUGGCUGGAAAAUUUUUAUAACCAAGCGGACAUAUUUUUGUUCUUUUCCUCUGAUGUUCAACUGCAAGUAGAAAUUCUGUUAGUUUAAAGGAUUUAAGGAUUAAGUGCAUUUUUUCAAAGAGGAUUAGCUUGGACGGAAUAACUAAGCAUCUGUAAAGGAGGAGUUCAAAUGUCAACAUCAGCAAUAACAAGAAAAAAAUACGGUAUUAGUGUUAGCAACUUCAAAUUUUUUUUUUUACAAUCAAUAUUAUGCCUUACAAUAAGCUAACAAUAAUAUAGUUCAAACUUUUAUUCUUACUUUUUGUUCUAAAUACUUAUUACAAUCAUGAAAAAUAAAUAAUGUAAUAAACAGUGGUUUAAAUUUGACAUAUCAAACAGAGAAUAAAAUUUUAAAAAAAAAUUAAAGUGUUACACUAACUUUCAAAUUUAAAUUUUAUAUUUGAAAUUUGAAAUCUACUUUGGAAAUGAACAAAUCGGUUGUUUUUUAUUAUAGAUUUCUUUAUAGAUAAUGUUGGUGGUCUUAGAAAAUUUUAUUAACAUGAAAAAAAAUAGUAUACUUAAUCUAUGGACAUAAACCUUUAACCCUUAAUUUGGUCCAAGAUAUUAUUAGAGAAUUCCCACUUGGUUUGGUCCCGUAUAAUUUUGUUUUCCCUGCUAGCAAUAUUUUGAAUUCCAACUAUCUAUAGUUUUGUUGGAAUAAUUUCACAAGUCAUAAUCUAAUCUAUUCUAUUAAGAGAAGAGGGCUUAUCAACUUUUUGCUCAUUUUUCUUCUAAUUUUGUCCUCACUUUUGAUAUAUAAUGUUUACAACAAGGAAGGCAAAAUAGUAAUUUUGUAUCUUUUGACAAAAUAACAAUCAUAUGCCUAUUUUACCUUUUUUCUAGAAAAUGACAAUCAUAUACUUAUGUUUUCAAUUUUACCCUCACUUUUUAUACACAAUAUUUACAUAAGAAUGACAAAAUAGGAAAAAAGGGGAAAAAAAGUUGACAAGGAGGCUUCUCUUAAUAACAUUUUUGAUACAUAAGGAGGACAAGCCAUCAUUUUUUCAUACAGGUAAGUUAAAUAAUUAUGUUUUUCGGAUAAUUUGAAUGAACUGAAGCGGUUGCGCUUGAGAAGAAUGUAAGAGGAGGUGUGUGGUUGUUCACACACACAAAGUGUGUACUCUAUGUAGUACAAAAUUAAGAAUACCAACUAUGCUUUUGUUUUAAUUUUUUUGGCUAAAAAAAAUCAAAAAAUCAAAAUCAAAGAAAAUGAUAGGAAAGAGCAACAACUUGCAUAUGUAUAGUUUAUAAGGAAAACUAAUGAAAAUAGCUUGAAAAUUUUGAGUUUUAACAAUAAAGACAAAAUAAAGGGUAAAGUAAAUAAUAUCAGGAUUGACUUUUUAGUGUAAAAAUAUGGUUUUUCGUUAAAAUUAACAAUACUGAAAACUUUUCGUUAAAUUUCCCUAUUUUAUAUGCUUUUAAUUAUUUUUAUGAGUUUGUGUUUGUACCAAGACAACUAUGUAUUUUAGGAAAACUAAUGAAAAUGAUUUGAAAAGCUUGAGUUUUAACGAUAAAGACAAAAUAAAGGGUAAAAUUAAUAGUAUCAGGAUUAACUUUUUAGUGUAAAAAUUGUGGUUUUUCGUUAAAGUGUACAGUACCGAGAGCUUUUCGUUAAAGUUCCCUAGUUUAUAUGCUUUUAAUUAUUUUUAUGAGUUCAUGUUUAUACCAAGACAACUGUCAAUUUAAGAUUUAGUAUUGAAUGGCUCCAUAGUAAAUAUCACAACUUUCCGAAUAUCCAGCAUCAGGUGGGUCUGAAGAAUUGCAUAGCUUGGGGGUAUCAUCUUGAGGACCCAUAUCAUCUGGAUCAGACCAAGGCCGAUGCCCACCGUACAUAUGGCGCAUAUGCCACACUUCGGCUGGAGGGUGGAGUUUUAACACUCAAAGUAACAGACCACUAGCAUCUGCACCUAUAGGCCAAGGCAUAUUCUAUAUAGCCCAUCGAAAAAAGUGAAAUCAAGUUGUAACUAUGAGAUUUCAGGUUGUGAUUGACAUUAACAAAUUAAGUAAAACGAAUGUGUAGAAUUUUAAGCAACCACUUAACAAGAAAGUUAAUCCUUUGAUUGAAUAAAGUUACAACCAUUGAGUUUAGCAUCAUUAUUAACAAGGAAGAAAAUAAACCAUGCAACUCCAUCAUCAUUCAUGAGUGGUAUUUAGGAAAUACAACUAUACUUGCAUAUGAGGGUCCUAAUUGUCAUGAAAAAAUUAGCAUGUACAUGAAAAUCUAUAUGCAUCUUGAAAAAAAAUAUAUUCUCACUCAUAUAUCCGUUUCAAAUUUAUAUAGACAAUAAUUAAAAGGCUUAAUUACUGGUGCACCUUUGAAAGUGGGAAAAAAAAUCUCACUUUGCCUCUUGAAACUUAUUUUGAUCAAAUUUACUUACUUUUUAAAAUAUGUAAACGUAUCUCAUUCUAUUGUAUACCGUUAGCUUCAUUAAAUUUUUCUUCAAUGUCACUCACGUUAACGUGUCAUCCAUGUGUCAAAAGAUAGAGUACCUUUUUGUCUCUUCCCGUUCUCCAACUUAAUACAAGUUAGUUAUUCUCCUUCACUUCUUUAGCUCAUUUCACUCUCCCCCUCUCUCUCUCACUGAUUUCUAUCUCUUGGUCUUAUUGACUUUUGGCUAAAUAAUGUUAAAAAAAUAUGAGUUUUCACCUUUUUUAUAAUUUGUGAUUCUCUUUUCCAUGUGUAGGUGAGAGAGUAAUGUUUAACUCAAAAUUUACCCUCAUUUUUAAUACACAAAAUGGUUGGACACUAACACCUCCACCGAAGUUAACAGCUUCCCUAAGCUCGACCAGGUAUCCAUUUCCUUCAUUUUCUUUAGGCAAAUUGAAGGUUUUUGGCGUUCUCCGAAAAAAAAAAAAAAAUUGAAGGUUUUUGGCGAUAUUUAUUUUCCUUUUUUCCUGCCGGAACUACUUUCUUCUUCUGAUAAUUAAUAAACCUGUCAACUCUAUGCCAAUAAUGCAGUUAGGAUUGCACAUGGGCGACCGACAACUCAUCAGGACCCCAUUUCCCUCAGCCUUUUCCUUUUAUCUUUACAUUUUUCUUCAUUUUUGGCAAGUUUCCUUUAAUUUUGGUCAAUCAUGCGCGUCAAUCAUGUGCAUUUUCCGACCUUUUUUACACUGUAGGAUUAUCUCUCCUCUUUGUUUCUCUAUUCUUUUUUUUCCUGUUAUUUGAACGGUCACGGUUAAACAACGUUAACAUUUUAUAUUAAUUUUUUAUAGAAAAAGAAAGACAAAAUAAAGAAUAUGAGAGAUGAGAAUGAAAAGAUGAAGGAAGAUAAUCCUAAUUUUUUUUACAGUUUACAUGCGUCCAUGAUUUUUUUUUCCUUUUUCUUGGUUGUUGUGCCGAGACUGCUCUUCAGUUGGAAAUGGACAAGGAUUGCCUGUCUUCCCACUUCCUGUGCCAUUCUGUUUUAUGUGGUUACGGUUAAGCCACGUUAAUAUUUUAUAUUUUUUUUUAUAGAGAUAAAAAAAAGGUCGUACUCAGUGCACAAGGCUCCUGCUUUACGCAGGGUCUGAGAGAGGUGAAUGUCGGCGAGCUUUACCCCCAUUUAUGGAGAGGCUGCUCUCAAGUCUCGAACCCGAGACCUACCGUUCAUGGGCGAAGGCAUUUGCCAUCGCACCAAGUGCGACCUGUUUUUUUUUAUAGAGAUAAUAAGAUAAAAAUAAAUAGUAAUAUAAAAUAUUAACGUGAUUUAACCGUGACCAAACAAACAGAAGGGUACGAAAGGGCAGACAAUCCUUGCUGGACAUAAGGAGGAGACAGAUAAAUAAGAACUGCCGAUAGGUUGGUGAAACAGUGUCAAGCAUUUUCAUUGGACGGAGGACUAAUGCAUGUCAGGUUGGACCGCCAAAUGGCUGGGAAAAAUUUAUAACCAAGCGGACAUUUUCUUUUCUCUGAUGUUCAACUGCAAGUAGAAAUUCUGUUAGUUUAAAAAGAUUUAAGGAUUAAGUGCAUUUUUUUAAAGAGGAUUAGCUUGGAAGGUAUAACUAAUCAUCUUUAAAAGAGGAGUUAAAAUGUCCACAUCAGCAAUAACAGUAAAAAAAUUACGCAUUAGUGUCAACAACUUCAUUUUUUUUUUCUUCAACAAACGAUAUUAUCAGAAAUGUCUCACAAUGAGCUAACAAUAAUGUGGUUCAUGUUUAAACUUUUAUUCUUACUUUUUGUUCUAAAUAUUUACUACAAUCAUGAAAAAUAAAUAAUGUAAUAAAUAGUGGUUUAAAUUUAACACAUUGGGUGGAGAAUAAAAUUAAAAAAAAAAAAAUCAAAGUGUCACAAAAGCUUUCAAAUUUAAAAUUUAUGUUUGAAAUUUGAAAUCUACUUUGGAAAUGAACAAUUCAGUUGUUUUUAUUUUAUUUAAUUUUUUUUAUGGAUUUCUUUAUAGAUAAUGUUGGUGGUAUUAGAAAAUUUUAUUAACAUGAAAAAAAAUUAUACUUAAUCUAUAGACAAAAACCUUAACCCUUAAUUUGGUCCAAGAUAUUAUUAGAGCAUUCCCACUUGGUUUGGUCCCGUAUAAUUUCAUUUUCCCUGCUAGCAAUAUGAGUGCAACUUGGGUUGGGCCAACCUGAACUCGUCCAUGUUCAACCCGACUUUAAACCUAAACAAGCGGGUUUUUUUUUAUAGUUAUAACCCUCCCGAACCCAACCUGAUUUCAACCUGUUCAUUGAUUGGGUUGAGUUGAGUUGAUCAUUUGCCCAACCCAACUCAACCCGACCCAACCCAAUUAAACAAACCCGAAUAUGACCUAUAUCAAUUAAUACUCAUAUUACACCUAAAUGGGCCAAGUCCAAAAACCCACAUCCUUUCUAAUAUAUUUUUUAAAUAAAUUACCCCUCUAAACCCUAAAGCUAUAUAUUAAAUUGUUAGUCUCCAAUUUCAUUAUGUGGCUCUGCAACUCAGUCUACCUCUUUCCUCUUAUUAAGAAGUCAAAAACUAAGUCUCAAGGCUACAGGUCUCCAUCUCUAUCUGAAAGCCCAAGAAAAUUUGCAACUGCCCCUCUCUUUUUGGACAAUGAAGUAUUCCUCUCUAUAUGAAAGCCCAAGAAAAUUUGGACAAUGAAGUGUUCUUCUCUUUUUUUUUUUAUUCUUUUCUUUUGGUACUAGCUUUAGUAUUUCUUGUAUUUUAAUUCAAACUUUGCAUGGUUGAAACAUUUAUAUUUAGUUAUUAACUUUAUAACGGAUACAAUUUGCGGAAUUGAAUUUUAAUUUUGAAAAAGUUGGGCCAACCCAAACCCAACCCAAGUAAACCCGAAUCCAAUUAUACCUGGGCCCGAAUGAACUCGAUUAAAACCCAACUCGAACCCGAACCCGAUUUGUAAAAAGUUGGGUUAGAAUUAGGUUGACCUUUCAACCCACCCAAUCCGCCCAAGUUGCACCCCUAGCUAGCAAGGUUGUGAAUUCCAACUAUCUUUAGUUUUGUUGGAAUAAUUUCACAAGUCAUAAUACAUAAUUAAGAAUAGCAACUGUGCUUUUGUUUUUUUUUUGUUUUUGGCUAAAAAAAUCAAAAAAAAAAAAAUCAAAGAAAGUGAUAGGAAAGAGCAACAACUUGCAUAUGUAUAGUUUAUAUGCUUUUGCUUAUUUUUAUGAGUUCAUGUUUGUACCAAGACAACUACCAAUUUAAGAUUUAGAGGGUGUAUUCAUUUGGGAAUUUGAUAUAUUGUAAUAGAUUUAUAAAUCUACGGAUUUUUAUAGAGUUUAACUAAUUUGUAGAGAUUUCAUAUAAAAUUUUGAUAAACUAUCUUAAAAUCUUGAUUGAAUACACAUUGAAUUUCAGAGAAUCACUUAAAAUCUUGAUUGAAUACACCUUGAUUCAUUAAAAGAAUAAAAAUCCCUAAAAAUCCCAAUUGAAUACAGCCCCCUUAGUAUUGAAUGGCUCCAUAAUAAACAGCACAACUUUUCGAAGAUCCAAAAUCAGGUGGCUCUGAAGAAUUGCAUAGCUUGGGGGUAUCAUCUUGGGGACCCAUAUCAUCUGGAUUAGACCAAGCCCGACACCCAUCGUACAUAUGGCACCUAUGCCACUUUUUGGCUAGAGGGUGGAGUUCUAACAUUCGGAGUAACAGACCCCCAACAUCUGCACCUAUAGGCCGGGGCAUAUUCUGUAUAGCCAUCGAAAAAAAGAGAUUGUAACUAUGAGAUUUCAGGUUGUGAUUGACACGAAUUUUAAACAACCAGUUAACAAGAAAGUUAAUCCUCAUACUGAAUAAAGUUGCAAGCAUUGAGUUUAGCAGCAUUAUUAACAAGGAAGAGCAGAAACCAUGCAACUCCAUCAUCAUGCAUGAGUGGUAUUUUUGGAAAUACAACUAUACCUGCAUAUGAGGAUCAUAAUUGUCAUGAAAAAAUUAGCAUGUACAUGAAAAUCUAUAAACAUCUUGAAAAAAAAUAUAUUCUCACUCAUAUAUUCGUUUCAAAUUUAUAUAGACAAUAAUUAAGGGAAUUGUUAUUGGCAUUUUAAAAAUCUCAUUUUACAUUUCAAACUUUCUACAUUUAGAAAGAAAAAUAUACUUGUGAGGAGUGUAGAAUGAGAUUUUUUAAAUGUUAAUAACACUUCCCAUAAUUAAAAGGUUUAAUUACUGGUGCACCCGUGACUCUCAACGGGUCGGGAUUCAGCUGCACGCGAUAUGCAACUGACUGCAGGCCUGGUUGCUCUGUAUUUUUUUAGGUUUCUUUUAUCCUUCCCUCCCGUCGCGCUAUUCUUUUGUAUCUUUGCUUUUGGUUUUCCCACCAUUUUUGAGCAGGUCAGAGACCAUACUUGUAUACCAAGAAUAAUAGCUUAAUGGAAAUAUCUUGCGUUCCUUCCUUGUAAUUAACAUUUCUUCUUCUUGUUCUUCUAUUAUUUUUUGUUUUUGUCGUAAUAUAAGAGUUAUGUUCAAAAUUGUGAUCAAUUAGCAUUCGCCGCCACUUAGUAUACAUCAUUCAUUAUUAUUUUUUAUUCAAUAGAAAAAGAAUGAAGGAGUUCACUAUUUUUUGUUUUAUCAUCGGAAUAGAGGACUUAUUCUAGUGAAAAGAGAUUUUUCUCUAGAAAGAAACAAAUAAGAUAUUGAUUCCAAAUACCGUUACUUUACUAGAUGAAGCCGACAACUAUGCGUGUAUAAGGAUAAAAAAAAAACUAAAAAAACACUAAGAAUUUUUUUUUAAAUAUAUACUAGCAUAUGGGCACACACAAAGUGUGUGAAUUUUUUUUGUUUGUUUUUGAAAUAGAAGGAGAGAGGAAGAGAGUGAUAGAGAAUGUGAGUGGGGAUUUUUUUUUUAAAUUAGAGAUAUGUUAUGAUUACAUGUAGGUGAUGCUUUGAAAAGAAAAACAAAAUUUGGUUGUGUGAAAUUACAUUUUUUCCCCAUAUUUCUUAUUCAUGUUUUGUUUUAGGGUAAAGUACAAAAAACUAUCUCAACUAUUGGUGUCACGACACUUUCAUACUUCAUCUUUUAAAAUUGACAAUGUCAUACCUUAUCUUACGAAUUUGUGUCAAUGUCGGACCUCCAUCAGUUUUUCUGUUAAUUUCUCUGUUAAAUGCUGACGUGACCCGACACGUGUCCCACUCACUAAUCCAAUUGGAUUAAAAAAUAAUAAAAUACAUUUUUAAUAAUUAAAUAUUCAAAAAUUAAAAAAAUAUAUAUUAAAUCUUUCUCUCUCUCUCUCCUCUCUUUUUUAUUUUUAUAUUAAAUCUCUCUCUCUCUCCUCUCUCUCUCUCCCCCUCUCUGUCGCCUUUAUCUCUUCUCUGCAUCCUAGAACCCAUUCUCAUCUCUCCCCUCCCCCCACCGCGACCCCUUCCCGUUCCCCCUCCGUGCAACCCCCCACCCUUCCCCACCCAUGCCAACAUCUCCUUCUCUCUCAGCUCACUCACUCUUUCUCCCCCUCUCUUGCACAUACUAUACCUCUCUCCCAGAUCUACACUCACGCACCCAUUUACACACCCACACCCACCGACGACGGUACCAAAAACCAUCAUUGGCGUCAACCCUUUCUCCUUUCGUCUCCGUGAAGCUCCGAGGCACCCAGAGGACACCCAACCCAGGUCCGGCGAGCCAUGGGUGUGCGAGCCCAAGUCUCGGGUGGGGACAAACUAGGGGAUGGGGUGGGGUGGGGACGAAUUGGGUUUUGAUUUUUUUUUUUCGUUUCGUUUCUGGGCAGAGCAGGGGAAGAAGAUGGGGGAGGAGAGAGAGGGGGUGGGGUGGGGACGAAUUGGGUUUUGGAAAUUUUUUUUUCACUUUUCUUUGUUAUUUUAAUAUUUAAAAUAUAUUAAAUGAUUUUUUUAAAUAUUUUCUUAAUUUUUUUAAUAGAAAGUGGGGUUUGGAUCAAGCCACGUCAGCAAUUAACUGACAAAUUAACGGUUAGGCUAACUGAAGGUAUAAAAUUGACCAAAUUCUAAAGAUGAGGUAUGACAUUGUUAAUUUUAAAAGAUGAGGUAUGAAAGUGUCAUGAGACUAAUAGUUGAGGUAGUUUUUUGUACUUUACCCUUUGUUUUAAUUAGAGGGUUAAACUGGUAAUUUCAUAAGAUUUUGGUUGACAAUAAGUGUUUUAUUAAUUAGUAGAAAUAAAAAAAAAGUAAUUUUAAAUAGAUGCAGAAAAAUAGUAGGAGAGAGAGAGAUUUGAUAGUUUUAGUUGUUAUAAUUACCAUAUCAUCCUUCAUUUUUAUGUUUUAUUAUUUAAACUUACUAAGAUUAAAAAGGGCGAAAAGGAAAUUUCACCCUCUUUAGUAGUAGAUUAAUUCCCAAACGCUAAUGUCGUUUCCAUGAGGUUUGUAUAGAGUUACAAGAUCGCCGGUGCUUUCUUACAAGGGACAGCUAGUCCAUGACGUCAUAUUGUCACUGUGUGGUAUGGGCCUCCGAGUUGACUCCGCGAGUCUAUACAUCUAUAUACAUACACGCAUCUUUUAGGGUUUAUAGCUUUCCUAUAAAAGGACAGGAUUUCUCGAAUUCUACAAGCACUUACAUUUUGCGACUUAUGCAGACCUUGAUUUAACCAAAUUUGUGAGACUUACAUAUGUCGUUAUCUGCACUCAAUUUUGAAUUACCAUUUUUGUACUUUAUAUAAAUUUAGUGUAAUUAUCUUCCUAGUUUAACAAAUUGGAGCCCCCAAAAUUGAUAUUGAUUGGUAGGUCAAAAUACAAAACCCUAAAUUCAGAUCUUUUCUGAUUCUAUUUUUUUCAUAAAUUUAAGUCAUAUUUAAUAAUUUGUUUUCUGAAUACCUAAAUAUGAGAUGAAUGCUGUGUGUCAAGAUAUGCAUUUGUUGGUCAAUUUUUUAUAACCCCCAUGGCUAGGUGUAACUUUUGUUUUCGUUUAAGAACCAUUGAGUUUUGUUUAGGAACUUAUUUACUUAGUUUAUUCAUAUUUUUUGUAACAUCCAUGACUAGGUGUAUCUUUUGUUUUUGCUUAAGAACCGUCGAGUUUUAUUUAGGAUCAUACUUAUUUAGUUUAUUGCUAAUUUUUACGGUUCAGUUUAAUUCUUUACUUCCACGUUAUUGGUACUUUCUAGGUGUUCUUUCUUUCUUUCUAAUUAAGUGAUUUGAAUUCCUUUUCAACUAAAACAUGCAAUUGAAUAAUAUUUUUUUUCUUGUUUCUUUCUUGGCAUCCUGAUCUUAGUCGCUGUAUAUCAUAUGCGGAUUCCUAGUUGCUGUAAAACUUAACAACUCUUAGGGUUUCACGUCAAUUGCAUGCCUUCACAAAGAGAGGCUGCAUGUAUUUAUAGUCACGUUCAGAUUACAUUAGGGAUUGAAAUCCCUAUUUACAAGGCUGUUUCAAAGCCAAAAGUACAACAGAAACUACAAAACGUAUUACAGAAAACAACUAACAUUCGAAAGGAAGUUUGAACUAAGCUAACUCUUCUUGGAUAAGAGUUUAGGUUGAUCACAACCUCCUGAAUUUGAGGAAACCACCACCAGACGCGGACUUGGUCUAACAGCCCCCCGCAAGCUGACAGGAGGAGAAACAAAUGGAAGGUUGGAAACAAGAUGUGUGAACCGGGAAGAUGACAAUCCUUUGGUAAAUAGAUCAGCAAUCUGAUCUUGAGAACAUAUGAAAUUCACAAAUAACUCUUGGCGAACCACUUUCUCACGAACAUAGUGAUAAUCCACCUCCAAGUGCUUUGUACGGGAUGAAAAACGGGAUUUGAAGCGAGGGCAAUGGAGGAAACAUUGUCACACCAGAUGGUUGGGCGAUCAAGAUGCAAGUGGAGGUCACGAAAUAAAGACCGGAACCAUGAUAAUUCUGCAGCAGUAUAAGCAAGCUGCUGAUAUUCAGCUUCUGAACUCGACCUACUGACAGUUUUCUGCUUUUUAGAAAUCCAAGACACGAGAUUGGACCCGAAGUAAAUGCAAAAACCACCUGUGGAAUGCCGUGUAUCAGGAUUCCCAGCGUAAUCAGCAUCAGAAUACGCUGUAAGGUGUGCAGUCCCAGGUUUAUACACAAGACCAUGAUUGAAUGUGGCUUUAACAUAUCGAAGGAUCCGUUUGACUGCCAUCCAGUGAGUAGUCCUGGGAGAAUGCAUGAACUGACAUACCUGGUUGACUGCAUAAGAAAGGUCUGGUCGCGUGAUAGUUAAAUACUGAAGUGCACCGACAACACUUCGAUACAUCUCGUAAUCAUCAUGGGGCUCACCGGUGUAAGCACUAAGUUUCUGUCCACAAGAAACCAGUGUGGAAAUGGGUUUAGCAUCCAAAAACUUAGUACGCUUAAGCAAGUCCACAGCAUACUUGGCCUGAUUCAAAUGCAUUUGAUCACCACAAUAGGUUACUUCGACACCCAGAAAGUAAUGAAGAGGCCCAAAGUCCUUCAUUGAAAACAAAGUUCCCAGUUUAUGGAUUAAGCGAGACAUGUGGCGAAGACUAUUCCCUGUCAACAAUAUAUCAUCCACAUAGAUCAAUAAAAUCAAGUAGAGACCAGAGUGAUUGAAAACAAAUAAACUGUAAUCACACGUGGAUGCUUGAAACCCUAAUUGCAGUAAAAACUCUGAAAAACGUUGAAACCAAGCUCGCGGAGCUUGUUUCAAUCCGUAUAUACUCCUUUGCAAUUUGCAGACAUGUUUGGGAUGCUGCUCAUCAAUGAAACCUGCAGGUUGGCGCAUAUAUACGGUCUCCUUUAGAAAGCCAUGCAAGAAAGCAUUUUGUACAUCCAAUUGCCUGAUAUGCCAUUUGUUUGAAACUGCCAAACUAAGAACAAGGCGUAUGAUGCUAUGCUUGACCACAUGACUAAAGGUCUCGGUGUAAUCAAUCCCAGGCUGUUGAUGAAAACCAUUUGCAACUAACCUCGCCUUGUGCCUUUCUACAGAGCCAUCUGCCCUUUGUUUGAUCUUAAAUACCCAUUUGUUGGGCAGCACAUUCAUUUGGGAAUGAUAAGGAACAAGCUCCCACGUGCCACAUCGCUGCAGGGCAUUAAAUUCUUGAACCAUGGCGUCCCUCCAUUGGGAUUGCUUGACAGCCUGACUGAAACAUGUAGGUUCAACUAAAGAAGGAUCAAUAGAGACAUGUAUAACAUAUUUAGGAUUAGGUUUCUGUAUUCCCGACUGUGAUCGAGUCGUCAUGCGUGGCCUUGGUAUGGAGGAUUGAUGUAUUGAAGCAACAUCGUGGGCUGAAGAUGGCAGGGAGUGAGGCGUGGGGGACUCAACAACUGGGGCUUGCUCAUUUAAAUUUUGGUUUGUGGAACUAGGGUCAGGGAGAGAUAAGGUGGCUGGCGGGUUGGACGGAGAAGAUAACAUGGGAUGGGGAGGAAUAGUAUUGUGGUGAGGAUUUGGCGGAGUGGACGUGGUUAUGGUUGGCUGGGAUGGGGACUCUAAAGGUUGGUUAGGGUUCAGCAAAGGGUUGGACGUAUCUGAUAAAAGGAUAGGAAAUGUGAACAAAAGAUCAGGAGAUGAAAAACUACCUGUGUUAUCAAUGUUUUCCCGCAAGGAUGUGAGUUCCUUAAAUGAAAAUGAGUCCUCAUCGAAUAGGACAUGGCGAGACAAAUAAAUUCGUCUCGUGGACAGGUCCAAACAUUUAUACCCUUGAUGAUUCAGUGAGUAUCCUAAAAAUACACAUGGUUUUGACUUAGGUUGAAGUUUAUUUUGUGCAUAAGGAACAAGCCAAGGAAAACACUUGCAACCAAACACUUUUAACGUCUCAUAGUUUGGAGAUUUUUCAAACAAAGUCUCAUAGGGCGAUUUAUGAGACAAAACCCGAGUUGGCAGUCUAUUAAUUAAAUAAGUGGCUGUAGAACAAGCAUCAAACCAAUAUUUGUUCGGAAUGUGAGAGAGAGACAGCAUGACAAUACUCGUUUCAACAAUAUGGCGAUGUUUGCGUUCUGCAAGGCCAUUUUGCUCGGGAUGUUUUGGACACGAAAACCUUUGAGAAAUGCCAUGUGUUGCAAGAAAUUGUUGAAAACUAUGACUUUUGUACUCACCUCCUUCAUCACAUUGAAGGGUUUUUAUGGAAGUAUUAAACAUAUUCUCGAUCUUAGCUUUAAAUUGAACAAAUAUGGCAAACACUUCAGACUUAUUUUUCAUGGGAAAAAUCCAAGAAUACCUAGAAUAAUCAUCGACAAACAAGACAUAAUAGCAAAAACCUUCAAUUGAAAUAACUGGAGAACACCAAACAUCGGAAUGUAAAAGUUGUAAAGGAAAUUGAGAAACAGACUCUGAAGUACUAAACGGUAACUUAGUACUUUUUCCUAAAGGACACGACUGACAAAACGUUACAUCAACAAUACCAUGAAUCGGUACUUGUUUAUUUGAAAUUAAAAACUUGAUAAUAGAAGACGCAGGAUGACAAAGACGUGAAUGCCAUUUUUGAGCCGAGACUCGAAUGCCUAGACACACAGAAAUAGGGUGAUUGAACUGUCCACUGCCACCAACAAAUGGGUAUAAGCCAUUCUCACAUCUCCCGCGGAAAAGUGUCUUCCGGGUCUUGAGGUCCUUAACAAGAAAAAAAUGAGGAAAGAUGAGUAAAUAACAAUUAUUAUCUAGGGUAAAUCGGUGUGCAGAAAUAAUGUUGGUUGAGGCAGUGGGGCAUCUUAAAAUAUUUUGUAAUUUAAAUGAGCAAGAGAGAGUUGGGAUUUGAUGCGAACCCACAUGAGAGAUAGAAAGGCCAGUAUCAUUACCUACACCACCCACAUUCUGAUUACCAUUAUACUCUUUUGGGUUUACCAAAUUCUGGAUGUCGGGAGUUACAUGCGCAUUAGCACCGGUGUCCAAAAGCCACUGUCCAUUAUUCUGUCGAUUGAGAGAACCCGGAGAUGUUGCCAUGGCAGUGAGCUGUUUGCUGGAAUUCUCCCUUCAUAGGCUGCAUUCAUUCUUUGAUAACAAUCGAGAGCAGGAUGCCCUUGUUUUCCACAUAUCUGGCAGGUGAGACGUUCUCCUGUGGUAGUAAAUUUCUCACCAUUGCAGGCCGAAUUUGGCCUUGGAUUAUUGUUGUGAGGAAAGAACCCUCGCGGAUUGACAGCACCACCACCACGUGCAAACUGAAAACCACCACGUCCAGUGCCACGAAGUCGUCCACCAUGACCUCUGGCAGUGACAAAAGCAUUCACCGGAACAGCCUCCACAUGCUGAAUAGUCUGAGCAGCCAUUCGUCUCUCGGUAGUCAGGAUGAGGGCCUCAAGUAUAGGGUACGCGAUUGGAGUAUCACGUGCUUGAGCAGCACUCACUGUCAUUUCAUAUGCAGGGCCCAAAUUAUUCAAUAUAAUCUGGACAAGUUCAUCAUCAUUCACGGGGUUGCCAGCUAGGGCAAGGUUAUCAGCAAUCGAGUUCAUUCGAUCAAGAUAAUCAGCAAUAGACAUAUCACAUUUCUUAGUUUGCAUCAGUUCAUUGCGAAGGAACAAAAUACGAUUUUGGGACGUAGAAGCAUACCGUUGCUCGAGAGCCUCCCAUGUGUCAUGAGAGGACCGCUUGUUGGCGACAACAGACAACACAGAGGGCGUAAGAGAGCCAUUGAUCCAGCUUAGGAUCAUUUGAUCAUGCUGCACCCAGGUUGUGUAUGCUGGGUUGAGAGCAUCCGCACCAGGAAGAUGUUUGGGUGGGCAUACGAUGGACCCAUCAACAUAUCCCAUCAGGUUACGACUCUUGAGGAUUGGUAGGAUCUGAGCCAACCACAGAGGAUAGUUGGUUCGAUCCAGUUUGAUGUUGACAACUGUGGUCAUGGAUGAGAAAGGGUUCAGGGCAGGGUUUGAAAGAGAGGUGGUGAAGGGUGCAGUGGUGGAGGAUGCAGCGCCGUUUGCGUUAUCAGCCAUGGAAAAAAAAAUAUCAGGAUCUAAGUCGUUAGACUGCUAGGGCUCGUAUACCAUGUAAAACUUAACAACUCUUAGGGUUUCACGUCAAUUGCAUGCCUUCACAAAGAGAGGCUGCAUGUAUUUAUAGUCACAUUCAGAUUACAUCAGGGAUUGAAAUCCCUAUUUACAAGGCUGUUUCAAAGCCAAAAGUACAACAGAAACUACAAAACGUAUUACAGAAAACAACUAAAUUCGAAAGGAAGUUUGAACUAAGCUAACUCUUCUUGGAUAAGAGUUUAGGUUGAUCACAACCUCCUGAAUUUGAGGAAACCACCACCAGACGCGGACUUGGUCUAACAGUUGCUUCUACUACUCAUGGCCCUUACUACCAAAAAUUCUCAGCUCCCGCCGGCAUCAUCACAAGAUUACUUCAAAAUCAACAGCCUCCCUGACGAGUUGUUGGUUGAAAUCCUUUGUCGACUCUCAUGCAACAAGUUGGUUUCACAAUGCAAAUUCUUGUGCAAGCGGUGGUUCCUCCUCCUCUCCAAUCCUGACAUUGUUGGCCGUUUUGUAUGUCUCCAAAAGGAUAAGAAAAAUCCCAGUACCUGCGGUAUGCUGUUUUCACUGUUUUUCGCACAAAAAGAUCGCGUCGCCGCAUUUUUUACACCGAGUUCCCAAUUCCCGGAAUCUUUAAGAAGUAGGUUAUCUACUAUGAGUUUCAUCCCUUCUUUUGAUCCAAAAUGUGGUUGGAUGAAGGAUGUAUUAUCCGUGUACAAUGACCUAGUUUUAUGCUACUGGGGAUAUUCGCCUAAUGACUCGAGCAUUUACUACAUCAUUUGCAAUCCAUACACCAGCCACUGGGUUGCUCUACCUCCUGCCCCAGCAUGGCAUGAUAUUCUACCAGCGGAAUUGAUUUGCGAUCCCUACUAUAAGUUUCCGGAAGAUGAUAACAAAUCUUGUGAACAAAAUAAUAUCGUUAACGCUGAGUAUAGGUGCAAGGUUGUGCGAUUUCAUUUAUAUUUGCCAGAUCCCUUUCGAUGCAAAAUGGACAUGUUCUCUUCUGAGACCGGUGUAUGGAAAGAGCUGGUUGUAGUAUCCCCACGAGAAUUCGGUGUCUACUGCAAUGACUCCUUUCCUCGUGCGGGUUUUCCUUGCAAAGGAAAGUUGUACUGGGCAGGCACUGGUGGCGUUAUGGGGUUGGAUCCGUUGGCGUACAACGACAAUAACUCUAGUAGUGCUUGUGAUGGUCGUGAAGUUUUUGAUAAAUGUUAUUUCGUCUUGAUGAGGUUAAGCUGCCUGUACACCUUGACAAGUUCUUAUGUGAGAGUCGAGGCAUGUUAUGCCUCGUAGCGUUUCAGCACAUUUACGAAGAUGUUCGUAUCUGGGAGAUGAAAGGAGAUGUUGAGGAUGGCUGUUGUUUCACUAUUAGACAGGGGGUUUGCUUAUUGCCAAGGAUGGAACGAUCUGGUCUGUGGCGUCAGUUGUACGAUGAAGGAGAGGCCACGAGAUUGUUGCCUUUGGACUCGUUUGAUGAGGAUAUCAUGUAUCUACAGUCAAGUAGAUCGAUUUUCAUGACAUUUGUGCAAGGAAGAUACUGAAAAUUACAGACGGAGAGGUGAUACGUGUUUUACCAUUUGCGCUCCCAUGGUGGCCGACACCAGUCCCUAAAAUGGUACCACCACCAGAAGCCAUCAGUUCCUAGUAUUUUUAUUUUUUUGGGGCAAGAUAUCAAUUCAUACCAUGAACGUCUUGACAGACCUAAUUUAUUUCCGUUUCACUUCUUUGAUAUUAAUGUUUAUGAUUCUGAGUAAUGUUUGUAGAUUAAUUUCGUGUACAUUGUCGCUUGAAAUAACCGUAUUUGAAUCAUAUGAUGGCAUUGCCAAAUUGUAUGUAUUAUUUGAAAGAGAAACAUUACAUGCCACAACAGAAUUACAAAGUUUGCCUUCUGCAUAAGAUUCGUCACCGCUACACUAUUGGCAGUUUCAUAUCACAUGCUUAUUUCCAAGGGACAAAUCUCACUUCGUCACUGGCAAUCUUCGAGCAAAGCAUUAGCGUUUCAAAUAUGCUUUCCGAGGAAGGUGAGGAUCAGCUGAUUGACCUCUUCAGGCGACUGUUCUUGAACAAAAUGCGUUCCUUCGGGAAGAAAUACAAUCUCCAAAUCAGGGACAAACUCUUUGAUCUUUCCACUGUUUAUGUAAUCCUCUAUCCCUGGAAAUUUGUUAACAUAAUCCUUGCCUCCCAUUAUAAAAAGCGCCGGAGCUUUAACUAUUGGAUCUGCUACAUCGGACUCUUCUCUAAUUGCCCUAUCGAUGUGUAAAAAGAGUUCAACGGUCAUUAACGAGUAUGUGCUUACAACUUGGUCAAAUAUUGCUAGGGGUGAUCGUUCUGUCUACAUUAACAGUUCGAGUAUGUAACAGUAUGAAACCACUUGGUCAACUACAUUACCUGUAUGGAACUUGCAGCGCAGUUCGGAAACCCGAUUUCUCAUACAAAGCUCCAUAUGCGGCAAGAUCUUCCUCACAGAACCAAGGGGGAAGAGGCGUAGAUGGAUCCACUAGGUCCAUGAUCUCCUGGUCUUCUGCAGCUAUUGGUAUUUCGCUUCUGGAAAAAAGGAUGUAAACAUUCCGAACAACCGUUUUCGCAUCGAGGCGCCCAAAAUCAGCCUCUGCACGUCCAGGUUCCUGUAACAUAGGCAACAGUUAGUUGCAAACUCGCAAGAAAUUCAUGCUUGCAAUAGUAUUGAACAUAUAACAAGACCAGGUAAAUGCACACCUGCCAUCUUGAAAUGUAGAAACCUUCUGGGAGGUAGUUGCCCGUUUUACGAGGGCCUGGUGGCAUGAUUGGCAAUCCCAUUGUUACAACGCCUACGACCCUCUCGGGGUGCAGAAGAGAAAAUAAUGUCGCCACCCCAACUCCAAAAUCUUUUGCAAUUAGGAAAACCUAUGCAAAUUUGAAUACAAUUUCCAAAGCCUUAAAUCCUCAUAGCCAUUAACAUCAGAAAGUGUUCAUCCAAAAGUUGAAUACAAUUACCAACUAGCUCUCAAGUUUAGUGAUAUUUCGAAGAGAAAUGCAAAGGGGACUCUUAUCAAAAGUGGGCUCUCCAUAGACUCUUUGCACCUCAUGUUUUUUGCACAAUGUUUUAUAGUGUUGGCAUAAGAAUUGACGUUAAACUGUAAGGUGCUACGGUCUAUAGAGAGUCCCACCUUUGAGAGAGUCCUCUUAGCAUUUCUCUACUUCGAAUCCGCACUCCGAUUAUCCAAAUGAAUUAAUUUUCUUUUAAUCAAAUUAGUACUAAUGACAAGAAAAACUUCAGGGAUGCCAAAACAAAAGGAAAAAGGAGACUUGUAUUUUAUUCACCAUAUGUACCAACCUAAACAAACUGGAGAUUCCAAGAAAUAUCUAUGGAGUUAAAGGAAUUUUUUUUUUGUUAAUUUAAGCAAGUUAAUUAAUUGGAAUUAAUAAUAAUUAAGGAGAAAAAUCCGAUGAUUCUUUCCAAUAAGUACCUUGGGAAUAGCAAGGGAAUCGAGAAUUCCAAGGAUGUCACUGGCGAGGUCACGGUACGAGGUCUUCUCGGAUUGGGGAGGAGGGUCGGAUAGUCCGUAUCCGCGGUAGUCGGGAGCGAUGGCCCGGAAGCCGGCGUUGGCCGCCGCAACCAUCUGGUGCCGCCACGAGUACCAAAUUUCCGGGAAACCGUGCAGGAACACAACCACAUUGGAACCUAUGAUAAACAAAAAAAGACGGCGAUCGAUCGAUUAUGGUUGUGUUCGGUUGUGUUAAGAAUAAUAAAUACGCUACGGUGCCGGACGAGGAAUUGGGGAGGCAAAUAAUCUGACCUGUUCCGAUGUCGGCGACGUGGAGCUUCAGGCCUUGUACGGUUAUGUACUUGUGCUGGAUUUGCUCCAUUUCAGGUGGUUUUUCAGACGACAAUCACAAAGUGUACGAAAAAGAUAGAGAGAGAGAGAGAGAGAGAGAUCACUUCUGGUUCCGACAAGACAAUGUUUGGACUUGCCAAAAAUUGAAGCAGCUAGCAUCAAAUAGGAGGGCAUUUACGUCCAUAACCCAAGUUACAUUUUUAUUUUACUAUUUAUAAUUACUAGUCAUUUUUAUGUUGUUUUCCUUGGGGCUUCUCCUUAUAAUUUUUGUUUCGUUUCAGAAAAAUGAUAUUCUGACUCAUAUUUUAAUUCUAAUUAGAUAUUGUAGCUCGUAUAUCUAAUUAAAAUAUUUAAUAACUUGUGUGCCCUUGAAAAUGUUUGACAGUCUCAUUCUGUUUCUUAAAACUUCUUUUGAUUCAGUUUACUUAUUUUUUAAAAUGUGUAAAUGUGCUUUAUUUUAUCGUAUAUCGUUAGCUUCAUUAAGUUUUUUAUCAAUGUCGCUUAUGAUGACAUGUCAAAAAAGAGGACCUUUUUGUCUUUCCCCUUUUUGUCUGUCCUUUUAGUUGUGGUGUCCUUCCAUGCCCUCUUAUUUUGUACGGUCACGGUUAAAUCACGUCAACAUUUUAUAUUAAUUUUUUAAUAGAGAUAAUAAGACAAAAAUAAUAAAAAUAUAAAAUAUUGACGUGACUUAACCGUGACCGUACAAAUAAAAGAGCAUGGAAGGGCACCACAACUAGGACAACUAGGAGGGCAGACAAUCUGCCUCCCUCUCUCACACUGAUUUCUAUCUCUUGAUGGUAUUGAUUUUUGGCUAAAUAAUCUUUAAAAAAUAUGAGUUUUCAUCUUUUUUUAAUAAUUUAUGGUUCUCAUCUCCCUCCGUGAGUGAGUGGGUAAUGUUUAACUCGUACGAAAAACAGCUUCAAUAUUCAAUUACUACUACUCCAUUGCAUGAUUUUAAUUUUAAACCGCAAAUUCUUAACUAAAAGUUUUAAUGACAUUACUGUUCGUUUGUUCAAAAGUUUUUUUGGUUAAUGUUUUUCAUACAAGCAAUACUGGGGAGGAGAAAUUAAACACACGGCUCGGGAUGUAGGUAAAUCAAGUGCCCCCAGCUCUGAGCAACUCCAUCCUGAAUGAUCAAAUAUGAGCUUGUACUUCAAUUCCUUUUUUUUUCCUUAAAACAAACCUUUAAAAGUGCAUUAAUAAGGAAAAUCAAACCAACACAGAAACAAGAAAGUUCAAACAGAGAGAACAUGUUAAAAACAGAUCAAGCAGGAAGUUUCCUAACCAAAAAGACAAACUGUAUCUGCAAACUAGCUGAUUAAACCAGGAAGUUUCCUAGCUUACAUGGUCAUCGUGGUCGUCGUCAUCAUCUUGGUUGUCAUCACCCUCGUCAUUAGUAUCAUCGUCGUCGUCAUCCUCACUAUCAUCCUCAUCAUCAUUUUCAUAAUCCUCAUGAAAAUCUUCAUCAUUUUCGGUGGGAAUUUCUUCUAAGGCCCUACCGUAAGGGAUAGGAUAGUAACGAUAGUACAAACGACCUUCGAAAGUCUUGUCACACACUAAACGUACCCCUGUUUUCUUCACCAUGAACUCACUACGUAAACGUACCCCUGUUUUCUUCACCAUGAACUGAUCACUACGUAGAAUCUUUGCAAUAACGAGGACCAAAUCGCCUUCUUCGAAAUUGAACUUAUCUUCCCAUAACGGUAUAUGCCCCAGCCAAAGGUACUCUCCACCGCAAGCUGGUGGGCUCAUUAGGUCGACAAAAAAACUAGUACGCUUGGUGUGAUUAAUAACACAAAUGAAACAAGAACCAAAAAACACGCUGUCGACAUCAAUAAAAGAACGAUAAGCCAUGCACACAGCCAACGCUUUUGCAUUACAACCAAUUUCCUUAGGCACUUCGAAAGAGACUUGGGUACCCUCGUUGACAUGAUUGAACCAAGUGGGAAUUUGUCUUCCUACAAGAGUCUCAUGUAUCCAUCUCCUGUCCAUCCCUAUACCAUGUUGAACAAGAUUUGUGUGAGUAAUACAUGCAUAACACACAUAUGCGAGGGAAGGAGGAGAGGGGGUGCUGUGGAAGAGAGAGAGAACCUGUAGCGUGCUAUCCUUAAGAAGGAAAUCCAUGACAUUGUUGUGUGUUAACAUAUCAAGUCUGAGGCCCGAGUUUAACGCACUCUCCAAGCCUGGAAACUCAAUGAGUUUGGGGGAACCGAGAUACACGAUUGUCGACAUGCCUGAAAAAUCUGACAUUCUUUCUAAUGCAGAGCAGUCCUUCAUCUCCAAGAUACCCAAACUUUUUGGUAAAUCUGUGAUCUCGACAAGGUUUCUGCAACUAUCCAAGCGUAGUUCAAUAAGCAUGGACAGGUCACCGAGGCUUGGAAGGCUCCGAAAAUUAUUGUUGCCUAGAAAUAAGUACUCUAAACAAGGUAGACUACUCCCAAUAUCAUUAGGCACUUCCAUUAAAUUGCAGUGUCUCAAAGAUAACUCUGUUAAAGAGCCUAAGCCUCGUAAGGAAGGUAGCUGCAAAGGACACUUCAAGUAACUCAAAGAUAGGCACUCGAGCUUCUCCAGUCGUACGAUGGAAGGUGGUACUUUUUUUAUGGCCGUCCCAUCAGCAAAAAGAGUGACCAAUGAUGCCAUUUUUCCCAAGUGCUCAGACAAGCUUCGGAAUCUUGAACAACCAUCGAGAACAAGAGUUUUGACAGAUUUCGACUUGUAGAAAUUCCUCGGG